Molecule: long non-coding RNA, 109452 nt
Filed under: Hordeum vulgare
Lineage: Eukaryota; Viridiplantae; Streptophyta; Magnoliopsida; Poales; Poaceae
Description: long non-coding RNA (HVUL_LNC005528)
Source: RNAcentral
GGACUUCAAGAAGUGCCUAUGGACAAAUCCUAUAAAUAUAACUUAAGGCAACCAUUAGUCCAUAGGAAUUGUCAUCAAUUACCUAAACCAUAUAUGGAGAAAUAUGCUCUAACAGCAUCACCCUUUCCUCUUCAAGGGAAAAAACCAGCGCAAGCUCAAGAGAUAGCAAAGGGCGAUAAGGUUUUUCGGGAGCACUCAGCGCGACUACUGGUUCCAUCACGGACAACGACAAUCUCUUCCCGGACGACGACUACUUCCCCGACGUCGACCACCUCUUCGGUAACAUGGCCAACGACAACGCCAACACCAACCCUACUGCUGCUGCAACUCAGUACGUACUCAUGUUCUUUUCCUUUGAGUUCCUCCCGCAACUUCUUGCUAUAGUUUCACUUCUAGAUAUGUUCCGUUUCUGCUCAUCACUCCAUAUGAUGCCUUGUGUAUAUAGAACGGUUACACAUAUGUUCUUUUCUAGAUCAUAUGUGCACAUGUAUUUUGUCGUCUCAUCUCUAUAUUGCUUGUCUUCUUUCAUCUUUAUUAUGAUAGUCAAGUUUUCCCUAUCUUUUCUGUUAGUAAAAUCCUAUGGUAAAUUGCUCAUAUUUCCAACAGAUAUAAACCGGCUUAAGGCUGCCACACAGCCUGCCAACUUUUGGACGUGUUGUAGCUCUGUUGGAAUGGCGAGUUGCGACAAUGCUCGAAUUUUCUCCGGAUUGGACUCGAUUCCUCUUUGCGACACUAUGAAUCUGAGGAAUUUACCGGCUAGGACUCCGAAGAUACACUUGUCCGGAUUAAGCCGUAUAUCGUAUGCCCGUAGUUUGGCGAAGGUUUCUCUAAGGCCAUCUACGAGUUGGCUAACGUGUCUGGUCUUAACAAUCACAUUGUCCAUGUAUGCCUCCACAGUUUUGCCGAUCUGUUUCCCCAGGCAUGUCUGGAUCAUGCAUUGGUAAGUGGCGCCCGCGUUUUGUAACCCGAACGACAUUGUGUUGAAGCAGAAUGGUCUGUAGGGUGUUAUAAACGCGAUUGCAGAUUGAUCGGAUUCCUUCAUUUUGAUCUGAUGGUAUCCGGAGUAGGCGUCGAGGAAACACAAGGAAUCAUGUUCGGCUGUCGCGUCGAUAUUUGGUCUAUCCGAGGUCACAGAAAAUGAUAAUUGGGUUGAUAAUGAUCACACUUAUGUACCAUGAAGUUGCUUAAGCUUGUGUUCACCACAAACUGCUCGAACUCAUAUCGGAACCCGGCUUCGCUCAUGAACAUGUUCCAUGGCUACUCACAUGGUCGUAGCUCCGUCCUUCGAGGGAGGUUGAUCCGAGGUGCUCCCCUCGAAGUCCUCUCUAAACUCCGGCUAGAAGAACCCCUAAUGAAUAUCCCUUGUAACAUUUUUUCUGAAAUAUUGGACCACGAAUAAAAAAUGAAUAUAACUUAACAAAAUUGGUAGUAACAACUCAUAUGAACGCCUAGAGGCUAUAUCAAGCAUUCAAACUACUUAUAACUAAAUCUUACAUUCUUAAGAAGUUGGUUCCAAUUCUCUCAACAUGCAAGGUGUCCACCUCAUCAUUCCACUAAGCAAUGCAUUUAAAUCUUUUCUUCCACUAAGCCUUGCAAAGUGCUUCACAUAAGCAUUCUUAACAAGCAAAGUGUCCACCUCAACGUCCCACUAAGCAAUGCAUUUAAGUAUUUUUCUCCCACUAAAUCAUGUAAAAUAUUCCACAUAAUCAAGUCAUAAAUUUAACUUAUAAAUUACAACUAUUUUUUGCAUUAGUCUAUCCAUGUAACGAUGCCACGUCAUAUAUUCAUGUUAGUCAUCCUUCACAUUUUCGUUCGAAAUGACAUUUUUAAGUAUAAUUCAAAAGUUUUGUAGACACUUUAAUUUAUUGAUUUUUAAGUUCAUACAUUCUUUCGUUAGGAUUUAACAACUACUUACACAUGUUGUUAACAAAGUUAUGAUAACAACACGCGGGAAGAGAGUCAUCCUCACUACACAUGUCCAAAUUUUCCUCAAUGAAAAAGACACCCAUGUGGACAACUCCAAGAAAUUUUAAACUCACAUUAUGCUACAUAUAUUCCCAAAAUAUUUUACUAAUAUAAACUAAUCAUGUGUAAUAAAUCUCGUACAUUUGUAUUUUCAUGCUCAUAUUGUUAGUUGUAAUAUUCACAUUCCACAUAAGCAAGUAUCAUCUAAACAUAUUGCCAACAAUUUCCGCAGCAACGCGCGGGGAAUUGUCUAGUAAAAUUCAACAUGCAAGCUCAUUUUCUUGGUCAUCAAUAGAAGCAAAAUAUGCAAAAUAUAAAUCACUACAACAAAAAUAAUUGUACCAUCGGAGGAGUUACAUACCAAGAAACAAUUUAUUUUUUGUUUGUGAACCGCCUCAAAUGUAUUUAGUAUAGAAGAUAUUGGUUAAUCCACCGUAACUGAUGACAUGAAAAACACAUCUCUCAAAAUACAAUUAUCUUGGUUUUUAAGCCAUGAGCUCUAGCACAUAGAGCAAAUCCUUGUUUCCCUCUACGAAGGGCCUAUCAUGUUAAUUUUUGUUGAGACAUCGCCUUCUCACUUCAAGCACGAACUUUGAGAGGGCUAUUGCAUUCUUAGUGUAACAUACAUUUAGUCUAAUUAAUAUUGGAUGAUAUUAUGACUGGUUGUAUUCUAUGCUGAAUUACAAUAUCUAGUUGUUGGUUGAGCUUUAGAGGUGCUCUGCAUUUAUGUUUUACGAUCACAAAAAUGACUAGCGAGAUACAAUUUCAUCAUAUUAUAUCAUGGUUAUUUUGACGAAGUGUUGAUAUUCGAGAUAUAUGUAGUAUAAUUGCUCGUUAGUGUUGUGUCAUUGAUAUGAGUAAAUAAGGAUUUUAAGUUUUAUAAUAUACAUGUUUAGUUCAUGAUCUGUGUUUAAAACCUGAUUACUUGUUAAGCCUAUAUAGAACAACAAAACCUAAUGAGUUUGUAAAAGUCUUCUUUAUCAUUUUCAAUUUAUUAAAUGAAUUGCUUGAGGACAAGUAGUGAGUUAAGCUUGGGGAGUUGAUACAUCUCCAUCGUAUCUACUUUUCCAAACACUUCUCCUCUUGUUUUGGACUCUAAUUUGCAUGAUUUGAAUGAAAUUAACCCGUACUGGCUCACUGUUUUUGGCAGAACUUCCAUGGUGUUAUUUUUGUGCAGAAAUAAAACUUUUCGGAAUUGGACAAAACUUAACGGAGAUUUUUUAUGGAAUAUAUAAAAAAUAUCGGGACCAAGAUCUACCGGAGAGGAGCCAUACAGGGGCCACAAGCCCAAAGGCGCACCCCCUCCCUAGGGGCAUGCCAUAAGGGCUUGUGGCCUCCCUGGAGAUCGUCCUAACCUAAUUCGAACUCCAUAUAUACCAUCUUGCCGAGCAAAAAAUAGAGAGGAAUUUUUAUCAUGGUUUACGAUAUAUAGUCGCCCGUCGCCUCCCAUUUUUCGUCAGGAUCCCUAAUCGGGAGUCCGUUCGUGGCCCCGGAGAGAGGGAUUCACGUCGUCGUCAUCAACAACCCCUCUCCAUCAAUAAUUUCAUGAUGCUCACAACCAUGUGUUAGUAAUUCCAUUGUAGGCAUACUAGAGGUAGAUAGGUUGGAUGAGAUUUCUUAUCUAAUCGAGUCAAUUUUGUUAGGGCUUGAUCCCUAUUAUCCACUAUGUUCUGAGAUUGAUGUUGCUAUGACUUUGCUAUGCUUAAUGCUUGUCACAAGGAACCGAGUGUCGUGAUUUCAAAUCUUCCUAUUAUGUUUUCAUGAAUAUAUUUGAGUUCUUGAUCUUACUUUUAAGUUGUAUGCACCCGUUAUCGUUCUGAGCCUUAGACCCCCAGGGUGACCAUGAAUUGGGAUAUUGAUGGGAGGGCAGUAAUGUGAGGAGGUCAUGUAUUCACUGUGUGUUAAUGCUAUCUUUUGAUUCUUUAUUAAGAAGAGAACCUUAAUUACCUUUAGUUUCCAUGAGGACCCCACUAUCACGGGAAGGUACGAUAAAAGAUGUCAUGCGAGUUCUUAUUGUAAGCACGUAUGAGUAUAUACAGAAUACAUGCCUACAUAUGACCGAUGAAUUGGAGCUAGUUCUGAUACUACUUUGUCUGCUAUAAAACCGCUAUCACUUUUACUCCUACCAUUACUCUGUUAGUGUUGCUAUUGCUAUCAAUACUAUCAUAUUAGCGUGCUACUAAUAAAUUGAUGCAAGGAGGUGAUUCUUAGGUGUGAUUGAAUUGACAAAUCAACUGCUAAGGCUUAUAAAUAUUCCUUGGCUAUCCUUGUGUCGAAUAAAUAAAUUUGAGUGUAAUACUAUCCUCAAAGACUGUUGCAAUCCACUGUACUUGUCGGUCAUUAAUCAUCUAUCUCGUGGUAGAUCAAUCUGUAUGUUGUACAUCAUCCUAGAUCAAUACAACACAAGCAAGACAUAGGGGUUUAUCUCUUCAGAGAGCUCAAACCCGGGUAAAACCCCGUGCCCCUGUUUCAUCGUGUCAAGUAUACUAGCUCGGGACCCCCUAUGAGAGAUCCGUCGGAAUUGACUCCUUCAUUGGUGGCCCAUACAUGUCCCUCAUCGUAAUCGCAAUGAUUCAAUGGGAUCUAGAUCAAUGAGCAAAUCGAGGCCAACACAAUCUUUGUGCCCUGUCAGAUGUUCCUCUUUGACGUUAUCUUGUUCAUCGCCAACUCAACCGGUCACCUUGACCAGGUCAAGAACUACGCCCCAUGUCGGGUGCCAGAGAUCGACGAGCAUCUUAAUCAACAUCAACUUCGAUCUCUACCUAGAUCAUGGAGAAUUUCAUCCAUGGAGCUCGGGGGCUCAAUGUCAACUUUGCCCUCGUGCGACCAUGCAGAAUUUUCCUGAAAACGCAUUCGCUCCCACAGUCCUUGUCUCAUUGAACAUCGUUUUGGUGAUUGCUUUAGUGGGAUUGUACGGAAUUUAUCCUACACCAACCAUGUAGAAUUUCAUCGUGGUCCGAUAGGUGAAUCUUCGACAGUUGCUGAUAUACCGAGACUCUAUCGGGUUUGGAUGCAAAUCCACGCAAGUUCGAUAGAACAUGUCCAUCGGUCAACUCCGACAUCCUUUGAAAGAUCCAACUAUCCAUAUCAUGUGUAACUUUCAUAUAGACAUCCCAUCAAUAUUUGAGGACGCUUCGACAAUGCAAACUUCGGAGCGUAGGUGGCAACAUGAUACGGCCUCCUAGGCCGUUGGAUCUCUGAUCCGAUGGAAUCUGAGUAGUUGUUGUACCUGCGCACAAUUUUUGAGACUCUUGGAUGAUAUUUUUGCAAAAUGUUCAAGAGCUUUUGGGAGCUGUUGGAUCUAACAUCCAGCGACUCCUAAGAGUCCGUAUUAGGCCUUCCCUAAUGCUUGUAUCUUGACACGGUAUCAUAGGCAUAUUGCUGAUGUGGCACCAUAUUAAUUGAAGAAAGAGAGUGGUGCCGUAUCUUAUUUAGUAUACGGCUCUUGCACGAGAUCGUAGGCAAAAAAUAUGAUUAGACCAAUCAAAUACAUGCAUGAGGCCAAAUUCAUUAAAUACUAGCCCACUAAGAUACAACACUUAAGAAACCAUGCAUUAGGAUGGUUGUAUCUUAUAAUGCAACGGUACCUAGGAUACCACGCUAAGAGACGAUGCAUUACGGAAGGCCUUACAGAGCAGCUGAUAUUUCCUCGAACGGGAAACCACAUCCGAAAGCAUCGGUUGUCGUUAGUUAAUGUUGUUUGAAAACAGGUGAUUGUAGACCUCGGGGAGUCAGGGGGCUAGGUGUUGCCAGAAACGUCCAACUUGAUGGUGAAAGUGAAACCAAACAUUUGUGGUACAUAUUUUCUGUCCAAAUGGAGGUAAAUUGGUCUCACAUGUUUAACAACAUUUAGGCAGAAUACCGACCUUUUUUUUGCAUGGGCACAAUACUCAGCCUGUUGCCAUGUUUUGUACUGUUCGAUUUCAGACUGAGUACUAGUGCAGAGUACGAGUUUUUUUUUUCAGACACCUAGCACUAGUUCGAUUUCGGACUGUUCCAACAAGAGCAGUACAUGAUCUCCCUCACUUGUCGUCUCCGUUCCAACAAGAGCUGCAUUAUACGUCUAUACCCCCCCCCCCCCCCCACCCCACCCCACCCCCCUGGCUCUGUUUAAUUAGAGUUUCCUGUGUUCAUUGUAGUUUCCUGUCUGUCCUGUAAUGCCGGCUGCCUUUCCAUUGCCACCAUGCCUCCCUGCACAGAAUCAUAGCAGCCAUGAGCCCCUCAAGCCUUUCUCAUCUCCUUUGUGCCAGCAUGAUUACACAAGGAAUCAAGCAAGCAAGCCACAAGACUUAUAAAAUACUAAGGAGCCAGCCUCCCCUUUUUCAAUGUGUGUAGUGUGUACUUGGUGUUGGACAAAGUCGCAGACGCAGAGACAUCGGGUCGGGAUACCUUUGUCUUGCCUUUACUUUGCAUCCUCAUGGCUCUGACCGUCUCGCACUUAUCAUAUUCUCCUCGUGCCGUAUCAACGUCAUUCCCACCAUAAUUCUAUUCAAUUCUUCGCCAUCAUUCGCAAGCAGGCCGUCCACAAGUUCUUGUUUUCCGAGAGAGCUUGAUAGAUGGAUGUCAAAUGGCAAUUCUCAGCAGCGUGGCCUACCAAAGAUGCGUAUAAAUCUCUGUAACAUCAUAUGAUGCAGCAAUCAAAUCAAGAGAGCAACCCUUUUGUUUUUUGGGUUUUGGUGCACUCUUUGGGUUCUCUGAAUUGGAAGUACCUCUCAGCGUGUUGCCGGUGUGAUAAUUCGACACGACACAGCACGGCACAGCGCAGCUCUGUAUCGAUAUUUUUUAGGUUGUGCCUACGCUUAGCUUCCUCAGACCAAUCAUUAUUCAGAGUGCUUGAUGAUAGGACAUGCUUUCAUCAGUCGCCCCCUUAACCCAUUUGGUCUUCCUGCUAGUCGCUUUCUUCGGCCAAGAACGAAAGGGUCAGGACGCACGCAAUGGGUGUUCAGAAGAGGUUGUUUUUCCUUGCCGUGACAGUGAUUAUCCCAAACUGCACUGUUGUUUCUUCAGGCCAUCUGUUUGUCUUCAACACAAGGAUACGGGUAUCCACUGAUCUGAGGUCACACUUUUAGUAUAUUUUGGAGCCAUCUUGCCUGAAUUGCAUCGUCUUUUCGAAUGUCAACGGGUAAAAACCACUUCUGCCAAACCCAUGUUUAGCCAUGGCUGAAUAGAAAACAGAUGCUGUUGCCAAACAAUACAGGUAUAACCUGCAAGACGAUGCUCGUAGUAUUAGAAUGGCACCAUUAAAAAGGAGACGUCGAUGGAUAAUGCUGUGGUCGCCUCCCUGCAAGGGAACUAACGGCCCAUAACGUGUCGCUUCCCUUGUUGGGUUCGCUCGGUUUUCUGUUAAGUGUCAACUUCUGCCAUGAAAGAAACCCUCCAAGUUGCGCCUGUCGUGCUCCUCCAUUACUCUCCCCCCACAAAGUUGCCUUAAACAUAUUUUUUGUUGCUAAUUGGUCUCCUUCAUUUCGCAUAGCAGAUAACACAAGAAAGCAAGCAAGGCAAAUACCAAAAAUUCAGUCGACUUAACAACACUGUUCACUUGCAUAUGUUGAUAUGUAUGACAGAGAAACCGAAUAUAUAUAUUUAUAUAUGGUUGAAAAGUAAACCCCUCUUGCUCCAUCGUCUCACCGAGUUUUGCGAGAAUUCAGCGCAAUCCACAUGCAACAUGUACAGAAAACAUUCAGGCUUUCAGAUCAGAGGCUUGCGGCGCGCUCUGCAACUGAAAAAUCCUCGAUCUUUUUCCCGGAGAGUCGACGGGCAGGGGGAUGGGGGGUGACUGAUCGAUACCUGGCAUCAGGCAUUGAGUUGCCAGACUGACUAAUCAACUAUUACCACAGGGUACUUACUUACUUACUAAAUCGGCCCUCCUCCUCAUCUUGUUAUUAUGGACCGGUGCCACCAAACCGAGCUGCAUUCCAUGUCAGCGUCGGGGGUCUCUAUUGCGCGGCCGCGAUCGAGGACGACGACCGGCUGGGCCACGCCGAGGGCGGCCUCCAGGAGGCCGCCGUCUGUUGCUUGCGCCUCUUGGGGUCCUCCAGCUCCGACGUCAGCAUCUCGAACAUCACCUGCACGUCCUUGUAUCCACAGGUCUGCACGUCCUCAUGAAGCUUCAGCAGGCUGCCUCCACCGCCUGCACGCACGAACCAACACAAGGAUAAGGGUUUUGUCAUUGUCAUGGAUUUCGCACCACUUUGUCAGUGGAGAGGAAAGCAGCAACUAUGCUAUUGCUUAUGCUGGCUUCUUCUACACCUCAGGAAUUCGUGGGGAGGAGAUGAAAGACAUGUGACACUCGUCGCCACUCGUGCGAAUGGAAUGACACGUCAGCUUCUUUUUAACCAAGGAAAGAGAUUAUGUUUGGUUGAAAGAAUUAUUAAAACAAACAACAGCACACCUCAAAUUCUUUUGAUGUCAUCAUCUCCUACUGGCUACUCCCCACCCCCGGUUUUUUUUUUAUGAGAACAUUUCCUACUUGGCGUUUUCCUUGCACAAAUGGCGAACUAGCAAGCUGAUUGGGCUCUAGGUUCCUUCCUUUCUUGGGCAGGUCGAACAACUUGGCAAUUUGCGUCAUGGGCCUAGCACAAAUGGGAAAGCCACCCAGGCCCGUGCACAACUAAAGCUCUAUCUAUCCACUAUUAUUAGACAGACCUUGGGACCAGAAACAAUAAUGGGCUUCCGCCACUGGCGAUAUAAUCGAAGCUGCCGAGUCAAUGGUGUCUUUUAUUCUUCUGGAUAAAAAGGACGGAACAAACAAGACAGCACCAUAGCACAUCAUUGGCAGGCCACAGAAACCCCAGAAACUAUCCUCACAAGGAAAAAACUCCCAGAAGAGGAAGUAAAAGAGAUGAGGCAGCAUCUCAUUCCCAUCACACACCCAGUGAAAAAAGGGAUAAAAAGUGAAACAAACGGGGUAAAGAGGGACCUUCAAAUUCGAUAUUCUUCUACUGCAAGAUCGAUGGCUAGAGACACUCCGUCAUGCGUCCUUAUCCAGAAACCGCACGCCCCUUUUUCCUCAGCUAGCCAAGAACAUUCCCCACCUCGGAUUCUCACCACGAAGCUUCUUCUUUCGCCCCUUUUCCACCACCUAAAACUUUACCACAAAGGCGCACGACACGCAUGAAUAUAUGCGCCCUUUAUUCCCAGCCCCAAACGAGGGCGAGCGAUCGAGCGCCGCAAGUUCACUGGCACGGCGACGUGUGGCUUUUUCUUUAUGGGACGGCAAUGCAUGCCAUGGCGACUGACGUGACUCCAUGUUGCUGCAACGGACGGCUGGGGACAAAAAGCAAAGGAGAUAGCUCCACAAAGACACAAAACAAAAAUGUAAAGCUUGUCAUCACCUAUUGGCCGGCUGCCAUCGCCCCGAUCUCCGAAAAAACUGCUAUCAUCGCACUAUUUCAACAGAAAAAAGAUGUACUGUAGGAUCCAUGGGCUGGCGGCUCCGGUGGCCUGCGACGUUCUUCCCGGGGGCCCCGGUUUGGUUUGUCCAUGCGAUCAUUGCGCCUACUAGUAGCAGUACUAUGAUACGGCGUCCUACGACGAUCCUGCCAUAGGUCCAUGACCAUAAGCUCGAGUUCUAGACAAGUUGGUGGUUAUGGGCCACACUAUCUUCCAAUGAUUGUGUAGUUGAGUCACAUUUUUCCAUGGAAAACCUCCGGAUGACCGCAAGAGAACCAUUGGCAGUGGCAGACCGCUCCCCUUGCGCACCGCCGCAGCCGCAAAAGCUCAGUUCAGACUACACUGGCUGAAUUAUUGGAGGGCAAUGGCAAUGCACACUUGCUAAGACAAGGAUCUCAAGACCAGACAAUGGAAGCUGCGAGAGAAGAGGACACCACGAGCAUACUGCCGCUACUUUUUCUCUCUAAAGAUUUGCACGGUGUCAAGGAAGAUCUUGUGCAGGCGUGAGGUAAAGAUAGUUAUCAGUAGCAAUUGACAGUACGACGAAAAUCGGAUGGCGCAUAGCAGUAGACGACGAGCAGGCCCACGACACUGGGUAUGGACGGUACUGGCUGGCGGCACAGUGCGGCCAGUGCAUGCCAAGUACUGGUGACGAGAUCUCACACUGUGCGGCGCUGCUAAUUCAUUCCUUGCAGUUGCAGUUGCAGGUUUGCUGCCAAGUUCCUUGUAUGUGCACUUGUGUACCGACAGCGAGGUUGACUUGCUCGGCAGAGCAUUUAGUCUGGUGCAAGUGCAAGAUGGAUUUUGAAGAGAAAUAUACCUAACUGAACCCGUUGAAACUCGGAAGAAAUUUUCGGCAUGGGUGGUCGGCAGCAAGAAUUGAGAAAGAGGCCACCAGACUUUUCUUUCGCCUCAGGGCCCCGCACGUGUUAGAAUAUGUGAGGGGAGGAGCUAGAUUUGGGGGGAUGCCAGUGCGAGGUGACGGGGCGCGGAGGUGUGGUUUCUAGACUGAAACUGCAAAGUCCAAUCCGAUCUACUUACAUCAUGGCUGUAUUUUAGUGGGGAGGAACCGCAUUCCAAAAUGGAUUAGUCUUUGACCCGUGUUAAAUUGAAUUGAUGGGUGUGGUCAAUGCCGUAAGGAUGAAGAAAUUGCCGAUCAAAGUAAGUUCAAUUCCAAUUAUAAUACUGCAGACUAAACUAAGGGCCAAUUAUACUAGCUGUUGAUAAAACAGCUUGAGGGUUCACUGGUUUCUUGCGGAGGCUGUGUAUAUAAACAAACCAAUCAUGAAGACUGAACCAUCACCUAACCGCUACCCAACUCUGAUAAGUUUUCUGAAAUUCUGGAUUGGGAGGGGAGAGAUGGAGAAGACAGUAACAAGCAUGGCUAGGCUAGGCUAGGAUAUCUAUCACUGUCCUGCUGAGUAUGAAACUCUCUGUUCAUCUAGGCGGUUAUUAUUGCAGUUUAACCUGAAAAAACCUCAGCCACGCGCGCGUGUCACCUGUCUGGAAUUCUAGUGGAUGCUACAGUGCUGUUUUAUCUCACGGAGUGGAGUGGUAAACACAAACCACGAGCGAAUUCCGCGGUGAUCGCCACGGGAACUCAUCAACUGACUAAACUGAAGCAGGGGGUGUCGCUCUGCGUGUGGCAACCAUAAACCUCAGAAUUCGGCGCAACUGACUCAACUGAUCAGGCGGCCAGGCGCCGGAGCACGCGUCUGACCGGCGUGCCCAGGGCCACGGAUCGACCAAUGGACGACGGCGAAGGCGAAGGCUCGGCCGUGCGUGCGUGGACGGGGAGUAGAGGGUGCGUUGCGUACCUGUCUUGCGGGAGCGGACGCGGGCGGAGACGGCGGCGAGCGCGCGGCGCGCGGGGAAGACGACCUUCUUCCGCCACCAGGCCAUCAUCGCGCGCACGGGCGCCGGUAUCCUCGCGGCGGCGGCCAGCCUCGACGCCCGCCCUCCGUCGGUCGCUCGCUCUUGCUGGGUGUUUUGGGAUUGAUUUUUGAUUUUGAUCUCGAAUCGGAUCGAACCGAACCGAACGCGGCCCUCGAUCGAUCGCCUGCUGAGUCCUGACUGACGCCGCGCGGUUGGGGCUGAUGGGCACUGUUGGGCUGCAGUUUAUAGGCGAGGGCGAGGCCGAGGGCAGCACUGGUCGCGGUUGUUGGUUGGUUGCACUCUCUGCGUUUUGGAUUCGUGUGCUCUGCCUUUUUAUCUCGCUCGCGUGCCUUUAGCGUGGCUAGCGCUUUGCUGCUAUCCGCACCCCAGCCCCGCCCCCCGCAAAAAUGCUUUUCUUUUCUUGUCCUACUAAAAACUCGGGGUUAACUCAAAUCUUACCAAAACCAUGCCAUAUAUUAACUUAAUUAAAUCAAAUACAACCAUAGUAAAACCUAAACUAAAUCAACAAUUUGUUGUCUUCUCCUAUCUAUACUCAAAUCAAAUCUUAUCAAAAUGUAGAGUAUGGUUGGCCUAACGAAUAUGCAACAUGAUUGGUAUUGAACCACUAGAAUAUGUAAGCCCGGUUUGCAACGCAUAGAUAAUUAGCUAGUUAGUUUUAUGGCAAAAAAAAAUACUAAUAUCUAGUUAAAUUCAUGGUUAAAGUCUGAUCCAAAAUAUGAAUUGACUAAUAAACCUAGACAAAUGAAAUUCCCUAGACUAUUUUUUAAUUAUUGUAAGUACCCCCUUCGUCUGGAAUUACUGGUUGAAGAAAUAAAUGUAUCUAGAUGUAUUUUAGUUCUGGAUAUUUUUUUAUUCAUUUCUGCAACAAGUAAAUCCAGACGAAUGGAGUACACAUAGGCCCGCACUCAUCUACAAAAUAUUAGACUCGCAAAGCUUCAAGUUUAAGAAAGUCACGAUAAAGAUCAUGCUAUUGACUACAGUAUCAUCUUGAUGGAAAUUUAAGGCGCUUUAAUGUAACGCGAGUGCAUUAGACGUGCAGUUUUCCAUGAUGAACUAGACAUUCAACCAAUGGUUCGGUCUUGAGCCACUCUAAACUACAGAGAUUUCAACUUCUGAUGUGAUUAGGUCUGUGCCAAUGCAUCGUCUCUUAGCAUGUAAUUAUAUAUGUAAUAAAAACAUAAGAAAUAACUAGUACAAUGCAUUGUAUCUUAUGUGUUCUGUUCAAAUUUAAUGUUUAUGGCUCAUGCAUGCAAGUGAUUGGGUUAACACCUCUUUUUUGCCUAUGGCCAAGUGCCAAGGUUGUAUAUUAAUUAAGAUACAACCUCACUACCUCUCUUCCUUAAAUACAGUGUCACAUAUGCAAAAUGCCUAUGAAACCGUGCUAAGAGACUUGCAUUCGCACAUGCUUUAUACAUCAAUCGAUCUCUUGUGGCCACACCAUCCUCCACAUGACCUCGUCCAUCAAAGUAUGCUAAGGGUGUGUCCGUGACGUUUUCUUAUUAACAUAGUCUUGUGAUGUUUCUUUAGUAAAAUGCUGGUUUUGUGCAAGAUGUAUAAUUUCUGGCUCCUUGCAUAUUAGAGAUGCGCUGCUAGGUUAUUAUUUGCCAAAAGGCGCACACCAAUACACAAUCAUCUCGCGCAUUCAUCUAUGGAAAAUUCUAGAAUGUGACAUGUUGAGUUUCAUAUAAAAUACAAUUAGGAUUGUUUAUUCGACAUGUCCACGAAGUUUGAAGAGGGUGAAUGCACACCGAAUAAAGUGGAUUCAAGUACAAUGCAAGUUCUGCAAAAAUGUAUAUUUUGUGGCUCAUUGCAGACUAUUGACGGCUAUGUACUUGGCUGGUAUUGGCAAAAGGCACACGCCAACACACAAGCAUCUCCUGCAUUCGGUUAUGGAAAUUUCUACAAAGUGACAUGUUGAGUGCCGUAGAGAACACAUUCCAAGAUUGUUUUCUCAUAUGUGUCCGUAAAUUUGAAGAUGGUGAAGGCACGCAAAAACAAAGUGAACUUUAGUAGAAUGCAAGUUCGGUAGAAGAUGUCGUGACCUAUUGAAUUUCGUAUAAAACACAUUUUCGGGUUUGUUUUUUUGGACGAUCCAUAAGAUUCGAAGAGGGUGGAAGCAAGCAAAAAUAAAGUGGAUUUUAGUAGAAUCCAGGUUUUGCACAAGAUGUCAUGACGUAGUGAAUUUCAUAGACAUCAUGUUCUGGAGUUUGGUUUCUUCGAUGACCCAUAUGAUUUGAAGAUGAUGAAGGCAAGCAAAAUAAAGUGAAUUUUAGUAGAAUGCAAGUUCAGUAGAAGAUGUCGUGAAUUAUUGAAUUUCGUAGACAACAUGUUGUGGAGUUUGGUUUCUUCGAUAAUCCAUAAGAUUUGAAAUUGAUAAAGACAUGCAAAAUAAACUAUUUUUUACUACGAUGCAAGUUUUGCAGGAGAUGUACAUUUUAUGGCUUGUCACUUACUAUUGACAGGCUAGCUACUUGGAUGGUAUUGCCAAAAGGCACAGACCAACACACAAGCAUAUCAUACAUUUCAGUUAUGGAAAAUUUUAGAGCAAAACUUGUUGAAUUUCAUAAAAAAAUAUGUUAUAUUGAUUUUUUAUGUGUCCAUUAAAUUUGAAGUGGGCAAAGGCAUGUAAAAAUAAAAAACUAUUUUAGUAGGAUGUAAGUUAUGUAGAAAAUUUCGUGAACUAUUGAAAUCUGUAGAAACGUCUUACGGAGUUUAGUUUGUUCGUUGAUCCAUAAGAUUUGCAGAUGGUACGAUGCAAGUUUUGCAUGAGAUGUACUCCCGUUGAGACACUUAUUUUGAAACGGAGGGAGUAUAUUUUAUGGCUUGUCAUAGAUUAUUGACGGGCUAGCUACUAGGAUGGUAUUGCCAAAAGGCACAAUAAACCCACGGAUGAGCAUCUUGUGCGUUCAGUUAUGGAAAAUUCUAGAGCAAUAAUAUCGUGUAACCAUGCUCAUGGUUUUGCACCAUAAAAUGUGCAAGGGCCUAUUAUAAAUUCAGGAACAAUAAAGAGGUAGUAAAUGAGAUAUCAUGACACCCUGAGUUCUGAAGAAAAUACGUUAUUAUUAUUUUUUGCGGUAAAAUGGAGUUUUAUUCCAAAAUUACAGGAUUAUAAUCUACUAGCAAGAGAUCCUCAAUACACGGAGGGCCUCUCUGAAGCCAAACAACAGUACAAGAUCACAUUAUGUUUCUUUUUUUAUGUUCCAUAAAAUGUGACAUGGGUGAAGGCACGCAAGAUAAUGUGCAUUUUUCGUGAGUUUAUACAUUUGUAAGGGUAACUCCAACGGGCCGACCUAAACGGACGACGAUUUUGUCCUUUUUUAUCCGUUUUAGUCGGCUAGGCGGACACGAACGUCCGCUUCUGCAGAUGGAUCAGCGCAUGUGCCCAACGCUGACCGGACCAAUUUUUGUCGGCGUGCGAAAAAAAAAUACAUAAGUGCAUAAUUAAACAUAAAAAGCUGGGCACGAAGGCCGGCGAGAGUUCACCACAUUACAUUAAUUAAACAUAAAAAAACCUAAAACUACGAGGGCAGCCCUAGGCGUCGUCGUCGUCGUCAUCGUGGCCGGUGAGGUCAACCAGCGUAGGCACAUGGCCGACCCAGGGGAACACCGUGUUCCAAAGCGCAGCUGCCUGCGUCUUCGUCGUCUGUCCCGCCGGCGCGGGCUGUGCUAGUGGCGGUGGCAGCGCAGCAGCAAGGGCACGCUCCUCCGCCUCCGCCCCCCGUCGUUCCUCCUCCGCCUCCUUAUCCAGCUCCAUCAGCCAAAGGCCGGCUGCGGUCGCUGACGCGUGGGCUCGAGGAUGACGACCGUCAUAAAUAAUGUUGACCGCGGUGGUUGGGGGCGGACACCGAGAGGGCGCGCGCGCCCGCGCCGACGCAUUUUAGUCCUAAAUUUGGGUCGGAAAUGUGUCGGCGCAGACGCGUUUUGGUAAUGGAUAGGCACGUUGGGUCAUCAUUUUUGUCCAUGCCGAUCCAAACAAAAGGCGACGGACGAAAUGGGUCGCGUCCAUUGGAGUUGCUCGAAGUGUUGUAGUCCAUAGACACCUACAUAGUGCAUUUUCGGUUUUUACUACAUGUACCACCCCAUGGGCCCGCGUGUCGAUUCUAGGACGAUGACGAGCAGAUCACCGACUCCUCACCCUCGCGCGUGGCCGCAGCAUUUUCAGCGUACCGUCCUCAGCCCCACCACGCAUCCCCGUCGCACGAGGCUUCAACCUCCGCCUCACAAGGUGGCGCGUGGGGAGCUCCUAUUCGUCGAGGUGCCUCACAAGGUGGCAGGGCACGUUUCCGUUGGACUCGAAUGCCCCUCUUCAAAAACUCUGAAACCUCUGCGCUGAAUUUUUUUCCGCGCCUUCAGUCCGGUCUCCCGUGGCUGGCCUGGCUAGAAGAGACGUACGUGUACCGGUAUUUGCAAAAUCUCUCCUCGAAGAGCGAGCAUGUCAUGUGUGCCGGCAUAUCUUUGGGACAUGUGAUGGGUUUUGUACACGCCGACGCCGGUGAGGUCCUCUGGCCGUAACGAGCAGGACAUGUAUCUCCGGACGGAGAUCUGCCGACGCAGGCGGGCGUGCGGGACGGGACAGCCGACCGGCCACGCCUCCGCGGCCGCGCAUGCACGCGUGCGUUGCGACGGGGUCGGGGCGGCACGGCGAGACGGACGCUUGUGCGCCGCGGACGCUUGCCGGGCCCCGGUGGGUGGGAACUGAGCGCGACCUGCAUCGUCGUGUCAUUGCCGUGCGAAUGUGAUAUGACAUCGUCGACGUUGUUGCGCCGCUGCGUGUAUAUCGGCACGAGGGCGGGCUCGCUCGGCGACGGCGACCUUGCGUGGGCUCUGGCGGUGCGGCCGUACGCUGACGAGCAGCACGUAGUGAUCGCCGUCCGUUGUGGCAUCAGAAGGUUUGGUGAGGGUUGACGCACACAAGAGAGCUAGGUUCACACUUCAAAAGAUAAGAUCAACUCCAACGGAUUGAGCUGAACGGACGCAGAUGAUUGUCUUUGGUUUUCUGAACGCGGCAUAGGCUGUCAGACGCGGUCCUCUGCCUCCCUCUCCCGGCGCUUCUCCUCCUCCUCCUGCGCCUAGCGUCGCUGGAGCUCCAUCUGCUGCCCGACCUCUGCGCGUGCUUCAUGGAAUGCUGGAGGUAAGCUGUUUCCUGCUCUGGCGUGGCGUCGAGCCACACGAACGACGCGCAGAACCAUUCACGGAGAACGUCGAUCCACUGGUACCGCUCCGGCUCAGGCUCGUACGGCGCCUCGACCGCCUCAGGCGGCGGCGAAGGCUAAGGGACGGCGUAGUCGCCGGUCGCGGACAAAGCCAAGGCCAUCUCCAGGGCUACGACAGAUCUUCGUCGGGAUGAUACUUUAGUCACCGUCAUGAUCUCCUGCGCGUGGUGAAGCCACCUUGCUCACGGGUCCUCCGUAGCACGACUGUCACAUUUGUCAAUAAUAAAUAAUGAUUUUGACAUAAGUCAUUUAAAGUGGCAAUCUUUUUGGCUUCAGCCAUCAUGUCAUACUGUCACGCGCAGGCCACUUAAUGUUACAUUUAUCUCAUACAUAAUCGAAUUAUCAUGACGAAGGCUAUACUACAUCACAUACAAUCAUGUAAAACCAAGUUGGACAUCUUCUAAUCGGUUUGGCAAAUUUUAAUUACGUGGUUUCCAGGGUUUCAGCAUAACAAUAGCUACCUACGUCCAUCAUUAAGGCGAUAAUCCUUAUUGCUAGAUUAAGUUUCAGGAUGUGUGAGGAGGGAGACUUAGUUAUAAAUCUCUAGCCCCACACUAAACUUCAUCAAUACGUGUGACCCCUACAAGAUUGACCAUCUUCGUCGCCCUAUUGCGUAUGCGACGGUUUACUAUUCUUGACUAUGCCGAGGCCCAAAGAACUGUUAGCAUAUUGUCGACACCCAGAGCAGAUUGAUUGUCAAAACUUUGUACAAAGCCACAUCGUGCCGUCAAUGAACUGAACCGAAGCAACACUAGGGAAGCAUAGCAAAAACAUCAAAUCCUCACAUCCACAUGUGAUCUAGAUCGCAACCUGGAUGUACUCAUGCAACCGCUCAUGACGCCACUAUUGGGAAACGUAAUAAAAAAAUCACCCUACGAUUAACCAGGAACACUAUGAAGAUACAAUAACGAUUGGGAUCACGAUCGUUAUUACAACCGAGUUACGACAAAAGAAGAGCGCCACGAUGAAGAUCGAUCUUGGAGUGCCUCAACUCGUAGAUGGACGAUCCCGCGAACCGCCCACGAACAAUCCCUCGAAAGUAAGAACGAAAGCACGACCUUUCUACACAUUGCAAGUGUACAGUCUUCACGAUCCGGCAGCGCUUUGCCGUCCAGAGCUAAUCGUCACCGAAGAAUUAGAGGGGGAGAGGUAUUAGAACCACACUGGACUUCUAAUUAUGAGGAUUAGAGGAACUAGACCUAGCUCUAAUUAGUCAACUAGGACCAUCUACACCUAGAACUAGAGAACUAGAGAUGGCUCCAAAACUUGUGUCUUAAAAAGGUGCCAAUAACUCAAGUGUAUAUAGGUUGGAGGGGAGAGAGAGGGCACCACAAGGGGAGGGAAAGUCCCUCCCCUUUGGCCGGCCAAUUCGGCCUUCUUCCUUAAAGGACGGGGCGCCUCCCCACUUGGGCCCUUUGUUGGAGAAUGUUGCAUGGGAAACAAAAAUUUGCCUACGCACACGAAGACCUAUCAUGGUGAUGUUCAUUUACGAGAGGAGAUUAGAUCCACAUACCCUUGUAGAUCGCUAAGCGGGAAGCGUUGAGAAACGCGGUUGAUGUAGUGGUACAACUUCGUGAUUCAAAACACUGUCGUCCCACGAUCCGUUCCGAUCUAGCACCGAACGGACGACACCUCCGCGUUCAGCACACGUACAGCUCGAUGACGAUCUCGGCCUUCUUGAUCCAGCAAGAGAGACGGAGAAGUAGAUGAGUUCUCCGGCAGGGUGAUGGUGCGCUGGUGGUGGUGAUGAUCUACUCCUGCAGGGCUCCGCCCGAGCUCCGCAGAAAUUCAAUCUAGAGGAAGAACUACGUGGUAUAGGUUUGAGUUGCACGUGGCAAAGUUGUGUCUCAAAAUCCCUAAAACCAUCAAUAUAUAUAGGAGGAGGGGAGGGGCUAGCCUUGGGGCUCAAGGGAGCCCCAAGGGCGCCAGCCGAAGGGAAAAGGUGGACUCCCACCCCAAUUCGGUUUGGGGGAAGAAGUCCACUCCUUCCUUCCCACCUCCCUCUUUCCUUUUUUUUCCUUUGGUAUUUUUCCCUUGUGGCGCCAUAGCCCUCUUGGGCUGGCCUCACCAGCCCACUAAGUGUUGGUGCACCACCCUAGGGUCACUGGCCUCACUCCCGUGUGGGUGGGCCCCUCCCGGUGAAUAUCCGGAACCCAUUCUUCACUCCCGGUACACCGUCGGUAAUGCCCCAAAACUUUCCGGUAACCAAAUAAAACCAUCCUAUAUAUCAAUCUUCGUUUCCGGACCAUUCCAGAAACCAUCGUGACGUCCGUGAUCUCAUCCGGGACUCCGAACAACCUUCGGUCACCAACACAUAUAACUCAACUAUACUAAAACGUCACCGAACCUUAAGUGUGCAGACCCUGCGGGUUCGAGAACUAUGUAGACAUGACCCGAGAUACUCCUCGGUUAAUAUCCAAUAGCGGGACCUGGAUGUCCAUAUUGGAUCCUACAUAUUCUACGAAGAUCUUAUCGGUCGAACCUCUGUGCCAAGGAUUCAUAUAAUCCCGUAUAACAUUUCCUUUGUCCUUCGGUAUGUUACUUGCCCGAGUUUUGAUCGUCGGUAUCCGUAUAUCUAUUUUAGUCUCGUUAACGGCAAGUUUCUUUACUCGUUCCGUAAUACAAGAUCCCGUGACUCACACUUGAGUCACAUUGCUUGCAAGGCUUGUAUGUGAUGUUGUAUUACCGAGUGGGCCCCGAGAUACCUCUCCGUCACACGGAGUGACAAAUCCCAGUCUUGAUCCAUGCUAACUCAACGGUCACCUUCAGAGAUACCUGUAGAGCACAUUUAUAGUCACCCAUUUACGUUGUGACGUUUGAUACACACAAGAUAUUCCUUCGGUGUCAGUGAGUUACAUGACCUCAUGGUCAUAGGAAUGAAUACUUGACACGCAGAAAACAAUAGCAACAAAAUGACACGAUCACAUGCUACGUUCAUAGUUUGGGUCUAGUCCAUCACAUGAUUCUCCUAAUGAUGUGAUCCAGUUAUCAAGUGACAACACUUGCUAUUGUCAGAAAACCUUAACCAUCCUUGAUCAACUGGCUAGCCAACUAGAGGCUUGCUAGGGACAUUGUUUUGUCUAUAUAUCCACUCAUGUAUCUAUACUUUCAUUCAAUACAAUUAUAGCAUGGAUAAUAGACGAUUAUCUUGAAACGGGAAAUAUAAUAAUAACUAUAUUAUCAUUGCCUCUAGGGCAUAUUUCCAACUCCCUUGUGGCCCAAGUUGUUCCCGUCCACUUGGCCUUAUUAGGGUUGUUGAUAUAUUACUGCUUAUUUUAAAUUGAAGCUUUGUUUGUAUGUUGUCAUCAAUUAACAAAAAGGGGCAGAUUGGAAGCACAUAUGCUCCCUUAAAGGUUUUAAUAAUUCAUAACAACAUACAUUAUUUCUUGGACUAACAGUUCUACCUAGUUGGUUUUAGAUUGAGUCCAAAGAUUGCUAUGGCUGGAAGUUGUGAGGAGAAUCCCCAAGGAGGAAAGGAGUAGGAUUGGAAAAAGCUUCAAGCUUCAAGAUUCUACAUUUUAAUUUUUUGUGAAAAAUUACAUUUGAGUCCAUAGAAAAGCCAAUACUAUUAAAAGGGGAUGAGGUAUCUAAAAUAAUCUGGUUGCUCAAAGUGCUUAGAGAUUUGCCACCAAAAACCUUAACAUUUCCCCCACAAAAUAUUAUGUCCUAAACCCUAAAGAUCAAAUUCGGGGCCACCAACAUUUCCCAUAUCGCCCGCAUCGAGUCUUCAUUAGACAGAACCGAAGGCAAACCCUAGCAAAUUGGUACAACCAAGAUUCGCUUUGGUACACCCGAAAAGCAGUGACCAACCUUUUGGUAUCCAUUUGUUAAAAAUCAGAAUUCCUGAGUUUUAUAUAUCGGUGCCACCGAAGUGAAGAACUGCCCAGGCCAGCCGAAUCAGCCUCACCGAGAUGCUUCUUAUUGGUCUCACCCAGAACCCAAAAGUUAGGACGGUGCAACCGAGUAUUUACUCCGGUUUCAUCGAGUUGGGCAAUAAUAUUGUAAUGGUUAGAUUUUCUCAAUGGGGAGUACUAUAGUCAAUGGAAAGACAAAAUGCUUGAUCUAUUUGAUGAAUUUCAUUUGAGAAAGCAUCACUCGUGCAGUGAUGUGCUAUACAAACGGUUUUUAAAUCCUUUCCGCAACGUAGUUUUAAACCAUCGCCUUGCCUGUGUCGGUGAUAGGGGGGUCCAUCCCACACGACACGGAAAAUCAUCGACGAUGGUGACCUACGAACGCAAACUUUUCACAAAACUAAACGUAUGGGAUGUCCGCACCUAUCAGAAACGAGAGUUAUCGGACAACCGUUUGAGAUAUGUCAUAUUUCCCAUACGGCCCAUCUUUGCUGCUCGUGUGAGAUCGCAUUACCAACGCACACGCUACUCUGUGGUGCACCGUUUACGAUAUGCGUCGCAUCACGAAACCCUUCUCCCAUCUAGCGAGAAGGCCAAUGAAGAAGAAGGAGGAGGAGGGCGCCUCUCCCCCUCUCUUCCGAUGGAGCGAGAGUGCUGCGAGGGGAAUCAUCGUGGCGACGAUCUACACCAACAACUCCGUCGUCUUCCUCAGACCAUCAUCACCUUCCCUCAUAUAUUAUCAGCGAUACACUCUCCCGCAACCCGCUGUACCACAUACUUAAACAUGACGUUUUAUGUUAUAUAUUAUUUUCUAAAUGAUGCGUAGUCACCCCGUGAUGUUUGAGUAGAUCAUUUUUGUCUUAUGGCUUGAUUGAUGACCAUGACUAGUUUGAGUUGUAUAUUUUAUUGGUGCUAUCCUAUAAUGACUUCUCUGUCUCACAUACGUGAGGGAAUUAUCGUUGUAGGGUGUUGCAAUAUGUUUAUAAUUUGCUUAUAAAGUUGUGAAAGUGACAUAAACUUAAGCUCGAGUAAGAGAAAUGUUGCAUAUGGGAUAAAGGGGACUAUACACUUAAACCUAUGAUUGAGUUUUACCUUAAUAAUCUUUAGUAGUUGCAGAUGCUUGCUAGAGUUUCAAUCAUAAGUGCAUCUGAUCUAAGUACACAAAGUAUAUUAGCUCAUGCCUCUCAUUCAUAUAAAACUGCAACAACGACGACCGAUCUAGUUAUCAAUUGCAUAUGACAAUCUCACAUACCCUACCAUCACUUUUCCACACUCGCUAUAAUUGUUAUUUAUCCAAACAUUCCUUAACUUUUAUUUACAUGUUCUUUAUUAUCUUGCAAACAUAUUCAAUUGCACCUACGAAAUAGUUUUGUUUCUUGUACUGGUAAAGUAAAUUUUAUUGUGCGUAGACUUGUAUCGGUGGUCGAUAGAACUUAAAAGAAUAUUAAUUCUACGUUUAGCUCCUCGUUGAAUUCGACACUCUUAUUUGUUAAAAAGACUACAAAUGACCCUCUACACUUGUGGGUUAUUUUCGUAAAAAAAAGUCAUAGUAUGAAAAGUGAAUUAUGAAAGUAAACCUGAAUAUGAAUACGCUCAAUGCAAGAUAACAAUUAUGUGUGAAUACGCUCAAUACGAAUACGCAAUCCUCAAAAAAAAAUCAGCAUGUGGCUCAUUCUGAUUGGUUAAUCAUGUGUGAAGUUUGUUGAUCGAGAGGUAGGCGCUGCAAUGCAGAUAAGGGUUUUACAGCUGGCUCGCUCCACAGAAUACCAAAGCAACCUACAAUCCCCAGUGCACAAGCCAAACUAUGAGAAGCAAAGACAUAACAAGCAGUCCAACGAAGGACCCGACUGAAGCUGUCACAGUCCAAAAGUUUCAGAGUAUCGGAAACAGAAGAUAUAGCAGGAAUUAAUACGUGCCCCGGAGCACAGCCACCAGAGUCGCACUCAACAUGAGCAGCACGAGCUAGCAGUGUGGAAGCGUUUCAUCAACAAGACAACAAGGAAAAUAAACCUUAAUUCUUGCGAGUGCACCCUGCUUUGCUCGUCGUUUAUUAUUAGUCUUCGGUCCCAACGCCGUCAAAGUAAGCCUCCCCAAUCUUCAAGAUCCCAGUCAUAGGCUUCAGGCCCAGCGCCGCCAAAAUAAGGAUCCCCAUGGUACUCCAGCUCAACCUUGAGAUUCUUGAUCGCGGCACAUUUCACUCGCAGGGCGGCCUCGCUGCCGAUGUUGAACGAAUAGUGCACGAGAAGAGUCUCCAGGCGAGGGCAGGCGUCAACGGCGGUGAUCAGCUCCUCGGUGGUGAGGUUAACCAUGUCUACCAGCUGAAGCGACCGCAGGUGCGGCGGCGGCGCUCUUAUCAUCGCACCGGUGAAGCCGUCUUUUGAGACGCCGCGGCAUGAGACCAGGCGCAGGCUUUUCAAAGAGGGCGACCUGCAACCGCAAGAAUCAGUAGACAGCAACUGUCGGAACACGGAUCUAUCUAGAACUAGAACUAGAACUAGAAUAUGUGUCAAUGUGUGUACGUACGUACCUCUUCCUAAGGUACAUGAGGAGCUCGUCAUUAACGAACCCCUUGGCCGCGAACGCCUCAAGACGACCAUCGGACCGGUCGACGGCCACCUUAGCCAUGGCGCGCAGAACACCCUUGUCCUGCUUGUUGACAACGGCGCCGUGACGCUCCAUGUCAAUGGUCCGCCACAUAUCCGCCGCUUUGGCCGCGUCGAGCCAUGGAUGGCACACGAGGCCGGCACCCAUGAGAACCUCGAUGGCGCCGGUCUUGGCGAAGAUCAGCGAAAGCACGUCCGGAGGUAGCCCCGACCAGUCCCUGUCCGGCACUGGCACGGCAUCCAUUAUUUCCUAGUUCCUACCAAGGCAUGAAGCCCCUACUCUAAGGCGGGUUUUGUAGAGGCGAGGGAUGUGAAACGUAGUUGAGCCGAGAAGACAGAGGGUUUGCGCGCAACGAGGAUUAAUCUCCCUGGAACUGGAAGAGAUGCACAUGUACAUACUUUUUUUGAACGCGUGAUUGUUUGUGUACACAGAACCGACCGAUGGCUCCCCCUGGCCGACAAACAAGAUGCACACACAAAUCCUUCCACAGAGAUCACCAAUGUACGUAGGCAUACUGCAGUGAUCCAACCAACUGUCUCGGUGUUUCAUAGAAAGCUAGAACGUUCUAGAAGCUAACUUGGGGGGGGGGGGGGGGGGGGGGGGGGGGGGGGGGGGGGGGGGGGGGGGGGGGGGGGGGGGGGGGGGGGGGGGGGGGGGGGGGGGGGGGGGGGGGGGGGGGGGGGGGGGGGGGGGGGGGGGGGGGGGGGGGGGGGGGGGGGGGGGGGGGGGGGGGGGGGGGGGGGGGGGGGGGGGGGGGGGGGGGGGGGGGGGGGGGGGGGGGGGGGGGGGGGGGGGGGGGGGGGGGGGGGGGGGGGGGGGGGGGGGGGGGGGGGGGGGGGGGGGGGGGGGGGGGGGGGGGGGGGGGGGGGGGGGGGGGGGGGGGGGGGGGGGGGGGGGGGGGGGGGGGGGGGGGGGGGGGGGGGGGGGGGGGGGGGGGGGGGGGGGGGGGGGGGGGGGGGGGGGGGGGGGGGGGGGGGGGGGGGGGGGGGGGGGGGGGGGGGGGGGGGGGGGGGGGGGGGGGGGGGGGGGGGGGGGGGGGGGGGGGGGGGGGGGGGGGGGGGGGGGGGGGGGGGGGGGGGGGGGGGGGGGGGGGGGGGGGGGGGGGGGGGGGGGGGGGGGGGGGGGGGGGGGGGUGUCAAACUUGGCGACCAAAUGGAGCAGAUGAAAUAGGCUUUGCCCAUAAUUUGACUUCAAGCCCUAAAUUAUUUGUGGAGACACGUGGACUUGCUAAUGUGAUUCGGUGACAACUUUUGGAGCAACAGAAAAGGUAAUGGCUCUGUCAGUGCAUGCAUGAUUGGUGAAUGAAGAAUAUCAUAACAAGAUUGGGAGUGUAUCACAGUAAUGGUGGGGGUCUUGGCAUUCUUCAAACAUAAUGCCUAGGCAGAAAAAAAAAUCCUAGCUAAAAACAUAAAAUCAUGCAAUCAGAAAUUCAUGCUCUUGUGCAAGAUAUGGCACUGGCCAUUCAACGCUCGGAUUGAUUGUAUACCUUUCUAGGUCAGCCUAUGGCCAUCUAGCUUAUGGGAUUAAGGAUUAUAUGGUCGCUAGGGAGUUUGUUCCUCUAAAAAUUAGCAGAGAUCAGAAUAGGGUAGCACAUUAAUUAGCAAACUAUAGCCGUAUCAAAGCUUGUACUGUAGUAUGGCUAGUGUCCUCCGUGUCCGUGUUGUGAGGAGCGGCUCUCUCGCAAUUGUGGUCUUAUCAUAAUUGAAUAAAAUUCCCUUUCUUCCUGCAAAAAAAAACGUAGAAUCUUGGGAAGUGCUCUUUUUUUGAACUGAGGCAAAGGAUUUGCCUCAUCGAUUAAUUAACCAGAAGCAAACUAUCCGGUUAAUUAACAAAAAACCAAACGAAAACCGAUAAACCCACCACAUGUGGACUACUCAUAAAGCAUGCAACUCCAUAUUGCAUAUUCCCAUGACCAGCCCGACUACAAAACCUAAAACGCAACAACCACCGGUGUAUCACAGUAAUGAUUCGAGAAAUAUCUUAUUACAUUAUACGUUUCCCAAUAACAAUGAACUCGAAAUCUGCAUGGUGGUGAAUAAGCGCAAAUGCAUGAUUUCAUCAAUCUAAGUGUUGUCCUGGUAUAUAUACAUAUACAACAAUUUAUACAGCAAUAAGCUCAGGCAAUUUGGACACAGCCGAUCGUCCAAUUGGGUAUUUAUGUUUUAUUUACAAUGCGUAAAUGAACAAGCUUGUACUGGUUGAGGCUAGAUAUUCUUAUCUUAUUGUCAAUGUACCUGAAAGGAAAGUCAUAGAUGUUAGGACAAGAAUUCACUAUCAAUGUUGAGUCACCAAUGACCAAACAAAUUGGUCAGUCCAUAACUCUUAUCUUUAAUUCAAUGGGAAAUGGGAAUCAAGUCUUACAAGAUCUCCAUGACAAAUUCUCCUCCAGUUUCCAAGGGAAACUGUAUGCCACCAACUUGAAUAACGCCUUCAUUCAUGGACACGCUGAAGGUAUUAUUGUUGUUCCCUGUUUUGCUGCAAGUUCAACACAACAUACUUAGCACAAAAUAUAAGUGUACCUUUUGUAGUGGUAUUGAAAUGGAGGUGCAUAAAUCAAGAUCACAAGGGAGUUCCAAGAGAGGAACAGAAUAAACAUGUGUGACCUGAAUUUUGAUACAUGUACAGAGUGAAUAGUAACAAACUGAUGUAUGAAGCUUGUGCGCCAACUGCGCAUUGAUGUAUGAAAGUAGUAAUGAAACGAUCCAAUGUCCUGAUGGUUUAAACAUCUACGAAGUAUGUACCAUUCUUACGGUCUUCCUGCAACACGUGUGACAUCACCUCUCCUGCAUGUGACCAUGUGUACAGAAUAUUGUACUGUACAGUCAUACAUGUUCGCAUCUCCUUAUGGCAUUAGUGAAAUAUAUGAUGUUUUCUUUGAUUCUGUGACAUAUUAGUUUUAAGGGUUAUAUAUCACACAAUAUAUGCUUCACUGCUAUGGUCUUUGACGACUGAAACGAUCCCAAAAAGGAAAUAUACAUGAACAUAUAUGCAGCUCUUCAACUUACCAUAUGUUGCCUCUUGCACUGAGGCUGACACCUGGAAAGGGGUUCACCAAAUUCUUCAGUUGCCCAUCUUCAUUUAUGGUCUGAAUGAAUAGUUGAUUCAUGUCAAGUACCAAGAAACACACGAGAGUAUCAUAUCAUCUUUUCCUCAGCUUUUCUGAAGUUCUGCAACUUACCUGGAAAUCCUUGAGACCGGCAGAUGCAACAGAUGACCAGCUUCCACCUCCACUCUCACUCUGUACACACAAGUAAAUAUAUGAAAGGGAAAACACAUCAUACAAGCAGUGGCAGUUACCCCUACGCCUCAUAUGCCAUCUCUGAAGUAUAGUAUAUAUUCUCCUGUAUCAUUUUGAAUAUACGUAAUUACUUAUGCGAUUACAUGGAAAAUUGCACGGGAGUCAGAUAGUUUUGAGCCUUCAUAUUUUUACACAGAAGAGAGUUUGUCUCUGAACCAUUAGAUUGCACAGGAGUCAGAUAGUUUUGAGCCCAUUUUCGUAAAGCCUUCACAUUUUUACGCAGAAGAGAGUUUGUCUAUGAACCAUUAGCUAUAGAUUGCAUUCACGACCGCCAAAGUUUUCGUGAAUAACAUGAGUCAGGGCUACCGUCCUUUGCAAUCAUCAAACUUAAAUAUGCAUCAGCUCUCACGCCCUUCAAAAAAUUCAGAAAAGCAUCAACCUUCUUUGACUCUAGCAAGAAUCAUAACUUCAAUCUCGGUCUGAUACCCGUACAAUUUUGUAUGCUCUUUUAUAAGAGUGGCUGGGAAGAACCCUAGCGUAAACAGAUUUAUACAUAAAUCAUAGCAAACUGUACAAGAUAAAUUACUGGAUAAAAAGAUAGAGCAAAUGAUGUUACUCGUAAAUGACUGGGGAUGCCUUGUUAUAUUUUGAUUUCCAUAGUCAUAUACUUAAUUAUAAUAAAAUCAUGACCAACAAGAAAUCAAGCUCCACAGACAAGAGAUGACAUGCAUAGAAAUCUCAAAUUGCUUUUGUAAUGCUUAUGUAAAGGUUGACCUGUGAAGCCCACAACAGUUGCCAUUCUCCCGCUAGGGUAUUCAUAUCAACCACAACCCCUUUUUUGCUUAAAGUAAGAUCAUCUAUAGCCUGUCCAAUAAGCAUAUUGUACAAAUGAGUACCUCAUGUUACUGCUAUAAUGGACAUCGAAGAUAUAAUAACAUACCUCUUUUACUCCGGUUCCCGCAGAUAUAGCUGACAACAACAUUUGCCUUGGGUCUGCACUUUUCUGGAGAACAAAUGUGGUUCCCUGCACUACAUGUUGUUUUGGAAAGCUAAUAAAAUACAAGGAGGUCUGGAAAAAACCACAUCUUUUGUAAAGAAGUGCUUUACAUAUACUCCACCAUGGGUUCAACAAAAUUGAGAGAAUAAUUACACAACUCAAUACGCUAAAUCCAUGGCUGCAAUGUUACAUGCAGACAAUGUAUUACGUACCUUGUUUCCCCUUGAAAUACGUAUGUUCCCACUACGAGAUAAGUAUGUAGUGUCAAGCCAACCCUUGGCCUCAUCCCCAAGAAGCCUGAAUGGCACCGGAUAUGGAACCUUAAAUGGCAAGAACUUGAAGGCGAAUGCUGCUCGGUCAAAACGGAAGAGAAUGCGCUUCCCAUCUUUGAUAGUUGCUUCUGCCUGAUAUUUUGUUUAACAACCCUCAUUGCAAAAUCAUGUAGAACAUCCUAAAAGCACUAUAGAUGUACCACUUAGCAGUAGCAUAAGUAAAAGCAUACAUAUCUUCUAUCCGCCAAGUCUCACGAAAGAACCACACUAAGAAAAAUCAACGAUGUUUAUGCGUUUGGCUCUACUACCAGCUUUGUAAUGUACUCCCUCCGUAAAGAAAUAUAAGAGCAUUUAGAUCACUAAAGUAGUGAUCUAAACGCUCUUAUAUUUCUUUACGGAGGGAGUACUAAUGAGGACAUGACCAGCGUAGAUACAAACCACUACUGCCUCUACUUCCACUUGCUGGUCAAAAGAAGGUACAAGCACAAGUUAAGGCCAAGAAUCUAAGUCCAAAAGAGGAACCAAUGUCAAGACUAAGAAGAAAAUAAUGGUCAUGUCACUUCAAGAUGGAGACAGUGCAUGAAGAUGAUGUGUUGCUUGCCGCCUUAAAUUAUAAAAUGAAGCCUCUCCAUGAAGCUAAAAAAUAAUUCUUGGGCGCAGAGUAAUCCAAUCAUCAAAGUCUACUCCAUCGAAUCAGUAUCAUGGUUUUCAUCGAAAGAUCGGGACAACCAUAAUCAUCAUGUAUUAUACAAUGUGUCUCAAUAUAGUGCUACUGUAUCCCCUCCAGUCUAUCCUAAAACACUGUUAGCAAAAAUCGCAUGAUAUAGUGCUACCAUAUUAACUUGAGUGUUGUAUUUACUCUGCGCAAGAAAGACCCAUGCACUUCCCUCUAGCAUGACACUGAAGCUUACUAUAUAUACAUAUACUAUUAUAUAACUCUUCUACAACCCGAUUAGUUUCUAUAUAGAACCAGGCUCUGGAAGACACAAUUAGACACCGAGGACAGCAAUAAAUGAAGCAGCAGAAUUUGGGGCAAGACUAUCACAAGCGGCAUUUAUGGUUGAAUAGGAAACAUCAUUACAUCAAAAUACACAAAGCUUCCCUGUACACUUGAAGCUAAGGCGACACUGAGUUAUGGACAGAGCAGUUACCUGUACUGCCAGUUCACCCACUGUUUCUGAAAACUUGACAACAUUGACCACUCUUGGAUCAUCUGUUCUAAGGUAAACUUCCUGAAAGACCCUGAAAGAGUCAACUCCAACGAAUGUCCUCUGCAUCCAAUGUGAAUUGAGAACAAAUUUAGUCACUUUUACAGGUAUGAACAAUCCAACAGCUGAACUCAUUAUGUAAUGCAUAGAUAAAUACAAAAUGGAACAUAUAGUUGCUCACAUGAGCAUGCUAGUUCUAUUCUACCUGAAUGGGGGAUGCCGUCCCUGGUCUUGUAGUGAAUAUGAGCUUCCAGCUACCUUCAAUUAAAUCUGAACUGGUCUGCAUAUAAACCAUAAAUGCUAAGCAGCAACCUUUGUUUUCCAAUAUUUUUUUCUAGAAAAUUUACAGCAGUCAAGUUAGUACAUGCAUCAUUAUUUCGUAUUUUCUCUAAUAGUCACCUCCAUAUAUGCUAAGAGCAAUGCAAUACUUCACCAUACUCCAUCUUCCGUUAUAUAUGCACUUGAGUUCUCGAGUCUUGACACACUGGGUGAACGAAUUGGUUUUGUUGGUAGCCAUGCCACAGUCAAAAGUGUCAAGUAAAACUUGAACGGAGGGAGAAUUUGUUUUCAAUUGGUACAAUCAAUUAAUUGAACAUGACUGGAUCAUUUAGAAAAAAAAGUAGAAUGCUAAAAAUUGUUGGUGGCAAUUCAUUUCAUGGCACAAUAUGCCUAUCUUCGUUUGUGCCCAUUUGAAGAUCAAAGUAUUGCACUUUCAUAAGGCACUUUUUUUUGUAAGAGCUCAUUAGAAAAAAAUUAAGGAUUUUUUUGUAAGACACAUACAUAAGGCACUUCCAUGAGCUCAUUAGGCAACCCAAUAACGACCUUCAAGCGCAAACCAUACAGAAAAAAAGCACAAGGGCCUACCGGAUCGGGCACACCUUCGAGUGCCUCCAGAGUCUGCACCGCGCUUUCCACCUCCUGCACGCAUGCGGAUCGGCACGCCGCAUCAGUAACAUUCCAACAAGCACAUGGCGCGCGUACUCAAGCCUCAACUCUCAAGCCAAGCAGAAGCAGGCUGGUUCCUUGCCUGGAGCUGGCGCGGCGCUACCGCACGGCCACGGCCCUGCACGCCGACCAGGGCCUCUAGCAGCGCCUCCUCUGGCUCAGUGUACGACACCUCCCCAGCCGCCACCGCGAGCAGCGGGGCUCCGCGGCGGCAAAGGCCAGGCCGUCUCCGCGAGCGCCGCCCGUAUGAGGUGCCGGGGAGAUGGGGGGAGGGGGAAGGAGGUGGCGCGUAAGAAGGAGGGAGCUUGAGGAGGCCUGUAGGCGUUGCUACUGCGGCGGCCAUGGCGCCCGGUGGAAUGGGGGGGGGGGGGGGGGGGGGGGGGGGGGGGGGGGGGGGGGGGGGGGGGGGGGGGGGGGGGGGGGGGGGGGGGGGGGGGGGGGGGGGGGGGGGGGGGGGGGGGGGGGGGGGGGGGGGGGGGGGGGGGGGGGGGGGGGGGGGGGGGGGGGGGGGGGGGGGGGGGGGGGGGGGGGGGGGGGGGGGGGGGGGGGGGGGGGGGGGGGGGGGGGGGGGGGGGGGGGGGGGGGGGGGGGGGGGGGGGGGGGGGGGGGGGGGGGGGGGGGGGGGGGGGGGGGGGGGGGGGGGGGGGGGGGGGGGGGGGGGGGGGGGGGGGGGGGGGGGGGGGGGGGGGGGGGGGGGGGGGGGGGGGGGGGGGGGGGGGGGGGGGGGGGGGGGGGGGGGGGGGGGGGGGGGGGGGGGGGGGGGGGGGGGGGGGGGGGGGGGGGGGGGGGGGGGGGGGGGGGGGGGGGGGGGGGGGGGGGGGGGGGGGGGGGGGGGGGGGGGGGGGGGGGGGGGGCGUCGUUCGUUUGUGGCUUGCGUUGGCGCCUCCCGGGUGUAGGGGGUCGGUGCUGGAUGUGAAAUCGACCAGCGGUUGGGCGCCACGUGGACGGGAUGGCUGCCACGGCCGUUAUUACUCAGAUCACGCUACUCGCCGCCCCUUCUCCCUCUGCACGCCACCGUCCGUUCUCUCCCCCACUCCAUUUUAUUUUCAUCCAACGGUUGUGCGAGUCUUUCGCGCAUCACAUUUUUCACCUUGAAGGAAAGAUAACUCUUGAUGUUUUAUUAAGAAGACUUACAAAAGUCUUUUCCUCUGAUUUUUAAUGGGGGUGGGGUCCUCAUCCUUCUAUUACCAAUCACAAUCCUCUACGUCGAUUUGUAUGUAAAAUAUUUAUGUAAAUCUUUGCAGGUGUAGCAUUACUCAAAAGGAAAAGCUCGGCUUCACCCGGCUGCAGCGUGACCACGUCGUUUAAGCUCCCACGACUAGAAGGAGACUCUAAUGUGACCAUGUAUCCUUACACAACCCCGGUUCAUAAUCAGAAAUGAUAACCCGUCAAACAUAUGCACGCCGCGUGACAAAAUUUCAUGUUUUGACCUUUUCUUGAAAGUUAAUCCAGAUGUAACCAUAGUUUGUAAAAGUUUCGAAAUCUGCCCCUAUUCCUAUCGCCGGGGUCCAUAAUGAUAGGAUAUAACAGCUUACUGUUAAGAACCAUGACGGUAGGAAACUUAACCACGUCAGCGCGACGCACCCCUACUGUCAAAUAUGCUGGCGGUAACCUAUAUAAUCUUACCGUCAAGAUGUCCAGUGGUAGGUGCGAACAUGCACUGUGUCUGAUAUUUAGGAAAAAAUUACGAUAAGGUGUGCAACCCUAUCGUCAGGGUCCGGUCAAAUCUCAAAAAUUUACAAACUAGGUUCAGAUCUGAAUCAACUUCCACGAAAGGGCCAAAACAUGAAAUUUAGCCAUGCCUCGUAUGUCGGCAUGCAAUUCGUGGUUGGAUCUGACAUAUGGACCCGCUCGUCCAUCUACGCCUCACGACAAAAGAGUGGGAGAUGAUCAGCCUUGGCGAUAUUGUGAGAAAGACCAUCAAAGAGGCUAAGGCCGUGUUUGGAAUGUUGUUUCGCUUAGCAAUACACUUGUAAACAACAUAUGUCUCCCUCCAUCGUUUUGCUUCGAGUUGAAAAUCAUUAUUGGUUUCGUAAGUUAUCCUGUAAAUUAAAUGCGUGCAUAUUUAAAUACACCCAAUCCCAGCACUCCCUAAGUGUCGGCGGUUGCAUUUUCAUAAAGAACUUUAGCUUCAACAUGAAAGUGGAUCGUUGUCAUAUAAUCAAUCUGUUGGCACUAGGCAGCGCUACGUUUGUCAUGCAACAGGAAAUUUCUUGAUGAAUCGGGUGCGGUCAUCUAGAAUUGCUCAAUCACAUUUGGAAGACAUGCGGGCGGGUGUUGCCCACCCGAAAUGCAGAGACUAUUCCUACGGAAAAUGUGUUUUUGAUUGGUUUCAAAACGGUGCUCAGACGUGUCCCAUAUAUAUGUCUCCAGUGUGAUCAAGCGAGCAUCGUUUUGAGGGCGUUGACAUGUUGAUGCAAAUAUGUUACACUAAAAUCACACUAAUAUGUAUGAUUGGUGUGUUUACGGCAUGGGACAUGUGAUUAGUAACUUCAAAAUUAACAUGUACUUCCUCCAUAUCGAAAUAUUUGUAGUUGGAAGAACUUGUAUUAGCUUUCCUCAGCUACAAGUAUUACGAUAUAGAUGGAGUAUAUGGUGUGUUCGUGCUUAAUAUCCGGAAUGCAUGCAUGCACGUGCACAUUGCUUGGAAAUUUUGGUGUUGGUCGAUCUUUUCAGCCAUCCAAUUCAAAUCCAAGGACUCCUAUGCAUCUUCUACAUCGAGCCGUUUCCUUCAACCUCAGGCGUCCCGGCCUUGGCUACGGCGCUUCAUACGCGACUCGCAUCUCUUCUUCUUCUGUAGUUCUGUGUCCCAAAAUCGACUUGCACCGGCAAAAACUUCAAGCAACUUAACUAUGGUCCACGCUUGAGAGUUUUGCGCCGUUGAAGCCUCCGGUCAGGCAGAAUGUUAAUAUUUAUAUAUCGUGUCAUUGAUGUGCGGCAGUCAGGCACAGGGCGCACCGAAUGCCGGCCGCCCUGCCGGUACAAACGUAAUGAACUCCGAAGCUACUGUAAAAAGAUAAAUAUGCGCUACAAACGCAGCCGACGCGCAGCGUGCGCGCGCACCGGGAUGAGCGAGACGUCGUCGACGACGGGGCCGCACAGCGUGGCGUCGGACUUCAUGAGGUGGUUGGAGCUCUGGAACACCACGCGCGUCUCGUUGGCGACCGCCGUGAACUCGAGCGCCGCGCGCGCGGACCCGCCCGUGCCGAGGGACUCGUACGGCACCCUCAGGGUCGCCCGCCCCGCGUACGCCUCCACCACCAGGGACCCGCUGCACCCGUUGCCCGCGUCGCCCACGGAGAAGGAGAGCCUGUACGUCCGCCCGGGCACGGUGCGCACCUCCUGCACCAGCGCGCUCUCCCGGCCGGCCACCAGCUCCACGGCGCGCGCGCCCCGCGGCACCGCGUGGUGCGGCGCGUCCACGUACUUGACCACCUUGGUGUCCGACAUGACCAUCCAGCCCGACAGCGGCGAGUGCACGUCCUCCAUGAUCGGCGGCACCAUCACGCCCCACGGCGCGCCGGGGAAGAUGUACGGCCCCUGCUCGAAGUCCCCGUUCCUCAGCAUGUUACCUGUCGAUCGACAGUUCGUUAGAUUUCCAAACUGAUCAUGGCGUGCUGAAUUCAUGCAUGAUCUUUGAUGUGGUGCGACGAAGACGAACCCUUGGUGUGGUGGGGCGCGUAGAGGGUCUUGAUGGCGACGGCGAUGACGAGGGGGCCGCACGCGGGGUCCUCCUCGACGCCGGUGUUGUGGAUGCUCAGCCACCCGGUGCUGUGCCUGGCCUUGAAGGCCCAGGAGUAGGUGUCCCAGCCGGUGCUGGUGUACACGGUCUGGAUCGGGAGCACGCCGAACUCCGGGUCGACCGACAGGUUCAGCUUCUCGGCCUGGGCGCACGACCGCGCGGCCAUGAAGGAGACGGAGUAGAACAUGUGGCGCGUGACGUUGAGCUGCUGCCGGAUGGUGGCGUCGUUGCCGAGCCGCACGGCCGACGCGCCGGGCGGCAGCGGCAGGAUCAUGUCCUCCUCCUUGCGCCCGGGCUCGAUGUACUCCACGAACCCGGAGAUCUCCCAGCACGGUAUGGCGUGGCGCGCGGUCACCACCGUGCCGUUCAUCUCCGACCUGCGCGGCCCCCGGGCGAAGUCCCCGUUGGGCAACAGCCCUGCGCGCGACAAGACGGUCGGAAACUGGAAUUCGUGGGAGGGAUGAAGUUGCCGAGGUCUUUACCUUCGGGGACGGCGGAGAUGGGUCGGACGGCCAGGGCAAGGGACACGAAGAAUGCCAUCGAGAGCGUGCUCCUCGCCAUGAUCUCCCCCCCGCUCCCUGCGUACGGUCUCUCGAGCUCUGCUGGGGUGGAAGAGGGAGGAAAUGGAGGAGGGCGAAGCUGGCGCGGCGGCUUUAUAAGCGGCACGUCCCGCGCGCCGCUGACCGGGGAGGCGUGGCCGUUGGGCAAGGCCACCGCCCACCGGCCGGGCGCGGCGCCGCGAGGUGCGCCGGGAGGGCACGAGCCGGGAGGGACAACUGGCAUCUCUCGGUUUUCCAGUUGGCCGGCCGUGCGUCUUGGCCGCCAGAUCGAGUCUGGGGCACCCUUGCGGGUGUCCUUCACGUGGCGCUCCGUUUGGUUCGAUGCGUAAGAAGAUUCCGGCCUCGAGUUCGUGUGUUCGAGUGUCCCACGCUGCGCGGCUCCGUCUCGUGCCUCGUGCUGCGCGGCUUCCGCACACCUGCGCCGUGGCUAGUGGCUACCGACGCAGCCAGUGGNNNNNNNNNNNNNNNNNNNNNNNNNNNNNNNNNNNNNNNNNNNNNNNNNNNNNNNNNNNNNNNNNNNNNNNNNNNNNNNNNNNNNNNNNNNNNNNNNNNNCUUCCUAAUCUGGCCCUAUCCCCUCGCCACCUCGAUUCCCGUGCGAAUCAGUGGGCAACCGCCACCCCCAACGCCCCUGUCUCCCUCCUCGCGCCAGGCCCUCCUGGCCCAGAUCGGGGCCCGCUCGAGCCCAUCUGGGCCCGGACGAGCCCGUUGCUGGUUGCAGCUCUCCUCCUCCCGAGCUCCCUGCCGCCUUCUCCACCCACGCCUUCCCCGUCGCCGCGCCGCCACCGAGCCGCAGCCCCGCCUCGCCCCCUGUCUCUUAUACACAUCUCUGAUGGCGCGAGGGAGGNCCCCGAGCUCACCGGCCCUUCCUCGCCGAGGUCGUCGCCGUGACGCGCCGCCAGCAGCCCCUGGUCGGGAGCGUCGCCCUGCUCCCGCAACCGCCCCACUCCCGCACCGCGCGUGGCGCUCAGCUGGGCCCCGAGCCGGCCCAGCUAUGCACCUCCAGCAGGCUUUGGCCUCACCCGCGGCCCACCUCCAGCUUCGGCAGCCAGGCCGGCUGCCUUCCUCGGCGCCCUCCAGCCCAAGAGCCCGCCCCCCCCCCGAGGUGAGAUCCAUCCCGCGUCCUUGGCGCUAUUUACUAAAUUGCGCCUCCAUAUUCGGCCCGUUUGCAUUUAGGAUAUUUCUGUGAUUAAAUAAUUUCAGGAAUUAAUAGAUAUUUAAAACGUUUGUAUCUUUUAAUUCGUAAGUCGGAACGAAGCGAGUAAUAUAUGUAUUUCGCGUAGUUUCUCGUGUAGAACACGUUGGCGCUACUUGCAUAAUUAUUUGAGGUCAUUUAGCGUGUCGUAUGCCUAGUUUAGCGUGCUGUCCUAUUAUGUUUGCACCUCGUAAUAUUUUUUCGCGCGUGUCCGGACUGCCCGUCUACCGUAGAUUAAUGUCCAUGUUUUAGGAAUCAUUUUGCAUGUAUUUUAGAGCGGCCAUUUGUAUUUUUACGUGUAUGGUUUGCCGGUAGUUUAUUUUCCCGUAUAUAGGUGUUUAUCUCGCAUUAAUGUGUGGCAUUAUUUUAUGUUGCAACCCCACAUAUUUUAUAUGUUUUCGGGAUAGAAAAUCCGUGUGAUUUUUAUGUGCAAUUAGUUUUAGCUUUUGAGUAAGUUAGUUCGCGAGAUAUUUUGCCAUGUUGCCCUUUUGUUUGAUUCGUAGGAUUUAAUCCGUUCUUCGUUUGACGGAGUUGUCAACUAGGGAGUUGUUCUUGGGUGUUUAGUCUAGCCCCUCGUAUUUUUGGUUGCAAUAGAAAUGCAUGUUUAGGUGUGAUUUUCUUGCUCUCAAGUUGCUAGAAGUAGUGCUGUUUUAGAGGAGCUGAAAUAUUUCUAAGUCUGGAAUCUGUUCUAUUUUGUUGCUGUCUUGUCCUGCUUGUAUCUUGUGAUCUGUAGCUCUUUUGAGGUUGGUCCAAUGGAGUUAGUUGUAGCCCUUAUGUUUCUCUAGCAUGCUAUAAACUUUCAUGCCAUUUGGAGUCCUGUAGCUAUAGGUUUUGCUGCUGUCAAUAUUGCUUCAGAUCGAAAACUGCACUCUCAUGAGGUGUAAUUUUCACUAAGUCUGAAAUAGUGCGUGAGAUGCCAUUUUGUGUCUUAUUUUCCUAGUGCUCCUUGCUGCCAUGCUAGUUGUUGUUAGUUGUUUGUAGUAGUGCUUCUUGACCUCUUUCGUGCCAUGCCUUUCUUGAGUUUAUCAGAGUUGUGUAGCUCGUAGUUGUGGGGCGUAGAAAAUGCUAUGUGGCUGAUUUUGGCAGAUUGUAGUCAUUUCUUGUUUUGCUCGUAGUUUUUGAACCGUAGCUCCGAUUUGAUCGUGUCCUACAUGAAACUUGCUUAGAGUCUUGUGUAGUUUCAUUUUCUUUUGUUGUUUGUAUGUUUUGAAGUGCUCGUAGCCGUCGUUGCACACAUAUUGCAUUCAUGCCAUCAUAUCUUGCGGUGAUUGUAACUCUUGAUCCAUAGCUCCGUUGGAGAUGAUCUCUAUGUGUAGAUUGCUUGAAAUGACACGUAGAACCACGAGAAACUAUUUGUUUUGCUGUUUAACAACUAAUUAAAUGUGUUAGUUCAGAUCUGGACAGAAUUGUAAAUUAACAUGUGAGGUCGUCUCGGAGGUGCUAUAUGUCAGUUCCGACCUCAUUUAAAAUGCCUAGAUAGGUAGUUUAAUUGCGCUUCACCUCUUGCCACGUUUAAUCACAUUUAAUAUUGCCGAGUAUCUAAUCGGGAUAGAACUAAAUAAAUAAACGUGAAGUUUUGUCAAUAUGCAACUCGUGGCAUAUUGAACUUCACUUAAUGUGUAGUGUUUGAUUGUGUGAAUUGUCAUGACGUGACUUGCAUGUAUCCAGCUGCUCAUGCAUCAUUUGUGUUGUGCAUCGUGUGCUGAAUUCCGUGUGAUGAUUUGUGUUUCCGGUUUGCUUCUUCUCGAUAGAGCUCCGCACGCGUGCCGGAUUGUGAGGACCCGUUCAACUACGUCGGUUCGUCUGCUUCAGGGAGGCAUUCUUCUUCCAAGCGGGAUCUCAGGCAAGAUGAUCAUUUCCCCAGAUACCAUUAAUAUCAUUGCCAUGCUAGUUUUAUCGUUUCUGUCGUUAUGUCUCGUUGCCUACCACAUGUUAAAUUCAGCCUCUCGACAAUGCCAUGAUAACCUUCAACCUGUUCGACCUAGCAAACCACUGAUUGGCUAUGUUACUGCUUGCUUAACCCUGUUGAUAGCGUUGCUAGUUGCAGGUGCAGAUGCCUCCAUGUGAAAACAUGGGUUCCUUGUUAUAUCACCAUAUUAAAUGGUAUUUAAUGUAAUGCACCUAUAUACUUGGUAAAAGGUGGAAGGCUCGGCCUUUCUAGCCUGGUGUUUUGUUCCACCUUUGCCCCCUUAGUUUCCGACUACCGGUGUUAUGUUCCAUAAAUGAGCGCUCCUAACACGAUCGGGGUUGUUAUCGGGACCCCCUUGAUAAUUCGUUUUAGAUUAAAGCUGGUCUGGCAAGGCCCAACUUUGGUACUACAUUUGCCUAAACACCUAAUAAAAUUGCAUAGGGACUUUCCGGACCCCGAGGAUAAUUUAAUCAACCCCCGGGCCAGUGCUCCUCAUGAGUGUUGGUCCCACCUGAGCGAUGUCUGGCGCCCCUCUGGUCACCCGGAGGUUUAGCGAUCCCGACGUCUAGCUCAUCCGCCGUGUCCUGAGAAAGAGGUACGCGACUCCUAUCGGGAUCGUCGACACGUCGGGCGGCCUUGCUGGAUUAGUUUUACCUUUGACGGAAUAUCUUGUGCAUCGGGAUUCCGGUGAUGCUUUGGGUAAUCUCAGAGUUGAGGUUUUCCACUAGGGAAUCCGACGAGAUCGCGAGCUUCGUGAUUGAGGAUUUCUAUGCGGCUUGUGGUAAUUUGUGAUGGACUAGUUGGAGCACCCCUGCAGGGUUAAAUCUUUCGGAAAGCCGUGCCCGCGGUUAUGUGGCAACAUGGAAACUUUGUUUAACACUGGUUCUAGAUAACUUGAAGUUAACUUAAUUAAAAUAUGCCAACUGUGUGCGUAACCGUGAAUGUCUCUUUCGUGAGUUCCUUCUCCGAUUGAGGACACGGUGGGGUUAUGUCUGACGUAGGUAGGUGUUCAGGAUCAUUCAUUUGAUCAUCAGUAGUUCACGUCCGUUAUGCGUAGAUCUUCCCCCUCUUAUUUCUUGUACUCGUAAGUUAGUCACCAAAUAUAUGCUUAGCCGCUGCUGCAACCUCACCACUUAACCAUACCUCACCCAUUAAGCUUUGCUAGUCUUGAUACCUUUGGAAAUGAGAUUGCUGAGUCCCCUAUGGCUCACAGAUUACUACAACACCAGUUGCAGGUACAGGUAAAGGUUACUUGACGCGAGCGCGUUGAUUGUUCAUUUGGAGUUGCUUCUUCUUCUUCAUCGAUCUAGGAUGGGUUCCAGGCCGGCAACCUGGGAUAGCAAGGAUGGACGUCGUUCUUAUUUUUCUCGUUUGUUUUCGUCCGUAGUCGGACCCUGCUCUUACUCUUGAUGAUUAUGUAAUGUACUGAUGUGACUCUGAUGUAGCUUGUGGCGAGUGUAAGCCAACUCUGUAUAUAUAACUCUUCUUUUCAGUACAUGUACUUGUAACGAUAUCCAUUCUUGCGACACGACGAGAUGCGCUUCUAUCCCUGACGAGGCCUUCGUGCCAAAUUGAGGAUAGGGUCGCAUCUUCGGCCUGACAAGUGUCCACACCAGCAAGGCCAUUUUUGCCACGCCAUAGCUAGGAUUUUCUACACUAGUGGCCAUGGAGCAGAUGAGAUGUUCCAAGAGCCCGUGUUGAGAGGUAUGAGACCUCUAACAAGCUCUUUGCCUACAAGAUGGAAGAGAAUAGAUGAGUCGGUGAGCAUGUGCUCAGAAUGUGUGGGUUCUAUAAUCGCUUAAAUCAAGUAUGAGUUAAUCUUAUAGAUAAGUAAGUGAUUAACAGAAUUCUCUAGUGACUAUCACCAAGCUACUAGGGCUUCAUAAUAAAAUAUAACAUUCAAGGGAUGGGGAAGAUGAUCCAUGAUCUAUUCGCGAUGUUUUACAUUGUGGAGGUAGAAAUCAAGAAGGACAUCAAAUGUUGAUGGUUGAUAAGACAACUAGUUUCAAGAAGGGCAAAGGCAAUAAGGGAAACUUCAAGAAUGGCAAGCCACUUGCUGAUCCAGUGAAGAAACCCAAGGUUGGACCCAAACCUAAGACUAAGUGCUUCUAUUACAAGGGGAACUGUAACUAGUAGCGGAACUGCCCCAAAUACUUGGUAGAUAAGAAUGCUUGCAACGUCAACAAAAGUACAUUUGAUAUACAUGUUAUGAAUGUGUACCUUACUAGUGCUCAUAGUAUCACCUCGGUAUUUGAUACUGGUUCAGUUGCCAAUAUUAGUAACUCGAAACAGGAGGUGUGGAAUAAACGAGACUCGCUAAGAAUGAGGUGACGAUGCACAUUGGAAGUGUCUCCAAGGUUGAUGUGAUCGUCAUCGGCACGCUCAUUCUACCUUCAGGAUAUGUUCGAACCUAAAUAAAUGUUAUUUGGUGCCUCCUUUGAGCAUGACCAUUAUAUUGAUCUUGUUUAUUGCGAGGCAAUUGUUUGUUUAAGUCACUGAAUAAUGGUUGUUCUUUUUACAUGAAUAAUAUCUUUUAUGAUCAUGCAUCCAAUAUGAAUGGUUUAUUGAAUCUCAUUUGUAGGAACACACAUGUUCAUAAUAUUGAUGCCAAAAGAUGCAAAUUUAAUGAUGAUAAUAUCACAUACUUGUGGCACUACCGCUUAGGUCAUAUUGGUCUAAAGCGCAUGAAGAAACUCCAUGCUGAUGGAUCUUUGGACUCACUCGGUUUUGAAUCACUUGAGACAUGCGCACCAUGCCUCAUGGGAAAGAUGACAAAUACCUCGUUUUCCGGAACGAUGGAGCGGGAAAGUGACUUAUUGGAAAUAACACAUAUUGAUGUAUGCAGUCCAAUGAGUACUAAAGACGUAGUGGAUACCGUUAUUAUCUUAACUUCACAAAUGAUUUGAGUAUAUACAGGUAUAUUUACUAGAUGAAAAACAAGUCUGAAAUUUUGGAAAGUUCAAGCAAUUUCAGAGUGGAGUUGAAGAUCGUCGUGACAAGAAGAUAAAAUGUCUAUGAUAUGAUCCUAGAGGUGAAUGUGUGAGUUACGAGUUUGGUAUGCAUUUAAGACAAUGUGAAAAUUGUUUCACAACUCAUGCCACCUGAAAUGCUAGAGUAUAAUGGCAUGUCCGAACGUCGUAGCCGUACUCUGUUGGAUAUGGUACGUUCUAUGAUGUCUCUUACCGAUUUGCCACUAUCAUUUUGGGGUUAUGCAUUAGAUACAACUACAUUCACUUUAAAUAGGGAACCAUUUAUGUCUGUUGAGACGACACCGUAUGAAUUAUGGUUUGGCAAGAAACCCAAGAUGUCGUUUCUCAAAGUUUGAGGAUGCAGCACUUAUGUUUGAUAAGCUCAAACCCAAAACGGAAAAGUGCAUCUUCAUAAGAUACCCUAAAGCAACAAUUGUCUAUACCUUCUAUCACAGAUCCGAAGGCAAGGUCUUUGUUGCUAAGAAUGGAUCAUUUCCAGAGAAGGAAGUUCUCUCGAAAGAAGUGAUUGAGAGGAAGGUAGAACUUGAUAAGGACCUUCACUUGAAUUGGAAAGUAGCGCAACACAGAAAGGUGUUUGUGUGAUGCGUACACCAAUUGAAGAAGAAGCUACUGAUGAUUACAUAAAACUUCGGAUCAAGUUACUACCGAACCUCAUAGGUCGACAAGGACACGUACUGCCCAAGUGGUUCGACGAUCGUGUCUUGGGAGUCAUGUUGUUAAACAACGAUGAGCCUACGAACCAUGAGGAAGCAAUGAUGGACCCGGAUUCCAAUAAAUGGUUAAGCCCAUGAAAUCCGUGAUAUGAUCAAUGUAUGAAAACCAAGUAUGGACUUUGGUAGACUUGCCCCAUGACCGGCAUGCCAUUAAGUAUAAAUGGAUCUUUAAGAAGAACACACACGAUGGUGGUAAUGUCAUCAUUUAUAAAGCUUGAGUUGUCGUAAAGAGGUUUUCCACAAGUUUAAGGAGUUGACUACGAUGAGGCUUUCUCACUCAUAGCGAUGCUAAAGUCUGUUAGGAUUAUGUUAACAGUUGCUGCAUUUUUUUAUUAAGGAAUCUCACAUAUGGAUGUCAAAACAACUUUUUUCUUUAAUGGUUUCCGUGAGAAAAGGUUGUAUGUGAUACAACUGAAAAAUUUUGUUAAUUCUAAGGAUGUUAAAAGGUAUGCAAACUUCAGCGAUCUUUUUAUGGACUGUUGCAAGCAUCUCAGAGUUGGAAUAUACUUCCUCCGUUCCUAAAUAUAAGUCUUGGAAUAUACUCCCUCCGUUCCUAAAUAUAAGUCUUUCUAGAGGUUUCACUGAUGGACUAUUUACGAAUGUAUAUAGACAUACUAUAGAGUGUAGAUUUACUCAUUUUGUUCUGUAUAUAGACCCCUAAUAUAUUUCUGUAUAUAGACCCCUAAUAUAUUCUCUUAAAAGACUUAUAUUUAGGAACGGAGGUAGUAUGUUUUUGAUGAGGUAAAAGUUCGCCAGCUAUUGGGAAAGAAAGCGGGUUUUGCGAAGACGCUUCUGCCGUCGAUGCGUCUGUGGCUCACCCUCCCCGCCGCUCGACCCGGCACGAGGCACAGCUCGGCUCACAGUCACAGGGGAUGAGGAGAUGAGCGAGAGCUGCUAGCGCUAGGAGGAGCGACACCACCCCAUGGCUCCUCCUCAGUGCGCCAUCUCGCCGCCGCCCGCCCCCACCAAUGCCGCCAACCCCGCCGCCGGCGGAGGCAAGGGCAGGACGCAGCUGGCGGUGGCGCAGGUGAAGAAGCUCUGCAAGCAGGGGCGGCUCGAGCAUGCGCGGCGGCUGCUUCUGGACGCGCUGCCGCGCCCGCCCCCGACGCUGCUCUGCAACGUGCUCCUCAUCGCCUACGUCGCCGGCGCGCUCCCGGACCACGCGCUCCGCCUCUACGCGCUCCUCAACCACGCCGCGCGCCCCGCGCCCCGCUCCGACCACUACACCUACUCGUGCGCGCUCACCGCCUGCGCCCGCUCCCGCCGCCUGCGCCUCGGGAGGUCCGUCCACGCGCACCUCCUCCGCCGCGCCCGCUCGCUCCCGGACACCGCCGUCCUCCGCAACUCGCUGCUCAACCUCUACGCCUCCUGCGCGAGGCACCGCCGCGGCGGCGUCGACGUCGUCCGCAGGCUGUUCGACGCAAUGCCGAAGAAGAACGUCGUUUCCUGGAACACCCUGUNNNNNNNNNNNNNNNNNNNNNNNNNNNNNNNNNNNNNNNNNNNNNNNNNNNNNNNNNNNNNNNNNNNNNNNNNNNNNNNNNNNNNNNNNNNNNNNNNNNNAACACCGCCGCCCGACCCCGACGGGGACGGGUCAGCGGCCCCCGCGCGCGNNNNNNNNNNNNNNNNNNNNNNNNNNNNNNNNNNNNNNNNNNNNNNNNNNNNNNNNNNNNNNNNNNNNNNNNNNNNNNNNNNNNNNNNNNNNNCGUCCACCACCACGCGCCCCCGACGACUCCGUACCCUGCCCGAGUGGCGGCGAUCACAGCAUCCGCGGGAGCAGCCGAGCAGCCGCCGGAGGAGUCCAGCUCCAUCCUAGGCGGCGGCCGCCAUGCCCCCCGAUCCUCCGGCGCGACGUUAUCGGGGGUAAUUCCGUGCUCCGGGCCCUGCGCGGCGGCGGAAUUGGGAGGGACGGGGGCGGGCCGCGGAUUGGGCCCGGCUGGGUAGGGUUUUGAUGGGACGAAACGGGAAUCGCGGGAUAGAGAGCAGUGGGAGGGAGGUGGGGGUGGACUGGCUCCUCCGGAUUUGGGUUGGAGCUCCCCCGAUUCGGCGCCCCGGAUGGAGGGGGGAGGAGGGGGGUGGCGCGACCUAGGUAGGAGGAGGCGAGCUGGCGUCGAGGAUGGAGGGAUGAUUCCCUUGGGAAAUUUCUUCCCCGCUCCGCCCGUGUUCCUCCGCCUCGCCUCGCCUCGGCCUCGGCUAUUUUCCUUGGCUUUUCCCUUUUCUCUUUCUUUUUUCGUUUUCGUUGCGUUCGCCCCUGUUUUCCUUUCCGUGUGGAGAAAGGGUACUGCGGCGGGCGGGCGAUGCUGAUUAGGUGUUUGAUUAUCGUAUAAUACUCCUACUACUGGUUAAUGGGGAGAUAAGCACCAGCCUUCCCGUUCCUCGCCAUGUCUCCUCUCUCGCUUGCUUAUUCUAUUCCGGCCGGCUGACUGCGCUGGCCGUUGUUUCUAGCGGUAACUUGGACCUCAUCGUGGGUGUGUCUGCGGGUGGGCCACAAGUGCCAGUGCUCGGCUCGGGCCUCACGGGAGCGCGUGCGAUGUAUCCAACGGCGGGCGGGCGGGCGCGUGGUUGACAACGAAGGGGUGGAUGCUGGCCCCACGCGUCGCGACGUAGGGGGCGCGUGGAGCCCGCGUGUCGGUGGCGUGCAAGGUAGGCCUGCCUGUCCCGUCGUGGAUUCUUGGUGAUAAAAACUGUCUAGGUGACAUCGUGCGUGCAUUGUCCCGUGAACCCGGUCCAGGUGGGUGGUGGCAUGCACAUGCACCGUUUGUCCUUUUCCUCCCCCGUUGAUUGUUUUUUCCUUUUGGUACAGACGAGGUACGGUACNNNNNNNNNNNNNNNNNNNNNNNNNNNNNNNNNNNNNNNNNNNNNNNNNNNNNNNNNNNNNNNNNNNNNNNNNNNNNNNNNNNNNNNNNNNNNNNNNNNNGUCAUGCAACAGUUAUAACACAGAGAGAUAUGUGGCUAGCUCCCGUUCGUCGAUGUGAUGUAGGCAUGCAUUUCAUGUGUAGUCAUACAUGCUUAGGGAAAAGAACUUGCAUGACAUCUAUUGUCCAUCCCUCCCGUGGCAGAGGGGUCCAAAUGGAUACUACGGGAUAUUAAGGUUCUCCUUUUAAUAAAGAAUCGGAUCAACGCAUUAGCACUUGGUGAACACAUGAACUCCUCAAACUAUGGUCAUCACCGGGAGUGGUUCCGGUUAUUGUCACUCCGGGGUUGCCGGAUCAUAACACAUAGUAGGUAACUACAACUUGCAAGAUCGGAUCUAAAACACACAUAUAUUGGUGACAACAUAAUAAUUUCAGAUCUGAAAUCAUGGCACUCGGGCCCUAGUGACAAGCAUUAAGCAUGGCAAAGUAGUAGCAACAUCAAUCUCAGAACAUAGUGGAUACUAGGGAUCAAUCCCCGUCAAAACUAACUCGAUUACAUGAUAGAUCUCAUCCUACUCAUCACCGCCCAGCGAGCCUACGAAUAGAUUACUCACGAACGAUGAAGAGCUUCAUGGAAUUGGAGAGGGACGAAGGUUGAUGAUGACGAUGGCGACGAUCUCCUUGAUCCGGAGCCCAAAACGGACUCCAGAUCUGCCCUCCAGGGCAAGAACGGGAUGUCGCGGCGCGUGUGGAUCGUAAACGCGAUGAAAUCUUCUCUCUUCGAUUUUUUUCCGUGACGAAAGGGAAUAAAUAGCGCUGGAAUUGGGGGCGGCNNNNNNNNNNNNNNNNNNNNNNNNNNNNNNNNNNNNNNNNNNNNNNNNNNNNNNNNNNNNNNNNNNNNNNNNNNNNNNNNNNNNNNNNNNNNNNNNNNNNGGGUUGGCGGCAUUGGUGGGGGCGGGCGGCGGCGAGAUGGCGCACUGAGGAGGAGCCAUGGGGUGGUGUCGCUCCUCCUAGCGCUAGCAGCUCUCGCUCAUCUCCUCAUCCCCUGUGACUGUGAGCCGAGCUGUGCCUCGUGCCGGGUCGAGCGGCGGGGAGGGUGAGCCACAGACGCAUCGACGGCAGAAGCGUCUUCGCAAAACCCGCUUUCUUUCCCAAUAGCUGGCGAACUUUUACCUCAUCAAAAACAUACUACCUCCGUUCCUAAAUAUAAGUCUUUUAAGAGAAUAUAUUAGGGGUCUAUAUACAGAAAUAUAUUAGGGGUCUAUAUACAGAACAAAAUGAGUAAAUCUACACUCUAUAGUAUGUCUAUAUACAUUCGUAAAUAGUCCAUCAGUGAAACCUCUAGAAAGACUUAUAUUUAGGAACGGAGGGAGUAUAUUCCAAGACUUAUAUUUAGGAACGGAGGAAGUAUAUUCCAACUCUGAGAUGCUUGCAACAGUCCAUAAAAAGAUCGCUGAAGUUUGCAUACCUUUUAACAUCCUUAGAAUUAACAAAAUUUUUCAGUUGUAUCACAUACAACCUUUUCUCACGGAAACCAUUAAAGAAAAAAGUUGUUUUGACAUCCAUAUGUGAGAUUCCUUAAUAAAAAAAUGCAGCAACUGUUAACAUAAUCCUAACAGACUUUAGCAUCGCUAUGAGUGAGAAAGCCUCAUCGUAGUCAACUCCUUAAACUUGUGGAAAACCUCUUUACGACAACUCAAGCUUUAUAAAUGAUGACAUUACCACCAUCGUGUGUGUUCUUCUUAAAGAUCCAUUUAUACUUAAUGGCAUGCCGGUCAUGGGGCAAGUCUACCAAAGUCCAUACUUGGUUUUCAUACAUUGAUCAUAUCACGGAUUUCAUGGGCUUAACCAUUUAUUGGAAUCCGGGUCCAUCAUUGCUUCCUCAUGGUUCGUAGGCUCAUCGUUGUUUAACAACAUGACUCCCAAGACACGAUCGUCGAACCACUUGGGCAGUACGUGUCCUUGUCGACCUAUGAGGUUCGGUAGUAACUUGAUCCGAAGUUUUAUGUAAUCAUCAGUAGCUUCUUCUUCAAUUGGUGUACGCAUCACACAAACACCUUUCUGUGUUGCGCUACUUUCCAAUUCAAGUGAAGGUCCUUAUCAAGUUCUACCUUCCUCUCAAUCACUUCUUUCGAGAGAACUUCCUUCUCUGGAAAUGAUCCAUUCUUAGCAACAAAGACCUUGCCUUCGGAUCUGUGAUAGAAGGUAUAGACAAUUGUUGCUUUAGGGUAUCUUAUGAAGAUGCACUUUUCCGUUUUGGGUUUGAGCUUAUCAAACAUAAGUGCUGCAUCCUCAAACUUUGAGAAACGACAUCUUGGGUUUCUUGCCAAACCAUAAUUCAUACGGUGUCGUCUCAACAGACAUAAAUGGUUCCCUAUUUAAAGUGAAUGUAGUUGUAUCUAAUGCAUAACCCCAAAAUGAUAGUGGCAAAUCGGUAAGAGACAUCAUAGAACGUACCAUAUCCAACAGAGUACGGCUACGACGUUCGGACAUGCCAUUAUACUCUAGCAUUUCAGGUGGCAUGAGUUGUGAAACAAUUUUCACAUUGUCUUAAAUGCAUACCAAACUCGUAACUCACACAUUCACCUCUAGGAUCAUAUCAUAGACAUUUUAUCUUCUUGUCACGACGAUCUUCAACUCCACUCUGAAAUUGCUUGAACUUUCCAAAAUUUCAGACUUGUUUUUCAUCUAGUAAAUAUACCUGUAUAUACUCAAAUCAUUUGUGAAGUUAAGAUAAUAACGGUAUCCACUACGUCUUUAGUACUCAUUGGACUGCAUACAUCAAUAUGUGUUAUUUCCAAUAAGUCACUUUCCCGCUCCAUCGUUCCGGAAAACGAGGUAUUUGUCAUCUUUCCCAUGAGGCAUGGUGCGCAUGUCUCAAGUGAUUCAAAACCGAGUGAGUCCAAAGAUCCAUCAGCAUGGAGUUUCUUCAUGCGCUUUAGACCAAUAUGACCUAAGCGGUAGUGCCACAAGUAUGUGAUAUUAUCAUCAUUAAAUUUGCAUCUUUUGGCAUCAAUAUUAUGAACAUGUGUGUUCCUACAAAUGAGAUUCAAUAAACCAUUCAUAUUGGAUGCAUGAUCAUAAAAGAUAUUAUUCAUGUAAAAAGAACAACCAUUAUUCAGUGACUUAAACAAACAAUUGCCUCGCAAUAAACAAGAUCAAUAUAAUGGUCAUGCUCAAAGGAGGCACCAAAUAACAUUUAUUUAGGUUCGAACAUAUCCUGAAGGUAGAAUGAGCGUGCCGAUGACGAUCACAUCAACCUUGGAGACACUUCCAAUGUGCAUCGUCACCUCAUUCUUAGCGAGUCUCGUUUAUUCCACACCUCCUGUUUCGAGUUACUAAUAUUGGCAACUGAACCAGUAUCAAAUACCGAGGUGAUACUAUGAGCACUAGUAAGGUACACAUUCAUAACAUGUAUAUCAAAUGUACUUUUGUUGACGUUGCAAGCAUUCUUAUCUACCAAGUAUUUGGGGCAGUUCCGCUACUAGUUACAGUUCCCCUUGUAAUAGAAGCACUUAGUCUUAGGUUUGGGUCCAACCUUGGGUUUCUUCACUGGAUCAGCAAGUGGCUUGCCAUUCUUGAAGUUUCCCUUAUUGCCUUUGCCCUUCUUGAAACUAGUUGUCUUAUCAACCAUCAACAUUUGAUGUCCUUCUUGAUUUCUACCUCCACAAUGUAAAACAUCGCGAAUAGAUCAUGGAUCAUCUUCCCCAUCCCUUGAAUGUUAUAUUUUAUUAUGAAGCCCUAGUAGCUUGGUGAUAGUCACUAGAGAAUUCUGUUAAUCACUUACUUAUCUAUAAGAUUAACUCAUACUUGAUUUAAGCGAUUAUAGAACCCACACAUUCUGAGCACAUGCUCACCGACUCAUCUAUUCUCUUCCAUCUUGUAGGCAAAGAGCUUGUUAGAGGUCUCAUACCUCUCAACACGGGCUCUUGGAACAUCUCAUCUGCUCCAUGGCCACUAGUGUAGAAAAUCCUAGCUAUGGCGUGGCAAAAAUGGCCUUGCUGGUGUGGACACUUGUCAGGCCGAAGAUGCGACCCUAUCCUCAAUUUGGCACGAAGGCCUCGUCAGGGAUAGAAGCGCAUCUCGUCGUGUCGCAAGAAUGGAUAUCGUUACAAGUACAUGUACUGAAAAGAAGAGUUAUAUAUACAGAGUUGGCUUACACUCGCCACAAGCUACAUCAGAGUCACAUCAGUACAUUACAUAAUCAUCAAGAGUAAGAGCAGGGUCCGACUACGGACGAAAACAAACGAGAAAAAUAAGAACGACGUCCAUCCUUGCUAUCCCAGGUUGCCGGCCUGGAACCCAUCCUAGAUCGAUGAAGAAGAAGAAGAAGAAGCAACUCCAAAUGAACAAUCAACGCGCUCGCGUCAAGUAACCUUUACCUGUACCUGCAACUGGUGUUGUAGUAAUCUGUGAGCCACAGGGGACUCAGCAAUCUCAUUUCCAAAGGUAUCAAGACUAGCAAAGCUUAAUGGGUGAGGUAUGGUUAAGUGGUGAGGUUGCAGCAGCGGCUAAGCAUAUAUUUGGUGACUAACUUACGAGUACAAGAAAUAAAAGGGGGAAGAUCUACGCAUAAUGGACGUGAACUACUAAUGAUCAAAUGAAUGAUCCUGAUCACCUACCUACGUCACACAUAACCCCACCGUGUCCUCGAUCGGAGAAAGAACUCACAAAAGAGACAGUCACGGUUACGCACACAGUUGGCAUAUUUUAAUCAAGUUAACUUCAAGUUAUCUAGAACCAAUGUUAAACAAAGUUUCCACGUUGCCACAUAACCGCGGGCACGACUUUCCAAAAGAUUUAACCCUGCAGGGGUGCUCCAACUAGUCCAUCACAAAUUACCACAAGCCGCAUAGAAAUCCUCAAUCACGAAGCUCGCCAUCUCGUCGGAUUCCCAAGUGGAAAACCUCAACUCUGAGAUUACCCAAAGCAUCACCGGAACCCCGAUGCACAAGAUAUCUCAUCAAAGGUAAAACUAAUCCAGCAAGGUCGCCCGACGUGUCGAUGAUCCCGAUAGGAGUCGUGUACCUCUUUCUCAGGACACGGCGGAUGGGCUAGACGUCAGGAUCGCUAAACCUCCGGGUGACCAGAGGGGCGCCGGACAUCGCUCAGGUGGGACCAACACUCAUGGGGAGCACUGGCCCGGGGGUUGAUUAAAUUAGUCCGCGGGUGCCGGCGGGUCCCUAUGCAUUAUUAUAUGGUUAUUAGGCAAAUGUAGUACCAAAGUUGGGCCUUGCCAGACCAGUCUUAAUCUAAAACGAAUUAUCAAGGGUGUCCCCAUAACAACCACGAUCGUGUUAGGAGCGCUCAUUUAUGGAACAUAACACCGGUAGCCGAAAACUAAGGGGGCAAAGGUGGAACAAAACACCAGGCUAGAAAGGCCGAGCCUUCCACCUUUUACCAAGUAUAUAGGUGCAUUAAAUUAAAUAGCAUUUAAUAUGGUGAUAUAACAAGGAACCCAUGCUUUCACAUGGAAGCAAUGCACCUGCAACUAGCAACGCUAACAACAGGGUUAAGCAAGCAGUAACAUAGCCAAUCAGUGGUUUGCUAGGUUGAACAGGUUGAAGGUUUCAUGGCAUUGUUGAGAGGCUAAUAUUUAACAUGUGGUAGGCAACGAGACAUAAUCGAUAGAAACGGUAAACUAGCAUGGCAAUGAUAGUAAUGGUAUCUGAGGAAAUGAUCAUCUUGCCUGAGAUCCCGCUUGGAAUAAGAAUGCCUCCGUGAAGCAGACGAACCGACGUAGUCGAACGGGUCCUCACAAUCCGACACGUUGCGGAACUCUAACGAGACGAAGCAAACCGGAAACAAGAAUCAACACACGAUAUUCACCACACGAUGCACAACAAAAUUGAUGCAUGAGCAGCUGAAUACAUACAAGUCACGACAUGACAAUUCACACAAUCGAACACCACACAUUAAGUGAAGUUCAAUAUGCAACAAGUUGCAUAUUGACGAAACUCCACGUUAAUUAUUUAGUUCUAUCCCGAUUAAGUACACGGCAAUAUUAAAUGUGGUUAAACAUGCGAGAGGUGAAGCGGAAAUGAAACUACCUAUCUAGACAUUUUAAAUGAGGUCGGAAAUGACAUAUAGCAUCUCCGUGACGACCUCACAUGUUAAUUUACAAUUCUGUCCAGAUCUGAACUAAUGCAUUUAAUUGGUUGUUAAACAGGAAAACAAAUAGGUUCACGUGAUUCUACGCGUCAAGGCAAGCAAUCUACACAUAAAGAACAUCUCCAACGGAGCUACGGAUCAAAAGUUACAAGCACCGCAAGAUAUGAUGGCAUGAAUGCAAUAUGUGUGCAACGACGGCUACGAGCACUUCAAAACAUACAACCAGCAAGAUAAAAUGAAACUACACGAGAUUCUAAGCAAGUUUCAUGUAGGACACGAUCAAAUCAGAGCUACGGUUCAACAACUACGAGCGAAACAAGAAAACACUACAAUCUGCCAAAAUCAGCCACAUAGCAUUUUCUACACCCCACAACUACGGGCUACACAACUCCGAUAUGCUCAAGCAAGGCAUGGCACGGAAGAGGGCAAGAAGCACUACUACAAACAACUAACAACAACUAGCAUGGCAUCAUGGAGCACUAGGAAAAGAAGACACAAAAUGGCAUCUCACACACUAUUUCAGACUUAGUGAAAAUUACACCUCAUGAAAGUGCAUUUUUCGAUCUGAAGCAAUAUUGACAGCAGCAAAACCUAUAGCUACAGGNNNNNNNNNNUAAAAUUCACAUCAUGCUAGAGAAACAUAAGGGCUACAACUAACUCCAUUGGACCAACCUCAAAAGAGCUACAGAUCACAAGAUAGAAGCAAGACAAGACAGCAACAAAAUAUAUCAGAUUCCAGACUUAGAAAUAUUUCAGCUCCUCCAAAUCAGCACUAUUUCUAGGAACUUGAGAUCUAUCAAACUACACCUAAACAUGCAUUUCUAUUGCAACUAAAAAUACCAGGGGCUAGUCUAAACACCCAAGAUCAACUCUCUAGUUGACAACUCCGUCAAACGAAGCACGGAAUAAAUCCUACCAAUUAAACAAAAGGGCAACAUAGCAAAAUAUCUCGUGAACUAACUUACUCGAAAGCUAAAACUAAUUGCACAGAAAAAUCCAUGGGAUUUUUCUACCCCAGAAACAUAUAAAAUAUGUGGGGUUGCAAAACAAAAUAAAGCCACACAUAAAUGCGGGAAAAUAACCUAUAUACGGGAAAUUAAACUAGCUGCAAAUCCCUACACGUAAAAAUACAAAUGAACGCUCUAAAAUUCAUGACAAAGGUGUCCCUAGAACAUGGGCAUUUUAUCUAAGGCAUUCGAGCUAUUCGGGUACGCACAGAAAAUAACUACGACAAUAAACCUAUCGAGACAACACCCUAAACUAGACAUACGACACGUCAAACAACGUCAAAUAAAUAUGCAAGUUGUGAAAUCGUGUUCUACUCGCGAAGCUACCCCAAAACCAUAUAAAAUACGCCUCGUUCCGACUUACGGAUAAAAAGUUACGGGCAUUACAAUAUUCGUCUAUUUCCUGAAAUUUAACUAAAUCCGAAAAAAAAAUACCUAGAAUGCUACUGGGCCGAACAGGGAGCGCAAAGUACUAUCUAGCGCAGGGGCGGGGAAUAGUUACCUGAUGGGCUCGGGGAUGUGGGCCAACUCGGAGAAGGAGGUGGUGGGCCUGCGUGGGAGGAGACCGGCCUGGCGGUGGUGGGCCCACUCGGGGGGGNNNNNNNNNNNNNNNNNNNNNNNNNNNNNNNNNNNNNNNNNNNNNNNNNNNNNNNNNNNNNNNNNNNNNNNNNNNNNNNNNNNNNNNNNNNNNNNNNNNNUAGCCUGGCCAUAAGUAUGGCAGGCAGGUUCCAGAGUAAUCCAGGAGUGGAUCACUGGACGGCGGUCAAGAAUAUCCUGAAGUACCUGAAAAGGACUAAGGAGAUGUUUCUCGUAUAUGGAGGUGACAAAGAGCUCGCCGUAAAGGGUUACGUCGAUGCAAGCUUUGACACAGAUCCGGACGACUCUAAGUCGCAGACCGCAUACAUAUUUAUUCUUAAUGGGGGUGCGGUAAGCUGGUGCAGUUCCAAGCAAAGCGUCGUAGCUGAUUCUACAUGUGAAACGGAGUACAUGGCUGCCUCAGAAGCAGCUAAGGAGGGUGUCUGGAUGAAGCAGUUCAUGACGGAUCUAGGAGUGGUGCCGAGCGCACUCAAUACAAUAACCCUGUUUUGUGACAACACGGGUGCCAUUGCCUUAGCAAAGGAACCACGGUUUCACAAGAAGACCAGACACAUCAAACGAUGCUUCAACCUCAUCCGCGCCUACGUCGAGGAGGAGGACGUGAAUAUAUGCAAAGUGCACACGGAUCUGAAUGUGGCAGACCCGCUGACUAAACCUCUUCCACGAGCAAAGCAUGAUGAACACCAGAACUGUAUGGGUGUUAGAUUUAUUACAAUGUAAUUCGCAUGGCGAUGUGAGGACUAGAUUAUUGACUCUAGUGCAAGUGGGAGACUGUUGGAAUUAUGCCCUAGAGGCAAUGAUGAAUAAGUUAUUAUUAUAAUUCCUGUAUCAAGAUAAUCGUUUAUUAUCCAUGCNNNNNNNNNNUAGAUGCAUGUGUGGAUACAUAGACAAAACACUGUCCCUAGCAAGCCUCUAGUUGGGUAGCCAGUUGAUCAAGGAUAGUCAGGGUCUUCUGACUAUGUACAAGGUGUUGUUGCUUAAUAACUGGGUCACAUCAUUGGGUGAAUCAUGUGAUGGACUAGACCCAAACUAAUAGACGUAGCAUGUUGGUCGUGUCAUUUUGUUGCUAUUGUUUUCUGCGUGUCAAGUAUUUNNNNNNNNNNNNNNNNNNNNNNNNNNNNNNNNNNNNNNNNNNNNNNNNNNNNNNNNNNNNNNNNNNNNNNNNNNNNNNNNNNNNNNNNNNNNNNNNNNNNCCGCAACCGCCCCACUCCCGCACCGCGCGUGGCGCUCAGCUGGGCCCCGAGCCGGCCCAGCUAUGCACCUCCAGCAGGCUUUGGCCUCACCCGCGGCCCACCUCCAGCUUCGGCAGCCAGGCCGGCUGCCUUCCUCGGCGCCCUCCAGCCCAAGAGCCCCCCCCCCCCNNNNNNNNNNNNNNNNNNNNNNNNNNNNNNNNNNNNNNNNNNNNNNNNNNNNNNNNNNNNNNNNNNNNNNNNNNNNNNNNNNNNNNNNNNNNNNNNNNNNNNNNNNNNNNNNNNNNNNNNNNNNNNNNNNCUUGGCGCUAUUUACUAAAUUGCGCCUCCAUAUUCGGCCCGUUUGCAUUUAGGAUAUUUCUGUGAUUAAAUAAUUUCAGGAAUUAAUAGAUAUUUAAAACGUUUGUAUCUUUUAAUUCGUAAGUCGGAACGAAGCGAGUAAUAUAUGUAUUUCGCGUAGUUUCUCGUGUAGAACACGUUGGCGCUACUUGCAUAAUUAUUUGAGGUCAUUUAGCGUGUCGUAUGCCUAGUUUAGCGUGCUGUCCUAUUAUGUUUGCACCUCGUAAUAUUUUUUCGCGCGUGUCCGGACUGCCCGUCUACCGUAGAUUAAUGUCCAUGUUUUAGGAAUCAUUUUGCAUGUAUUUUAGAGCGGCCAUUUGUAUUUUUACGUGUAUGGUUUGCCGGUAGUUUAUUUUCCCGUAUAUAGGUGUUUAUCUCGCAUUAAUGUGUGGCAUUAUUUUAUGUUGCAACCCCACAUAUUUUAUAUGUUUUCGGGAUAGAAAAUCCGUGUGAUUUUUAUGUGCAAUUAGUUUUAGCUUUUGAGUAAGUUAGUUCGCGAGAUAUUUUGCCAUGUUGCCCUUUUGUUUGAUUCGUAGGAUUUAAUCCGUUCUUCGUUUGACGGAGUUGUCAACUAGGGAGUUGUUCUUGGGUGUUUAGUCUAGCCCCUCGUAUUUUUGGUUGCAAUAGAAAUGCAUGUUUAGGUGUGAUUUUCUUGCUCUCAAGUUGCUAGAAGUAGUGCUGUUUUAGAGGAGCUGAAAUAUUUCUAAGUCUGGAAUCUGUUCUAUUUUGUUGCUGUCUUGUCCUGCUUGUAUCUUGUGAUCUGUAGCUCUUUUGAGGUUGGUCCAAUGGAGUUAGUUGUAGCCCUUAUGUUUCUCUAGCAUGCUAUAAACUUUCAUGCCAUUUGGAGUCCUGUAGCUAUAGGUUUUGCUGCUGUCAAUAUUGNNNNNNNNNNCUGCACUCUCAUGAGGUGUAAUUUUCACUAAGUCUGAAAUAGUGCGUGAGAUGCCAUUUUGUGUCUUAUUUUCCUAGUGCUCCUUGCUGCCAUGCUAGUUGUUGUUAGUUGUUUGUAGUAGUGCUUCUUGACCUCUUUCGUGCCAUGCCUUUCUUGAGUUUAUCAGAGUUGUGUAGCUCGUAGUUGUGGGGCGUAGAAAAUGCUAUGUGGCUGAUUUUGGCAGAUUGUAGUCAUUUCUUGUUUUGCUCGUAGUUUUUGAACCGUAGCUCCGAUUUGAUCGUGUCCUACAUGAAACUUGCUUAGAGUCUUGUGUAGUUUCAUUUUCUUUUGUUGUUUGUAUGUUUUGAAGUGCUCGUAGCCGUCGUUGCACACAUAUUGCAUUCAUGCCAUCAUAUCUUGCGGUGAUUGUAACUCUUGAUCCAUAGCUCCGUUGGAGAUGAUCUCUAUGUGUAGAUUGCUUGAAAUGACACGUAGAACCACGAGAAACUAUUUGUUUUGCUGUUUAACAACUAAUUAAAUGUGUUAGUUCAGAUCUGGACAGAAUUGUAAAUUAACAUGUGAGGUCGUCUCGGAGGUGCUAUAUGUCAGUUCCGACCUCAUUUAAAAUGCCUAGAUAGGUAGUUUAAUUGCGCUUCACCUCUUGCCACGUUUAAUCACAUUUAAUAUUGCCGAGUAUCUAAUCGGGAUAGAACUAAAUAAAUAAACGUGAAGUUUUGUCAAUAUGCAACUCGUGGCAUAUUGAACUUCACUUAAUGUGUAGUGUUUGAUUGUGUGAAUUGUCAUGACGUGACUUGCAUGUAUCCAGCUGCUCAUGCAUCAUUUGUGUUGUGCAUCGUGUGCUGAAUUCCGUGUGAUGAUUUGUGUUUCCGGUUUGCUUCUUCUCGAUAGAGCUCCGCACGCGUGCCGGAUUGUGAGGACCCGUUCAACUACGUCGGUUCGUCUGCUUCAGGGAGGCAUUCUUCUUCCAAGCGGGAUCUCAGGCAAGAUGAUCAUUUCCCCAGAUACCAUUAAUAUCAUUGCCAUGCUAGUUUUAUCGUUUCUGUCGUUAUGUCUCGUUGCCUACCACAUGUUAAAUUCAGCCUCUCGACAAUGCCAUGAUAACCUUCAACCUGUUCGACCUAGCAAACCACUGAUUGGCUAUGUUACUGCUUGCUUAACCCUGUUGAUAGCGUUGCUAGUUGCAGGUGCAGAUGCCUCCAUGUGAAAACAUGGGUUCCUUGUUAUAUCACCAUAUUAAAUGGUAUUUAAUGUAAUGCACCUAUAUACUUGGUAAAAGGUGGAAGGCUCGGCCUUUCUAGNNNNNNNNNNNNNNNNNNNNNNNNNNNNNNNNNNNNNNNNNNNNNNNNNNNNNNNNNNNNNNNNNNNNNNNNNNNNNNNNNNNNNNNNNNNNNNNNNNNNAAAGCAUUCCUCCGGUGUCAGUGAGUUAUAUGAUCUCAUGGUCAUAGGAAUAAAUACUUGACACGCAGAAAACAAUAGCAACAAAAUGACACGACCAACNNNNNNNNNNCCCACCUCCUCCUUUUUUUUCUUUCUCUUUGAUUUUUAUCUCUAUGGCGCAUAGGGCACUUGUGGGCUGUCCCACCAGCCCACUAAGGGCUGGUGUGCCUCCCUCAAGGCCUAUGGGCUUCCCCGGGGUGGGUUGCCCCCCCCGGUGAACUCCCGGAACCCAUUCGUCAUUCCCGGUACAUUCCCGGUAACUCCGAAAACCUUCCGGUAAUCAAAUGAGGUCAUCCUAUAUAUCAAUCUUCGUUUCCGGACCAUUCCGGAAACCCUUGUGACGUCCGUGAUCUCAUCCGGGACUCCAAACAACAUUCGGUAACCAACCAUAUAACUCAAAUACGCAUAAAACAACGUCGAACCUUAAGUGUGCAGACCCUGCGGGUUCGAGAACUAUAUAGACAUGACCCGAGAGACUCCUCGGUAAAUAUCCAAUAGCGGGACCUGGAUGCCCAUAUUGGAUCCUACAUAUUCUAUGAAGAUCUUAUCGUUUGAAUCUCGGUGCCAAGGAUUCAUAUAAUCCCGUAUGUCAUUCCCUUUGUCCUUCGGUAUGUUACUUGCCCGAGAUUCGAUCGUCAGUAUCCGCAUACCUAUUUCAAUCUCGUUUAUCGGCAAGUCUCUUUACUCAUUCCGUAAUACAAGAUCCCGCAACUUACACUAAGUCACAUUGCUUGCAAGGCUUGUGUGUGAUGUUGUAUUACCGAGUNNNNNNNNNNGAAGACACUGACUAUCAUUGAUCAACUGGCUAGCCAACUAGAGGCUUGCUAGGGACGAUGAUUUGUCUAUGUAUCCACACAUGUAAAUGAGUCUUCAUUCAAUACAAUUAUAGCAUGGAUAAUAAGCGAUUAUCUUGAUACAGGAAUUAUAAUAAUAACUAUAUUUAUCAUUGCCUCUAGGGCAUAAUUCCAACAGAAAAAUCAGGUAUAUUUGAUAUACAUGUUAUUGAUGUGUACUUAACCAGCUCUCGUAGUAGUGCCUGGGUAUUCGAUACCGGUUCUGUUGCUCAUAUUUGCAACUCGAAACAGGAACUGCGGAAUAAGCGAAGGCUGGCAAAGGAUGAAGUGACGAUGCGCGUGGGAAAUGGAUCCAAGGUUGAUGCAAUCGCCGUCGGCACAGUUUCACUUCAGUUACCAUCAGGAUUAGUUAUGAACUUAAAUAAUUGUUAUUUAGUGCGUGCGUUAAGCAUGAACAUUAUAUCUGGAUCUUGUUUAUUGCGAGACGGUUACUCGUUUAAGUCAGAGAAUAAUGGUUUUUCUAUUUUUGUGAGUAAUAUCUUUUAUGGUCAUGCACCCAAUGUGAGAGGAUUGUUCAUAUUGAAUCUUGAUAGUGAUAAUACAAAUAUACAUAACAUUGACACCAAAAGAGUUAGAGUUAACAAUGAUAGCGCCAUGUUUUUAUGGCACUGCCGCUUAGGUCAAAUGGGUGUAAAGUGCAUGAAGAAACUCCAUACUGAUGGACUUUUGGAGUCACUUGACUUUGAUUCACUUGACACGUGUGAACCAUGCCUCAUGGGCAAGAUGACUAAAACUCCGUUCUCCGGAACAAUGGAGCGUGCAAGUGACUUGUUGGAAAUCAUACAUACCGAUGUGUGUGGUCCGAUGAGUGUGGAGGCACGCGGCGGAUAUCGUUAUUUUCUCACUUCACUGACGAUUUGAGUAGAUAUGGUUAUGUCUACUUGAUGAAGCACAAGUCUGAAACAUUUGAAAAGUUCAAACAAUUUCAGAGUGAAGUUGAAAAUCAUCGUAACAAGAAGAUCAAGUUCCUACGGUCUGAUCGUGGGGGUGAAUAUCUCAGUUUCGAGUUUGGUGCUUGAUACGUCUCCAUCGUAUCUACUUUUACAAACUCCUUUCCCUUGUUUUGGACUCUAAUUUGCAUGAUUUGAAUGGAACUAACCCGAACUGACGUUGUUUUCAGCAGAAUUGCCAUGGUGUUGUUUUUGUGCAGAAAUGGAAGUUCUCGGAACGUCCUGAAAAUUUGCGGAGAAUAUUUCUGGAAAAUAUGAGAAAUACCUGCGCAAAGAUCCACCGAAGGGGACGGGCCAGUGGGCCACAAGCCCUGUGGCCGCGGCCACCCCCCCCCCCCCNNNNNNNNNNUGAUCAUCAAGACCCGCCAGGCCGGGAUCUCCCAGACAUCCAAGUCGCCCCAGCCCCUCUUGUCAGGAGCGGCGGACGAGUGGGGGUGCCGUGCUUGGCCCCUGCCCUUCGCAACGAACGAAUGCCCAAGGAUUUUAAAGGACCAAGAAAGGUGCCUAACUACACUCCGGACCUUGAGCCGGCGUCAUGGGUCGAGAGUUAUGAAAUCGCCAUGGACAUGCUCGACGUAAACGAAGCAGUUUGCGCCAGAUACUUCACAAUGAUGCUCAAAGGGACAACGUGUACUUGGUUAAAAAACUUACCCCCAACUCCAUCCAGACCUGGGCUGAAUUGAAAGAGCGCUUCAUCAAAAACUUCCGAGGAAACUGCAAACGUCCAAUGACGAUUGUCGAUCUGCAGCACUGCGUUCAACGCCCCGAUGAGUCGGCCCACCACUGGUCACGGCGGGUCGCGGAAAUCAUUUACUCAUCAGAUGGUAUUACGGCGGCUCAGGCUGUGCUGAUUGUCGAGAAGAAUUGCCACUACGAACCUCUGGUACAGAAGUUGGGGCGACUCAAGCGAAAGGUCCAAGACAUGGGGGAGCUAAUGGAUACCCUCACUAGGUACGCUGAGGCGGACGACACCAAAGAUCCCGGUGAGGACGGUAAAGCUAACUCACCAAGGAAGGGCGAGUCAUCCAAAAAUCAUACCCGGUUCCAGGGACGCAACCGCCACAAUCAGGCAGCGAAUAGCAAGAGAAGGCAGCAGGAAGAAUCUUCAGAUUUAGUCGCCAAUACCAACACCAACAAUGGCAACCAACGCCAGAAGAAAAGCAGGGGAUACAGUGGUAAAAAGCCGCGCAACUAUGAAGAGUUACUCAAGGGCCCCUGCCCGCACCACGCCAUGGCAGACGGACCGGCGACUCAUUCCUUGGAGAACUGUUACGUGAUGCGGGAGUUUCGGGCGGAGGCGAUCAAAAAAGGGAAAAGUGAUGACCCGGACCAACGGCAGGAACAGUUCGGUGCACCCAACCAACGUCAGAACCCCUUCGGCGGUUUUCCUGAACCGGGGGCUCAGGGUGGCUCGCAGCCGAGCAGCGGCCAGUAUCCAGUGCAUCACCAGCGACGGUAUAACCCGCCCGGAGUUUUUCAGCAACCACCCCUACAGGGGGCUUCGCAGGGCCAGGAUGACAACGACGGCUUCUGCAACAACCCCAAACAGUUAAGCAAUGGGCAGUACCACGUUUUCACCACCAAUGCUUGCAGGCGUGAUAAAAAGGUGAGUCACCGAGCGUACAGUGUGUCUGAGCCGGAACUCCCCAGGUACCUCCACUGGUCCGAGCAGACCAUAUCAUGGAGUAGGGAGGAUCAUCCACCAAGAGUUGACAAUCCCGGCGAUUUAGCGUUGGUCGUGGCUCCCCAAGUUGGGGGGUAUACCCUGUCAAAAGUACUAAUGGAUGGUGGCAGCAGCAUCAAUAUUUUGUAUUUUGACACUUUCCAAAGGAUGAACUUGUUAGAAAAAGAUUUGAUGCCUUCAACCACGGUAUUCCACGGAAUCGUCCCAGGCAAAUCGGCGUGCCCCAUAGGCCGAGUCAGACUCACAGUUGCAUUUGGAACAGCAUCUAACUACAGGAGUGAGUCGCUGAUGUUUGAGGUGGUUAAAUUGAAAAGCCCCUACCAUGCGCUGUUUGGGCGGCCGCCUUACGCCCGGUUCAUGGCUCGCCCAUGCUAUGUUUACCUUAAACUCAAGAUGCCUGGUCCUAAAGGACCCAUCACGGUUGACGGUGAUAGAAGGAUUGCAAGGGAAUGUGAAGAAGGGGACGCGGCUUACGCGGAAGUCGCCUGCGCUGCGGAGGAGCUCAAAUAUCAUCGGGCCAAUGUUGAUCCGGCUGAUAUGUCGCCCUUAAAAAAGCCAACGACAGAUGCUGAGCCGCCCCUCAAGUUCAAACCAAUGGAUGACACUAAAACGGUUGAUUUCGUUCCUGGCGACUCAACCAAGCAGUUCAUCAUUGGGACGGGUCUGGAUCCCAAAUAGGAAAGCGCGCUCAUCGAAUUCAUCCGUGAGAAUCGAGACAUCUUCACAUGGAAACCUUCUGACAUGCCUGGUGUGCCGAGAGAAUUCGCUGAGCACCAUCUUAAUGUUGACCCAAAGGCAAAACCUAUCCAUCAGUAUCUUCAUAGGUUUAACGAGGAACGACACAAGGCAAUCGGGGAAGAGGUUGCCCGUCUCUUGGCCGCCGGAUUCAUCGUAGAAGUUUUUCACCCCAAAUGGUUGGCUAACCCGGUCUUGGUGCUCAAAAAGAAUGGUACCUUCCGUAUGUGCAUUGAUACACGGACCUCAACAGAGCUUGUCCAAAAGAUCCUUUCGCUCUUCCCCGCAUCGACCAGAUUAUUGACUCGGUGGCGGGAUACGAACGUUUGUGCUUAUUGGACGCCUACUCUGGAUAUCACCAAAUCAAGAUGGCCGUGGAGGAUCAAGAGAAAACAGCUUUUAUAACCCCCUUUGGGGCUUUUUGCUAUGUGUCCAUGCCAUUUGGACUCAAGAGUGCAGGGGCGACUUAUCAGCGCUGCAUCCAGAAUUGCCUCCGUAGACAAAUCGAACGCAACGUCCACGCCUAUGUCGAUGACAUUGUGAUUAAAACCCGCCAGGGGGAGACGCUAUUGGAAGAUCUCAAGGAAACUUUUGAUAAUUUGCGGGUAUAUCAGAUGAAGCUAAAUCCCACCAAGUGUGUUUUUGGUGUUCCUGCAGGAAAAUUGUUGGGCUUCCUGGUGUCUGAGCGUGGCAUCGAAGCUAACCCGGACAAAAUCGAAGCAGUUACUUCCCUUGGGAAGCCAACAAAUGUUAACCAAGUCCAACGGAUGGCGGGUCGCAUUGCGGCCUUAAGUCGCUUCAUAAGCCGCCUGGGAGAAAAGGCGAUUCCCCUUUAUCAAUUGCUGAAGAAAUCUGACCAUUUUGUUUGGACAGAUGAAGCUGAUGAAGCUUUCGAAGCCUUGAAACGGCAACUGGUCAACCCGCCGGUCUUGGCCGCCCCGACUGAGAAAGAGCCCAUGCUUUUGUAUAUUGCGGCAAACUCCAAAGCAGUAAGUGUGGCGAUGGUCGUUGAAAGGAAGGAGGAAGGAAAGGAAUACCCAGUGCAGCGCCCGGUGUAUUUUAUCAGCGAAGUGCUAACUCUUUCCAAGCAACGGUACCCACAUUGGCAGAAGUUGGUAUAUGGGGUGUUUAUGGCGAGUCGGAAGCUUAAACAUUAUUUCCAAGAACAUCCCAUCACGGUGGUUAGUUCCUGUCACGCCCAAGAUGCGACCCUAUCCUCAAUUUGGCACGAGGGUCUCGUCAGGGAUAGAAGCGCAUCUCGUUGUGUCGCAAGAAUGGAUAUCGUUACAAGUACAAGUACUGAAAAGAAGAUAUAUAUAUAUAUAUAUAGAAUUGGCUUACACUCGCCACAAGCUACAUUAGAGUCACAUCAGUACAUUACAUAAUCAUCAAGAGUAAGAGCAAGGUCCGACUACGGACGAAAACAAACGAGAAAAGAAGAACGACGUCCAUCCUUGCUAUCCCAGGCUGCCGGCCUGGAACCCAUCCUAGAUCGAUGAAGAAGAAGAAGAAGAGGCAACUCCAAAUGAACAAUCAACACGCUCGCGUCAAGUAACCUUUACCUGUACCUGCAACUGGUGUUGUAGUNNNNNNNNNNNNNNNNNNNNNNNNNNNNNNNNNNNNNNNNNNNNNNNNNNNNNNNNNNNNNNNNNNNNNNNNNNNNNNNNNNNNNNNNNNNNNNNNNNNNGGACAGACCCUCUCCUGAGCCUCGUUGCAGCGGUGCUUAUCCUGUGUGCCGUACGCGUUGGCUGAUGACGAUCCAUGUAAACAAGUGUAUUAUUAGGUGCAACAUGGACUUAUAAGUCCCUAUAAACAAACAGGUAGGGACUCGGGACUUAUAAGUCCCUGUAAACAAACAUAAGUUGAGACUUAAAAAAGUCUUAGAACUUAUGAAACAAACAGGGCCUAAGUUAAGCCGAGGCGGCGGCGGCCGCAGGUGGUGGCGACGGCGCCUCGUAAGAUGGCGACGGAACGGGAAACCGGCGAGUCCACCAGGCAGCAGUCUGAAGCUCUUUAUUGGCUCCCUCCGAUCCAGAGUAUGGUUCGAGUUCCUCCACUUUCUAGGAAUAAGAUCAAGCGCAAGGGUCCAGCUGUCUCUUGUGUUAGAAAACCGGCGAGGGAGGACAGUUGUAAGAUAGAGGAGACGGAAGGCAGAUCUGGGAAGCAGGGGCAGUCUCAACUUCUUCAUGGCCAUCAAAUCCGGAAGAUGGAGGUUGAGAUGGACGAUAUUGACAUAGAUAAAUCAGUCCAACAAUUAGCCACGGAGCAGGAGGAGAUGGCCACCGAGGAAAAGAAUUUCUCUGGCCACAUAAGUUUCUGGCAAUCUGUACGGGGAUCCAUGGGGUGCGGCCGCUUUGAAGACACAAGUAAGUUGAAAUUCACGCAUACUUACUCAGUUUUCUUUAGCUAGCCACGUACGUAGUUUUCAAUUCCUUCCUGAGUUCCUGUUUUUUUCUUUUCUUUUGAUUGAUCGACCUUCCUUUUAUAAGUGGCAUGGGGAUUGAUUUGCCCUUUUGCUUAUCUAGCACUAGUACAUGUUAGAUUUCUAACACAUGCUUCACUUUGGUGCUUGCAUGCAGCACUAUUGAGUUCCAUGCACUUCACACACUUGACACCUAUACCUGGAUUAGUGGAUGGUGUGGUCGCAAAUACCUUGCAGAUCUUCUCCAUCAAAAUCGCAGAAAUCAAAGGCGGCUUCAAAUGGCCAUUGUUUGUGUACGGUGUGGUUGCUGCCAGGGACUCGGUCGAUUUUAAUCGCAACCUUCUCUUUUGGUGUGAUAGCACAAUGAGCCAAAUUGUUCGGGAAAAUGUAUGUAUAGUAUCUUUGCCUUUUGAUGAUUUUGUUUUGGAGAUAUUUCUGUUGGCAUAUGACCGUUUGGUCAUCUCUCUUGUUGAUUAGUAGUUAAUGAAGGGGUGAUUGGAUAAUGCUUGCAGGAUCCUUUUUUGCGCUUGAUUGGGCCAUCACGUGCAAUCCUGUUCAAAGAUCCUGUCCAGUUUGAAAUUCAACUGAGAGUUGAACAUGGAGCAAUGCCUCGAGACAGAGCAUUGAUCAGUACGAUGCACACUUUCUCUGCAGGUCUUCCUGGUAUGCAUACCAUUUGCUUUGAGAACGCCUUCUGCAAAAUAGAGUUAUGCAUGGAGCUGGUCCUGGAGUCAAUUCAGGCCACAGUCUGCAGUGUCCGUGUUGUCAAACAAGGGAGGCGGCAGCGUGUUGAGCAUCAUUGCCGAGUAGCUUGCUUGACAACAUCGUACUCCAAGCAUGUUGACGAUGCCCCAUUUGGUGAAGUCGUGCUGCUUGAUCCUCGUAGACAUGCAACGCCACAGGGUUCAGAUGGUUACCUUGAUCUGUCGAGGCGUGUGGUCUCUGUACAACGGGGAGGCCUCCUGGUAGUUGUUGUAGAGGCCUACUCACCAUCCUGUGUUAGGACAGCACAAGGGCACAUCUUCUUGGCUGCCAAAUGUUUUGGCUUCAGUCAAAAGACAUUUAAUGUUGAUGAUGCUGAGCUGGAGAUUACCGUUGCUUGGUCCCUCCUCGUCCCAGACAAGUAUAAACUCUUGAGACCAGUGAUGAUUUGAAACCUCCGAGUGUUUACCUGAAGAUGCUGGCUCACCAGGCAAAGCUUUGACGAUGUGUGUCCGCUCUAUAUUAUCUAAAAUGUCCCAACUGUUCUAUCAUGUAUGGACUAUAACAUGGGUUGUGUGAUUCGGCUGUGACUAAGUUAAUACUCCCUCCGUUCCUAAAUAUAAGUCUUUUAAGAAUUAUUGCUAUUUGGAAUGUAUCUAAUUCUAUUGAGUCUGACUCAUAGUGAUCAUUUCUCAAGAAUGACCAUGGUUCUUGGAUUUUUUUAUUUAAUCCCUUUUUUAUUUCUUCAAUGAUUAAUUGGAACUCCGAUUAAUUAUUUUGGCUGACUGUUUGUACAUAAAUAAUAAGUCAAAACGAAGUAGGAACAAGAAUGAUCUUCGGACAUACGGAAAUCUGUUUCAUGUAGCUUGGCAAGGAAAUUUUGAAUGAGAGAACCCCCCAAUAGAAAAACAUUGGAAAGGAAAAAUACUUCUAACCCAUGAACAGUUUGUGGCAAUGGAUUGGUUUGAUCAAAAUUUUCAUGUUAUUCCCGAAUGCUAAGGAGAAGAAGAGGAUUGAGUCGAAAGAAAAAGCUAUUUUCGAGUUUUAUAUCAACAAUUUAUUUGUGCAACGAUUGGAUCUGUCCAAGCACCUCGUUUAACAUUCAGGGCUUGUUUGGAUACGUUGCUAGAUGGUUUUCAUAGUUGACCUCCAGUGCCUCCGUGAGGAAGGCAUGUUUGGCGAUAGCCGCUGGCUGUGAUCCAGGCGGUGAAAUUGAGUCCGAACUAGAGGCCGACUCCUAGGGAUCCGAAGACUCGGUCGGACGCCGAGUCCAAAGUUAAAGCUUCGGAGUCUUUGGUCUCAUCGGCAGAAUCCGCUGGAAUUAGAUCAUCCCGCGAAUUGUUUGGGAAUUUGAGAUUCCCUAGCCUUGCUUGAUGGUCGGGGGCAAAACCUCCGAUAUGCCCGAGGCGGCCAGUCAAGUCUGCGCGCAGCAUGAUGCUGCCGAACGAAAGGACCUGUCCGGGGACGAGGAUGUCCCCGUUGCUGAUCCUGUCGCAGACGAUUACACGAGUCAUCAAUCUCUUCGGCGAUCUAACAGUGGAACUCUCAAUGAAAUCACCAAUGUCAGUGUGAAAACUGAUAGAUCACGGGUAGGGGGUCUUGAACUGUGGACCUAGGAUCGAUGGGUUGCAGGGAGAAGUGGACACAGUGGUUUUACCCAGGUUCGGGCCCUCCUAUGGAGGUAAUACCCUACGUCCUCCUCGAUUAUAUUGAUGAAGAUGAUUACAGAGUAGAUCUACCUCGAGAUCGUAUAUGCUAAACCCUAGAUGAUUCAGCCUCUUCCUCACAGAUAGGGGCUCCUGGUUUAUAUAGACACCAGGGACCCUAGGGUUUACAAGUUUACCGAGUAUAAUAAGGAAUAGAUGAGCCGACCUAGUCUUCCUAAGCUUGAAGUACACGCCAAUCUUCAGGAUAUUCCUUCCAAAGUAAAGGUCGUUGUAAGGCCCGGUCUUCUACAAUGCGGUCCAAUGGGCCCACCUGGUAUUGACUAACCGGCCGCCCGAGGACCCCAAAAUCCUGGACUCCCUCAACCCCCCUUUUAUCGCACACACAGACAAGGUGACAGUUUGAAACCGCGUCACUUAAAGGGGUUAAAAACUGUUUGCUUAGGACAUUGUUGCACCAGUGCUAGUACAAGUGCAUCGCUCAUACCAGCCGUCGCCGCCUCCCUCUCAUAUAUACGGAAAACUUCUAUGGACGCACAAAGAGAGGAGGAGAUGACCACAUCGCGAUCGCCAUCAGAACACUUGAGAAGAGAUCUAGCAGAGAGAGAACUUCAUUUAGACCCAUUUCGGCUUCCUCCACAUCACCCCCAUUCAUUCAUGUGCACCAUCGCCAUAGAGAGAUUAGUUCCAACUUCUAAUUGUAUUCAUACUUUGUUGAAGAUUGAGAUCAGAUCGAUCGUUCUUCUUAUUGCAGCAAGUAAUCCUCCAUAAGCAUGGGAGGUGUAGGGGAUUAGUGAGAUUCAUUCGUGCCUAUUUGAUAUGUUAUUUGUGAAACUAGUUCUAUGUUUGAUUAUUAAGUUGUCUACAUGUGGUGACCGAAAUGUGUGUUGUCCAGUUUAAGGGUCUAGGCAACAUGAUCAAAAGACUUACAUGUAACACAUAUGAUUCAACGAAUCCAAGCCCACUAGAUGAUGGUGUUGAUAUCUACGAGGAGCGAAGACGGUAUGAGGACAACAUGACUUAACUAGACUUAUUAAAGCGUUGAUUUGGUCCCACAACCUUAAUUGUUGAAAUGGUCAUGCACAUGGCUGCGUCGAUGCAGAAUACUAGAGGAGAACAAUUCCGGUAUGGAUGAUUUCUACUACCAAAGGGUGAACCGCCUACUGAACGUACAAUUAACGAGGUAGAGUUACAUGACAAGGUAACCCGUAUUACCGUCGCACUGGCACAUUUGAUGAAAGCUAUGAUCCGAAUUUCCCCCGCAUAACAUCUCCACUACAGACAUACGAUGAUUUAUUUUCGGCAAUUUAAUUUUUAUGUACUUUACUUUUCGCCCUCGUUACUUUGUUUUAACUCCCUUUCAUUUGUCUUCCAUGACUAAGAUCAUCCUUGCAGAUUUUUCAAAUAGUUAAUUCACACAAGAUUGGUGAAUUUUUUUCUUUAAGAAGUAAAGACCGAUGAUAACUUAUGUGUGAACGUAAGGCCAGCUAUUAACACUCUCCUCCGCUCUUAGUUGGAAUGAUAAACCAUUUAAAAUAUUGACAUGAAGGAGCUACAUAACUAUGUGUGUCUUGCAAGUCACCAGGGUACCAGUUAAUUAGUGAUUUUGUUGGUUUGUUCUAUUAAUUGAUUCGUGGUUUGGAAUUAAGAUGGGUUGGAUUAUAUUUCAAAGCCAAAAAAAUAUAUGCAAAUCAAAGUAGGGGCAACUAACUCACGGGCUUCCCUUGCGGGGUAGUUCCAGCGGACAGCUCGGGAGCACCCAGUGCUGCUAUGAGUCGCGUGUUGUGUUGUUUUUAAGGGUUUAUAGGUUUAUUCAAUUUUUCUUGGUUGUUCCUAGGGAUUUUUUUCCUUUUUCCAAAUUCUUUGUUUUUUUUUUGGUUUACAUCUGACAAGAGUUGGUGAUUAUUGCGCGAAAUCACAUGUGUGAUAUGUGUUUUUUAUGUGAGAAGCACAAUUAUGCUUUACAGCGAAGCACAAUUAUACUUUUGUACCCCCCAAAAAGAGAAGCACAAACUAUGCUUCCCAAAAAAGUGAAGCCCAAUUGUAUCCGUAAGUUUUUUCAUUUUUUCUAGAGUUUCUAUCUUUUGAGUCUGUUUUCUUCUAUGGUUUUUUAGUUUCUGGGUUUUUAUCUAUUUCUUCAUCAAUCACGGUUGUGCUUCUCGCAUGAUAAUUGUGCUUCUACAAAAGUGAAGCAUUUGAUGUGCUUCCAGGUGAAGCACAAGUUGCUACCAGUUGGAAGCACAUAUUUGCUCGAAAAAAAAGUUCAUCAAAUGAACUAGAGAUCUAGGUUCAAAGAUCUUGACGUGAAAAAGCAACAACGAAAAUGGUUCGUGAUUUGGAUGUGUAGUUCAAAACAUAAAAAGCUUUGAAAAAAUGAAACUACAAAAAAAACAUAAUCAAUCCCGCUCGUGCCUUCCGUGCAUAGAAAGAAAUCCCAUCAAAAUUUAUAGAUUGUGACAAGUGUCACACAUGUAGUGCUUUACUUGUCACCAUGAGAGUAAGUAGGAGUGAUCUUUGCAAGAGAUACCCCCUAAUGAGUGAUUUCGCGGUCACAUGGGCUGCUUGGACGCGUUGUCGGUAACUCUUAUUUAUCACUCGUUGCGACGAGUUGCUGGGCAAUCACACAAAAGAAAGUUAGGUCAUCCCAAUUAGUUUUACGAUUUUUGGAGGUUCUAGGUAUAGUUUUUCUGGGUUGUACAAAGGUUCUGAAAGUCUCAUGUCUAUAUUUUUAUUCCUUUUAUAUUCUUUUCUUUAUUAGUUUUUACAUUUUAUUUUCUUCUUAUUAUUUAUAUUUAUAAAAAUGUCCACAGUUUUUUUAAAAUGUUUCUAAAAUUUAAAAAAUAAUUGAACCUUUAUAAGAUGUUUCUCAAAUGUAUUAAAAAUGUUCACAAGUUUCAAAAAGUGUUCACACAUGUUUUUUAAAAGCACGUAGCUUUAAACAUAUUUACAUUUUUUAGAAGUGUUCGUAGAUUCCAAAAAAAAAUUCAGUUUUCUCACAAGUUCACGCAUUAAAAAAACAAAUCACACGCUUUUCCCUAUAAAUGUUCAUGUACCCCUCCGUCUCGGUGUAAAACUUAUUUAGGUUGUGCACCGUGAUCAAGAUGGAGAGGAAAACGAGAUAAAUCAAUGCUAAUUUGCUAAUUAAUACCAUUUCAUGUAAUAAAUUGACCAGUGCUUGUUAUGCUAGUUAGUCCCAAGUCAUUGAAAACAUACGAUCCCACAUUUCUUAUUGGUUGAUUCCUUUAUUCAUGUUGCAAAACAAGAAACGAGGUGAAACUUAAUGCACCGCAUCUAAAUGUUUUGAAAUUAUUUGGUUUUCGUAAGAUGACUUAUACACCGAAACAGAGGGAGUAACCAUUUUAUGUUGAAAACCGAAAAAAAGAAGACAAAGGAGGGGGCAAAACACGAUGACACUACAAGUUGCGGCACAUGCCUAACUAGGCCACCGACCUAAUACAACGCCCAUUGUGUGGCACCUCUACAAUCAUUCCUAUUGGCACGAGAUAGGAGCUCCCCACAUUGCCACUGCCAUCCAACAUCACCCCGGAGGAGGAAGCCAAACCCGUUGGGAAGCAAUUGUAGGCUGGAACUACAAUUUUAUGUUCGCCUCCACCACUUCAGGUGUACUAAUUUUAUGUUCGCCUCCACCACUUCAGGUGCUAUCCACCCACGAUGGUGUACUAAUUGUAUGUAUGUGCUUCGCUAUGGGGAGAACACCGUCGCGACACUGCAGCAUCUGUAUGAUGUCGUUCGACGAGAAGCAUGUGUCUUCCUCUCGAACUUCCAUCCAUCCCAUUAUGUAUCGAAAUUGUGUUACAGAGUGAUAUUGUUAGGUAAAGGCAGAGAUUAAUAUUGGAUAGAUUCUUACAAUCCAAAAGUUAAAUGGAGGACACUUGCUUACUUUGCAAGGUCAUGUGUUCGAGCAAACACGGUGACAAUCCUUAACAAUUCUCACUUUAUAAUAUCCUAUAAGUAUUACAUUCUCUAUUUUCCAUUGUCAUGGAGUAAUAUAUUUAAUUUUGUCAGCCACCGUCAUUGCUGGUACAUCCUUGAGUUAGUUGUAUUUUUUCCCACUAAUCAGGGGUCACGGCCGAUGUAAUUAGGCGCCCUGCUAGGCCCUGGUUUACUGCUAUCGAAUCUUAGAGCCUCUGCAGCUACAACUUGCAAAUUCGAACCCUUAAAGGUUCGUGGACGCAUCAUCAGUGACUAGGUGUGUUCCUUAUUUGUUUGUCUGUAUUUGUAAUUUUUUAUAUGUCCGAUCACUUUCACGUGUUUGAUGGAGAGAUGGAGAAAGAAAGAAAAGAAUGAAUAAGAAAAAAAAUGUGGUCCGGGAUGGGGUCGUGUUCUAUGUGGAUACUGACCGGGCGCGUCCGGACACGUCCUCAUAUCCUCCCUAUAUUUAAGAUGAAUAAAAAGGUUCGUGGACAAUUCAUACAUAUAAGGACGAUAUGAGGAAUCCGGUUGAGUCAUUUUUUUUCCUUCUCUCUCCUGUCCGAUCACUGAAUGAAUGUAUCCGUGAACAUAUGAAGAGUCAUUUGAGGGUCCGGAUAUAGAUGCUGUUAACACCUCACAGCUACGCUUGUAUCCUUUCAGUCCGUACGUGUGAGCUCGUUAUGAACCCCUUGAUAGAUACAUGCAUGGAUAGGUUAAAAAGAGGUGUGAGUAUUUUCACAAGAAAUAGCGAUGCUGAGUUGGUUGCUAUAGUCACGUUUUGGCUGGACAAGAGGUAAUAAGUUCAAUCACCAGGCGUCCUAUUUUUCUCGCGUCAGUUUUUUUUGUCGGUUAGGUGUUGACUAAUGGUCAUAGUGGUAAGACUAUCCAUAGUAAAACUAAACACAGGUAGUAACAUAGAUGUCACAUAAAUAAAAAAGGGAAACACUUCCUAUCAUACAUCUGAUAGGUAUCAUACAUCUGAUAGGGAGAUAUUCGUCAGACCAGUUGAGGAACGUUGAUGGGCUUUUAAUCGCACCCCUGAUUUGCUUCCAAAAUCCAUUCAUUAUUCAGUUUCCAAACGAGCCUGAUUUCUUGCCUUGUCCGUCUCCAUAGAUCCCGCAAAUAAUCUCAGAUGCACCAACUCUCCCGACUCUAGCCUGCCCCCGCUAGGCCGCCACAGCUCCAUCGCCGAGCUGGCCACGCCCCUCGCCGAUCUGGUUCUUCACCGGUGCGUCCUCUGGAACAGUUGUCGCCCACCUGCGCCGUCCAAUUCCUCUCUGUGCUGGUGUACUCUGUGCUGCCCAUGAUGUUCUCUCCUGCAUGGAAAACCCAAAGACGUUCUUAGGUUGCCGCAUGCGUCGAUCCUGUUGUUUCUAGGUCGUAUUACAGGAGAAAUGAUCAGAUGAGACGGGCCUGAUGAUGUUGUUCUAAUUUUCUUGCUGUUGUACUUGUACUACAUGUCCAUCGGGAGCAAGGCUGAUAGAAAACAAGAGAAAAGAAACGAUGAAUUCAAACAUGUAUGCUUCGGAUUGAAAGGUCCUCUACCAGGGUAACAUUCUCUCAUUUGUAUUGAUUAAUAUUUGCAAUUUUGUUUUGCUUCUAAUAUUAAUGUUUCGUUCAGAUAUGCAUCUAGUUAAUCUGUUGUACUGCACCUAAUACCGUGGCGAGUCUUUUUCGCCAUGAUUUUUGUCGAGUGCAUCUAUUUUAUAGUCGAUGUGUUUCUUGCCUCAUACGAUGGCGAGUCUUUUUCGCCAUGAUAUGGUAGUGCCGUACCAACCGCAUUGCCAGCAAUGAUUUGCAGGCGGGAUGAUGGAAGCGGAGAGGAAGCACAUGUCGGAGCCAAGCGCAUCACACCGGUUGAUGGCGCCGAUGAUGGAAGCGACUUGUAGCCUGCAACCGAGCAUCUGACCUGACCUGACAAAUAGGGAUCGCCAUGAGGCCGUGUUCACCUGUGCACCCAUACCAGCAGCUUACACCCUGCCAAUGGCACUGAUAUGGUGCUUCCUCUGGACGACAGCAUGACCCUCUAGGACUGCACGCCCCAGGGUCCUGCACCAACGAUUUUCUUAACACUCCAUGAUCUAAGUUUGGAAGCAAUACUUAUAUAGUUUGGAUGCAAUGGAAAAAUAUUUUUUUUGAAGCAAUACUAAUGGACCUAUGUCAUCCAUGGCAGUUGAUGUGAACCGUGCGUCGCGUCAUUUUGGCCACACGGCACACAUAGUCGUUUAUUCAUUCCAUUAAGUCCUUGUUGUGCAGAAGCAAAAUCUAAUUCUAUUUGGAGCAAAUUUAUCUUAAUUUUUGAAGCAAACUUCAAUAUUUUUUUGAAGCAGUCUGAUGUUACAUUCGGGACAAUUCUAUAGCUGCUUGAAGCAGAUAUAUAUUUUUACUGAUCAAAAUAAUUUGUCGUCGAAGCAAUGUAAUUAACACAAAAAAUAUUUCUGCAUAGGAAGCACAAAUAAGUUGCACCAAGCUGUUGGAAACAAAAGUUUUUUAUUUUAGCAAUGCAUUCCUAUUUCAUCGAAGCACGUGUAAUCGUGAAAGCGAAACCAUCAGAAAUGUGGUAACAAUUUAUGUUUCAUUCGAAGCAAUUCGCUACUCGGCUGAACAAUUUUUAAUGUUUUGGAAACAAUAUAUCAUUAUAAGGCAAAAAAUUAUGUCAAAUUGAAGCAAAUUCUAUUAUGUGUCGGAACAUUAUAUUGCAUCGUUGAAAACAAGUCUUUAAUUUUAAAAAAUCAGAUUGAAGCAAUUUUCAAUCAAGAUGGAAGCAAAGUUUGUCAUGCUAGAUACAAACUAUUAGAUUUCAAACCACCUAUCUAGUUUUCCUUGUCCACUAACAAAAAGAAGAAGAAAAAAGAGCAUGUAACACCAAUUCCACGUACUUCACGGAAGGAGUUAAGAAGCAGUUAAAAAGGAAGCAAAACUCAAUUAGUGGACCAUGCAUGUACACCUACCUACCUAGGCCCACAUUUCCUCAAGCCAUUCUAUUCAUGCAUCGCAUGCAUGAGAAAUCAUUAAUCCGACGGCAGCCAGCUAGGCUGAUGGUUGCAAGUAUCCAGACAUCUGAUGCCUAGUGAUGCCCAAUAAAAAAUAUGAUGUGUUAGUUAAUUAAUAAGAAGAAAGAGAAUUUGAAUAACAUAGCUAGUUACGAAUAUUAUAAGCAAUAUAACACAUAUCAAGACAAGAUAAGUCUAUAAACUAAUAAUGGAAACGCUCAAUAUUAUCAUUUCUAUAUUACUAUUCAUUGUGAAGGUAACUUAGACUAGUAACAUAUGCAUGUUAUUAUUUUAUGUUACUUUUCAUUAUGGAUAGUCCAAUGAGUUCGAUCACCGGCGCUUCCAUUUUCUCGGUGCUAGUUUUUUUUUCUCACGUGGCUCAACAGCCCAUAAGAAAAGGUCCAAUGAAGGACAAAUCUGGUCCAACAAAUAGGUGUUCAAAACCAAUAAAAUCAUCUAAACAAAACAAAAUCAAGAGUAUUACCUUGCUUUAUUAAUAGAUAUAAAUUAUGGAGCAAAUUAAUGAUGGCAUUGUAACGUUACGUGGAACUAGCAUAAUGGUCCGCGCAACUGGGUGCUAGUGAAAAUUCGAGUAAAAGUAAGAUACAUUUUUAUAAGGCCCGUGCUUCUGUGUUUAACAUACAUCCUAUUGUAUUCAAACUCGGUAGAGUGUGAAAACAUAGUAACAUAUGCUUGACAUUUGACAUCUGUCGAUGUUAAAAUCGACGGAUCUCGGGUAGGGGGUCCCGAGCUGUGAAUCUAAUAUCAAUGGUAACAAGGAGAGCAGGGACACGAUGUUUAUCCAGGUUCAGACCCUCUCGAAAAGGUAAAACCCUACAUCAUGAUUUAACUAGAUUUUGAUGAUAGGUAUCAAGUACAAGUUGAUAAUCUACCUCGAGAUCAUUGUGUAAGCUCUAAACCCAAAGAUGAAUACGUUGGUCCUCUACAGACUAAACCCCAGGGUUUAUAUAGAUACCCAGGGGGAGCUAGGUUACAUGAUUAAGUCGGUAAUAGGCAAGUUGAAUAUGGAGGCAUCCUUAGAGUACACACCAAGUCUUUGAAGGUUUUUUUUCUUGACACGGGCAAGUCUCGACGUUCCUGUUGGUCUCCCGAACAUUGCUUGAUGGACCCCCAGUUCGGUCCGUAAGAACUAAACACCUCGAGUUGGCACCCCUAGUCCAGGACACCCUUAACAUCUUACCACUUGAAUCAACUUCUAGAUGUGUUUAUGGUUUACAUAGCCAUUUGUAUGUGAUUAUGCACUGAAUAGGACAAACAAUCAUAUGGGUUGUUCCAUAAUCAUCAUAUAACCCAACGAUGGAAUGGUAAAAUAGCUCGUAUAUUUAUAUCGCUUUCUCUUUAAUGUACCAUUACUAAGAAUCUGAGUGUGCUUGUCUGCUCGAGCUCAUAUGAGCUUGGUAUGAGCAGUAAAAUCCGAAAAAGAAAUUUAAAAAUCUGAUUUCUUUUUGUGAUAAUUUUUGAUAAUUGUUUUGAAUGAUUGCAAAGUUUCAUCAUAGGAUGACAUUUAUGGAAGUUGUGGCAAAAAAAAUCAAUUUGUUUUUUAUGUCUCCCACGUUCCACGAAUGUCAUUCGAUGACGAAAUUUUACAAGCACUUAAAACAUUCAUCAAUGUUUGAUCGAAAAAUAUAUUUUUAAAAUAUGUUUUGAUUUUUUUGGAUUUUAUUAUUCACCGAGCUCAUCAGAUAAUUGACGUCCUACUAUGUAGUACUUUUUCCGUCUAAAUUAUUUAUCUUAGAUUUAUCUAGAUACAGAUGUAUUUAACACUAAAACAUAUCUAAAUAAAUUUAAGACAAGUAAUUUGAGUCGGAGGGAGCGACAUUUUAUUCUUUCUAACAGAGAUAUUCGGACUGUCAUACAACAAAGUACUAUUUUACCAUUCCAUCGUAUUUGUCGCGGCCUGAUUGUAUGUUUGUUGUAUCCAAGCAAAUGAAUCUGAUUCAUGGAGUACUAGAACAUGUGAUCCUCUGUAUGUUUGUUCGAAUAUCUUUGUCGCAGCCUGAUUUUAUAUUCGGACUGUCAUACAACAAAUGAGUCAUACAACAAAUGAAUCUGAUUCCAUCGUAUUUGUCGCGGCCUGAUUAUAUGACAGUCCGAAUAUCUCAUUUGUCGCGGCCUGAUUGUAUGUUUGUUGUCUCCAAGCAAAUGAAUAUGAUUCAUGGAGUACUAGAAGAUGUGAUCCUCUGUUUGUCAUGUUGUAUAGUUUUGCAGGGAAUAUCUUUCGAGUGAUCAUUGUAUUUUAGCUUACUUAGUCAGGGUAGACUUGUAAAUGUUACUGCCUUAAAUGUCCAAAGUUAAUGCAUAUUGUUGUACGUCUGGUCUGGAUUUUCAACACGGGAAUCUGAAAGUUUUCUCAAUGGUCGAACUGGUGAAAGAAUGCAGUGGUCGGUUUCCAUGCCCCUGCCUUCUACCAGAGGCUGGUUGAUACGCAUCGCGGAAGACCGGGCCUGCGCGCGUUCUCACAACGGUGGAGGAGGCUGAAGCGCUAGCGAUUGGCCAGGUACCAAUCGGAGGAGCUAGUUAAUACAGUACCUCGUACUCUGUUCUCCACCCUGCAUGCUCCUUGAAAACAAACAAAAGGAAUAUCUUGGAUCAUAAACCGUUGCAGCAUUGGGUAGCUCUCCAGCUUGCAGACCGGGAGCAGAAACGCACUCACGCACACAUAUUUGCAUCUCCGGAUGCCAUCACAAUCAGACAAGAGAACCAAAGAAACACAAGCAAUCAAAAGAGACAAGAAACAUGAUCGAGCAGACUCUCUGCUCAUCAAAGAUUCAUUUGCUUGGAUACAACAAACAUACAAUCAGGCCGCGACAACACGGAGCAAGAGGAGAAAAAGAGACGCACCUCCAUGAAUCUGUACGAACAACACAAGGGGGCUCGAUCACAGCAUCAAAACCCUCCUCCCUACCUGAGCGAACAACAACGGACACGAACCAAGAAGUGAUGAUUGAGGGAACUCCAUGGGAGACAGACGGCCUCUCCUCCUCCUCCUACGGCACGAGGAAGAAGAACGUCAUCUCGCCUCUGGGAACAAUGCUUCACCACCGAAGAUACUUAUACCGCGAAUAUCUCCAUCCACGUCCCUUCGAGGGGCUCCAAUUUGACCCGCUCUGAAACUCAUCAUCUGGCCGGGUUUCUGAACUUUGAACGACAGUAUCGAUCUCCUGCAGUGACAGGGAUCCUGUGCACUGAACCUGGACGCCUUCAUGUAGCUUUUUUCCUCUGUUGCAGCACUGUGGUGGCACAGGGCGUGCUGCCCCAUCGGUGUCCCUGCUUUUCUUAUUCUCCCUUUAUACCGCCUGACCAUAACAGUCACGCGUAAUGGGACAGGUAGCUAGCUGGCCCAUUGGAUUAGACGGAUUUUGUAAUGGAAAAUGCCGGAUUAGGUCUAUGUGCUCUGCCAUUAGGAUUACCAAAUGUGUCCUAGCAGCAUCAUUGUCUGCGUGAUAGCUGGCCUUUCAUUAAAAUUGAAAUAACACUGAUGAUGAACGUGCUGCGUGAAAGACUAGUUUGUUUAUGUGUGAUGGUGAUCUCACGCUCAGUUCAUAAUCAGUCAUACGAGACCAACUCAGCACUCUCCGGUCCUGUUCCAUCACAACAUGGAUUAACCAGCCACGGCUGCGAAAAGUAGAGUGGAUUAGUAGGCCAUCAAGUUAGUGAACCGACUGUGCUUUUAAACUGUACAUAAACACCGAUUUUUAUAUCCUCUUUUUAUGUAAGUAGAGGUGGCACCCGUGUCAUCCGGCUGCACCGAUCGAAUGCAAGCCAUAAACAGCGUGAAAUCUUCAGCAUGUAUCAGGACGCGGAAAACAUUUUGUCUUCGUCUACCUAAGUUCCCGAUCACUUUAUGGUUCUUCGCCAAAGUUUGCUCACUUUAUCAAAGAUACUGCACUCACAGCACUACAGCAACUAACACGUCCACUCAUGACCUGCACCGCAUUAUUAGCAGAGAUUGCCCAGGAUCCCUGCUCGUGUGCCUGGCCCCAAGCCUGUCCUGCAAGUGGCCCGAGCUUUGGACCAGUUGCAUGGUGAGAUGACGGUGAUUAUGGCGUGAUCACUGUAACUCCCUUCGCAUACGCUGACAGAAAUGUUCGUGGAGAGAAACCGAGCGACGACGACGACGACGACACUGAUCUCUAGCUAGCUGCUGGAGAUAAGGAAUUUGUAGGUUGGGCACGCAUCUUUACUCCAUGAGCCAGUUUUUCUAGAGCUGCAAAUCUAGCUGAGUAGUGCCGCCCAAAAAAAGGACACGUCACAUGAGAUUCCCUUCACUCUAGCUUCUAACCUAGGCUGCAUCACGGCUAGGUGCAUUCCCAGGUUCAUCUAUCCGGCUCCAAGACCUUGCAUGCAUUUGCACACCACAGUCCACAUGACACAAACAAGCUUGCUAGCUACUACUCUGUGUAGAUCUUUAGUCUUUCGCCUAGACAUAUAAAUAGCAGCCGGCUAUGUGCUCAUCAGCAGGGUAGAUUAGACAAGUGAGGUGUGGUCCACGGGAGAUGAGCAGAGUCCUAGCAAGUUUGGUUGGUUGUCAACUGGAGUUCUCCUCAAAUCACUUCAGUAGCUAGCUUAACCAUGUCUCGGUGCAUUGACACUUUUGUAAGUGCGCGCAGUGAGCUCGACAGCUGUGCAUAGUGAAGUGUUUGGGGGAACUCUGGGUGGCGACCAGCAAUAUCAAUACAGGUUUGAGAGUGUUUGUGUUUCAAUUAUAGUGCUAGAUCCAUGUAUGAAAUCCAUAUACAUGAUGAUGGGUACGUGGGAAUUAAUCGAGUUUGGCCACGUCGGGAGCUCCCUUCAAGCACUUCAGGAAGCAUCUCUUUCAGGGCAUUUCUGAAGUGUUUGGGGGAACUCUUGUUGUCGCCAAGCAUUUCGUAAACAUAUGGAGCAUAUACCAUAAGAGAGAUGUACCAAUAGCAAACCAAGUUUGGUAUUACCGAGAGUUCCCUUCAAGCACUUUACGGAGUACCUCUCCAAGGUAUUAUGUGAAGUGUUUGGGGGAACUUUCGGUGUGGCCAAGCAUUUAGCAGAUAUUGCAGGUUAUAUACCACGAAAGAUGGCAAGACAUGUUUAGUAUUACUCGGAGUUCCUUUGAAGCACUCCACGCAGACUCCACGAAGCAUCUUUUUGAGGGCUUAUGUGUAGUGUUUGAGGGAACUCUAGGUGUCACCAGACACUUGCUAGUUACUAGCCACAUGCCAUAAGAAAGAUGCACUAAUAACAAACCACAUUUGGUAUAACCGGGAGGUUACUUCGAGCACCUUAUGAAGCACUCUUUUGAGGUAUUAUGUGAAGGUUGGGGGGGGGGGGGGGGUUCUUCGUUAAACCAACCAUAUAGCCGACAUUACAUGUCAUCAACAAAAAGAGAAGCACCAAUGGCGGAGCCAAUUUGGUAUUACUAGGAAUUCCCUUCAAGCACUUUACAAACAACCAUAACUUCUACUUUUACAUGCAUUUAUUUUCCUGCAAUUAUUUAUUUUGAAAAGAAAAAAAAUACUUCCAACCUUAGAGAUAAACCCAUAACAUGUUGCAACUAGCAAAACUAGUGAGAUUGGGAAUCUCACUACAUUUGUUGGGGACAAGAGUGAAGUUCCUUGUUUGUGGUGCAGUAUUUUUGUCAGAGUUAGGAGUGUUGCCUCUAUGGGUUGAUCCUUGUUUUUUGAACCGAGGGGAAGACUUGCCACUUGCUUCAAGCCCUUGCACUUGGGAUCCCAACAAUUGUUAUCAAGAUUGACUCCUUGGAGCAGCAAACAAAUUUUGUGGCAUCUUUGCCAGGUGGUAACAUUAAGUCUCACAGGCUCCGCAAUACUAUUACUUCAUGUUCCUCGUUAUUUACGUUAUGUAGACAUUUUUAUGUAUUCUGGUUUUUUUGGCAUUAUUUACACAAAAAAUAUAUUUUUACUUCAACAUGUAGUUAAUUUUCUUUUACUUAGCAGCAAUGGAAAGCCUAUCCAAAAAUGCGGUGCCACUUGAGCUAGAAAUUCUUGUCUUUCGGCAAAGUGGAGGUGAAACAUUAAAAGACUCUUUGUAUAUGAUCAAAAAUUUGCAUUAUAGGUCUGAACAAAAAUGCUCAACAAGUGCUCUGCCCAGGGAAGUUUUAUAUUGUAAUGUUUGCCUGUUUUAAAUAUGUACUGGUUACUAUAACAUGAGUUCUGACAUGGUUUCCUUUUGCUUAGUAUAGCUGCAGCUAUUUGGCGUCCGAUUUAUCUUAAGCUGUUGUAAGGAUUGAAAACUUGGCAAUAAAUAUAGCUGUGUCCAUCAUCUAAUGCACAUGCAAGGGUGUUUCUCCUUUCACAAAAAGAAGAAGGAAAAUAGUAACGCUUGCAAAGUAUUUUGGCACAUAGAUCAUUGAAAUGAUCUCACCUAUUUAUAGGAGUAAAUAGUUUGGCAUAAAAACAUGUUCAUAAUAUUAGCUAUUAUUUUUUCAUUACUAGUACAUAUCUGUAAAAACCCAAUGCUCAUAAGUGCAUGUUUGAGAUUUUUGUAUAAAUGGUGUUUUUAUUCACUCAUAACUUAACAUUUAGGAUGGGAAUGGGCUGGAUCGGCCCGCGAGGUCGUUUACCCCACCCAAAAAUUCGUGGCCAAUGGGUCAUGUGGCUCGGCCUCAAAUGAGAUUUGGGUCAACAGAGCUGACACCGGGUGACCCUCUGGGUCAGCCUGGUCGACCCACCAUAGAGUAUUAUAUCUCACAAUAGUUGCAAUCUUUGUUAUGUCGGCGUUGUCGUAUGACCCGAUUUUACGAGGCAGUGUGUCAUAUAAUUUCUGACAAAUGCUCAUGUAUAUGAAAAAAAUAGUCUUGAUAUGUUUCAGCAAGAUGUGCAUUUACAAAAUCACAAGCAAAUGACUUGAUUUUUUAAGUUAACCAUGUAUUAGAAAUCUUAUUAAUUCUUACACUAGUCAAAUUCCAGUAAACCGUGACCAAUUUUAAUAUCUCAUUCGUCCAUAAAGAAAUGUAAAGUAAGAAUUUAGGUAGACCCGAAACACCCAUGGGGCAAACAAAGACACUGACUAUUAUUUAUAUGGGUUGACCCGUGACCUCACAAAUUGGCCCUGGGGCCAUAGGGGCCGGGUCCAAGGCCAGGUCCGGCGGGCCCAUUUCCAUCCUGAUGUAACAUCAAGGGUCGGCAUGUGCAUGAUUAUGAUGACAUCAACGUGCAGACAGAGAGGACCAAAAUCAGGAAGACUAAUUAAGACUAAAAUCAUGAUGACUCGGUAGAGAAAAAAUAAACAAAACCCCAAAGCUAAAUCGAUGAUGGGCAAGUUAUAGACCAUGCUAGGGUUUUUGGCUCCCGUUGGCAGCGGGGCAAUUUGCCACGUCUCAUGUGGCCUUAUGGCCAUGGAUGAGCGGUGGAUCCCGGCCCUUGCUGAUGGAAGGGCUCCGUUUUUAAGUGCUUCUUCAAGUUUUGUUAGUGUUUGUCUUCUGUUCAGGAAGACAAGACGACGACGGCUCCCUAAAGUUGGAAUAAAGUUCUUCCCGCCUAGCCUCCGUCCUGGUGACGCGCCUAACAUCGUCGGAGGACGUGUGGAGGUGUGUCUGCGGCGGAUCUCACGGAUUCGAUCAAUGGUUAUCUUUGGUGGAUCUGCUUGGAUCCGAUCUUUGUUUGUCUUUGUUGAUGUGUCUUCUGGUUGGAUAUUUUUAAUCUAACCUUUUCUUCAUCGACGGUGGUUGUUGUUUUGCUCCGGUGUGGGAGGGGCAAUGUGAGAGUUUCCCGGAAAAUAAAAAGAGACCAUGCUAGGGCCUAUAAUGUCACUUAUUAAUACCUGUGAAAAUGUGAAAGUAGCAGUAACAUUUUUUGGAAGCGCAAUUCAACGUCCAUGUAUACGUUCUUAAUGCUAGCUAGGUCGAUUCAUCAUUCAUUGCCAAUUGCCCUAGGCUAUGCGUCUCAACUAUUACAACGCUCGGAGUCCUUCAAACUCAAAUCAGACCAAAUCGGCGGCUCGUAUAUGUCUGAUUCGAUCUAAUGGCACGUAGCAUCCGUCAUGUCUUGCAGAAGUAGCCGAAGGGCACACUGGGAGUCGAGAACUCCGCCGAGAGAAUCUUUGCCGCGACGACGGCGUUCGCGGCGUUGGUGUAGUGCACUCCGUCCCAGCUGACGAACUUGGAGCCGUCCUCGCACACCCGGUAGCCGGCGCCGAGGCAGCUCACGCUGGCGUUGUAGUUGUAAGGCGGCCCGCCGUAGCCGCAGCACGCCAUGAGAGGCUCCUCAAACCCUGAGACACCAGCGGCCCCGUAAAAAAGACAGAGGAUGCAUGCAGUUGUCUCCAGGUUGAUGGAUAGGAUUGCUGAACGAUCGACUCACCGUAGCCGCUGUGGUUGGCGAUGAGGUCGUGCUUGAUGGACAGGACGUCGGUGUACACGAUGGUGGCGCCUUUGAGCUGCGACGUGAGCUUGUUGCAGACGGUGCAGAGCUGGUCGUUGAACUCGUAGGAAGCGUUGUUGAGCGUUCUGAGGCAGCCGCCGUCGUCUAGAUCGCCCCCUUCGUCGUCGCCCCUGGGCUCGGCGAGCUUCUCGGGCAGGCAGCCCAGCGGGCCGGUGCCAUGGACCCAGAAGUUCUUGGCUCCAUUGUAGUACAGAGUCUGCAUGCCAUGAACAGACAUGAUUAGAUGAAGUGUGGUUUUAGGCUUUACUAGGGUUUUAGCACCAGAGGCAAAAGAAGAAAUUGAGCAAUGGGAUUUGGGAAUUAAUCAGUUUGCAGUACCACAAUGGCAUCCUGUAUCUCAGAUAGUAUGGCCGGGAUCCUCUGAUGGAUAACGUCGUCGUAGGCCAGCCUGCUAGAAAAGGCUCCGGAGAGGUCGUUCUGCCCUAUGUCGACGAGGUACAGCGCGUUCCGGAAACCGUCGGCGUCCACCGGAGCCGUCUCGCCUGCAAAGCAACUAGCACUAGAUCUGUCAGGCAGGCACACACACGACCCUUGAAUUUUGUGCUGACUAGUGCUGAAGUAGUAUGAAUCAAGGAGACUCGAGGACCAUGGCUGAUGAGCUGGAGGGAGCGCUGCUUGAAGUGGAUGAACUGCUGCACCUGGACGUGGAGAGCAAAGGGCCUGUCACGCGGCAUGGUGCCCGAGCCGGCGAUGGCGAAGUUGGCGCCGUUGCUGAAGUCGGAGCCCAGCGCCUCCAUGUACGGGCUCAGGUAGCUCAUGUUCAGGCUCUCACCUGCACGUUCGCCCACGCACGCAGUAAUUAAUUAUCAAGGCACUGCCAAACAGCGUGCUACGAGAAGACCAGAUUUUGCAUGGUGGUGAAUCAGUAAGAAGAAAACCACUGUUACCGUUGCAGACUACCUUGACAAAACUGGUAAGAAAACCUUAUCAUUUUGGUGUGACUCAGUGGCCGAGGCAGGAUCGCUGAAAUCCUAAUGUUGAGGGAGGGGAGGGGGCCUAUAGGAUUUUUUUUCUUUAAACUACUGUUCACCUGGUUUCAACAACAAAAUUCAACUUCUUGAGGAGGGCCUUGCCCUAGCUGGCCACCAACCCCCCACCCUCUUGUCCCCGUCUCCACCCAUGGCGGCUCAACAACACACAUACUCAGUCGGGAGCGACUGAGCGGCAGGAAGACAUGAACCCUAGCCGCUAGCACUAUUGAAUUCAUGCUUGAGCCAGUUGCUUUAAAAAUCCGAACUGAUGAAGAAAAGCGGGUAAUAUAUUUCAACACUGCGCCUCACGUCUAGGCUUAUUUAGUUCUUAGACAUGGCAUUGAUGUAGCCCGCAGAAUUUUUUAUUUUAAUACAAUGUUGGUAGGGUCUUAUUAAACUAAAGACCUCUUGUCUCUAAUAUCAUAUUGAAUUUAUGCAUCAGUCAGUUACUCUAAAAGUCUAAACUGAUAAAGAACGACAGACAAUAUAUUUCAACAAACACGACAACAAAUUGGGCAAUCUAAAGGCAGAUGACGGCGGCGACAUGCCAGCUAUCGUUGUACGCAGGUUCAACGGCAAGGCGCCGAUGAAGUUUUGGGGGGCAGUUAAGCUAACAGCUACAAUGCUACAUGUGUCCACUUAACCUGAAGUUCUCUAUGACCUACGUCAUUGUUGGGCAUUGUUUACCUCUAAGGUGUUGCUUUCGGAGAAUCAUUCUGCUCGUCCAUGUGUUCUUGAGGACAACGGUGUUAUUGUUGCCUGUUUGUUGCAUUGGUUCGUGUCAGUCAUCUUUGUGUUUAUUCACCUUUUGCAAAUCUCUUUGCUGGUGUGUAUUUUUAAUGUUUUGACUAGGUCUUGAUAUCGUGUUGUUCAAAGACCAGAUGUUUUUGUAUGUCUAGAAGUAUUUUAGCAAAACCAUUUUCGAGUGUGUCUAAGAUACAUGCAUCUAGAUGUGACAUAAUUAUUGCACAUCUAAAUGAUUAAAUCAAGUAUAAAAAAAAUAUCUACACGAAUCUUCACGUAAGAUCAAUGAUAUAGGACUUAGAUGUGCAAUAAUUAUCUCAUAUCUAAAAGUGUUUAAGCAAAACCGUUUCCAUAUCUACUCCCUCUGUUCGGAAAUAAAUGUCAUGGUUUUAAUUCAAAUUAGGGACCUGUUCGGAUCCUCUUCGCUCCACAACCGCAGCUUCCGGAGCAGAGGGAGCGACGGCACAAUCGCACGGAAUUGCUCAAACUCGUGUGGAGCGGAGUUGUGAUACUUGAAGAGGUUCCGGACGGGCACUAAGUCUAUCUCUCAAGGUGCUACAGUGCCUAAACGAAAACAAACAAAAAAGACGCGCGAUGACCAAUGCUUUUUAUACCAUCACCUACACAAAACGAGUGCGUGCCCCCAAAGAACUGAUCGAGCAGGAAAUAGACUGGCGUGCCGUCCCGAAGGUGCACAGUUGCUUUCAUGCUACCGCUCCAACACUCUGAUGCGAUCGCGGGGCAGCACUUGACCACCAACCAAUUCACGCGAGUGCUUCUUACAGCAUGCUCAACUUUUUAAGAUAGAAGCACUAGCACCACCACCAACACCAUGCCAUAUGAUAUGAGCCAGGAUUUGGGUGGGAAUCUGUCGUCGCGCACUUGUCGAUUCCUUGGGAUGGGCCGUGCAUGCAUGCGCGCUUGUCAUAUCAGAGAUGCAUAAUUUCAGCCGCCGCCACUUAAUAGUCUGUAGUUGCUACUGCGCACUAAUCAUGCUUUCUAGCCACCAAUUUAUCCGGAAACAAAUCGAGAAGAUCAACUGACAAGAACACGGAAGGUAGAGCAUGACAGCACUACGGCUGCAUGUUGUGGUUGUGGAGAAGAGGAAACCGCGAAAAGGACGGCAUCUUACUGUCGCCCAACUGAGCAAUGACAAAGUCUCAUGAAAGUAUACGCAUAGUAAGAUUUAGGAUUACUAUGGCCAGGCGCAUCUGAGUAAUUUUUUUUUACUAUGAUUUUUGUGCGUCAGGUGGAGCAGUUACUACUUGAGCAGAGUGCACAGCCAACGUGGAGGCGGCGGCAACAAUGGAUUUGCGUGUGCAACUUACAGAGGUAGUCGAUGACGAGGCGGCCGUCGCAGAGCCGUCCGGUGGAGCGGCGGAAAUGGGCGCGGCCCUCCGGGAGCGGGAAAUAGCUCCCGAGCGCCGCCGCGGCGCCGCCCGUGUCCGUGUUGGAGUCGCCGAACGCGAACACCACCGGCCGCCGCGUGCACCCCUCCUCCGCGGCGGCGGCCGGCAGCAGCACCGGCGGCGAGGCGAGCAAUACAGCGACCGCGAGCACGGCCGAAGCCGCGGCGACAAGGGCUCUAGCGCUCGCUGCCAUGCCUCCGCAGACGUCGCCAGCUCCAGCUGCUUGCGACGUGCAGUCGAUGUCUAUAUACGUAUGCCUAUACGAAAGCGUGAGCACGAGAACGGUCCUGGGACGCGCACGUAUUUAUAGCCGUGGUGUUGGUGGGUGCAGGCGUGCAGCACUAGAACCAAAGCCAGAAGACUGCAAAUUGCAGAGCCGGGCACGGGGUGCAACUCUUUGCGCAACAUGCAUGCAUGCAUGCACAAGCACAAUGGAGUGCUCUUGUGGGCGCAUCAACUGAGCAGCCGUUGAUAGGAGCGCCCGUGGCCCAGACUCCUCAACUGCAACUUUUAUUUUUCUGGACAGUACGCCUCAGCGUCAGCUGCAACUUUGACGUACAUAUGGGAUAGAGCACGAUACCAUCGCCUGUAGAGAUGUCCGGCCAGAUAUCAUCGCCCUGUAAGGACAUAUAUCUAACCGAAAAUGUCCUAUAACUUCUCUCAAAUGCUCUUCCAGAUCUUAACUCUUUAAAAAUGAGAAGUUGAGGAAAUGAUCGGACCUAAUCAAAUUAUUAUGGGUGUGUUUGGUAGCAUGUAUGAACUAUGGAUCUAGCCUAAUUGUUUUCCUCUCGUACAUGCUGAGUAUAGAUAUGCUGAAUCCAUGCAUUUGCUGUUGUUUUGCAACGGUGUAUGCGUUGAAACAUGUUGAACUGAGACUUUGUAUGGCAGCUUGCAUGCGCUGAGACAUGCUGAACUGAUACUUUAUUUGGCAGCCUGCAUGUGUUUAGAUAUGCUGAACAAUUUUGAAUUCCGAUAAUUUGUGUUAAUGGUGAACAAAAUUGAAUAAACUUGAACAUAAAUUUAACAUAUUUUAAUUUUUUGAACUUUUAUUGAAAAUCUAAAAAAAAUUGAUAUUCUAAACAUUCUUUGAAAAUUUAAAUGAAAUUUGAAACUCUGAACAUUUUUUGAAAUUUAAACAUAUUUUCAAAUUUUAAACUAAUUUUGAAAUUGUGAAUAUUUUUAAAAAUGUAAAAAAAUCCUUUUUUCUAAAAAGUUUAAUCAUUUUUUUCUUUUAUUUCUAACUAAAAUUUAAUUUUCUUGAAAAUUAUAAAAAUUUGGAAAUUCUGAAUAUUUAUUGGAAAUCAAAAUAAAGUUUGGAAUUUUGUAUAUUUUUGAAUUUUUAAAAAAAUUUGAAAUUCUGUUCUUUUUUGAAAUUUUAAAUAUAUUUUUUGAAAAAAUAAGUACAUUUUAAAUUCUAAACAUUUUAAAACAUUUAAACAAACUUUGAAAAUCUAAAUAUUUUUUGAAAAUUUAACCCAAAAAUGAAAUUAUGAAAAUUUAAAUAUAUUUGGACGUUGUCUUGUGGAUGGAGACGAGGGUUGAAGUGAGCAUGGGUGUCUCCAUGCACCCUUUAUGGGGUGCAUGAGAUGGACAUGGUUGAGGGCCUUUUUUGCAUUAGAUGGGCGUAGCCUAGGUGAAUCCAUGCACCCUAUCAAACAAACAAAAAUGGAUCGGAUGGCAACUAUUACCCUCAUGUAUCCUCCAUACACCCUACCAAACACACCCUAUAUGUUUCCUGGUAUUUUUUAGCAUUCUUUCAUCGUUUGUGAGAUACCCCCUCCUCCAUUCUAAAUUAUUUUUCUUAGAUUGUUUUAAAUACAUAUAUAUAGACACGUUUUAGUGUCAGGUACAUCCAUGUCUAGACAAAUUUAAGACAAGUAAUUUAGGACGAAGGUAUUUCAUUUUAAACAAAUGCACGGUAUUCUGUCAAACAAUUACAUUGUUUAAAUGCAUCAUAUGCAACAAUUUAACUAUGAACACACAUAUGGUUCACCCAAUGGAAUAAGUCAAAUUAAAGCAUGCAUAUACUUAAUCCAAAAGCCAUCAGAUUGAUCAAGUAUAUCCAAAAAAACACCACAUAGCAUGUCUCAUGCCGUGGACCAAGUCCUACCGUGCAACACAAAUGAGUAGUCGUGGUCCUAAAGUCGUGUUGCAUGUAUAACUCUUGGAUGAUAAGCACAUACUAUCUCAUUUACAACCCAUUAAAUGUUGCAAUUUUGACUUCAUUAACACAACUAGACCAUCAGUUGCAUUGCUCUUGUAUCACACCACACCGGUGAGUAGAGCCUUGACUCUUUAGUUGUUUAUCUUGAUUAACAUAUGUUGUUGGUGCACAUAUGUGAGCCUAGUUGUUUUUGGUUUUAUGCUUGACUAAUUAAACGAUAGUUUUAUUCUGCAUUUGUUCAAUCUUAAACCGUAAUUAUUUUAAAGGGCCUAUUCAGCCCCCCCCCCCCUUAGGCCACAUCCACAUCCUUUCACAAUCGAUGAUCGAAGAAAUUCGGAGGCAGCUAUCAGAUAAGGCAAGUCAAACCUACAAAAUCUUUUUUACUUUUAAUAGUGAUUACGACUCACACCACCACACACACUCACACAACGUUCACACCUUGGACGACUCACUAUCAACGAAGACAUCACCUCUCACUAAAAAAAUAUUUCACAUUAAUAAGAGGCCAAAAUGUAAAAUAUGAGAUUUGGUCACUAGUGUCUCGAUACCACCUAUCUAUUAACCAUCCAAUCACUAGUUGGCUUCAUGUAACGGAAGAAAAUGAAGCAACACAGACUAGGAACUCAUUGUAUAUAGGUGUGUCGUAUAAAAAAUGGUAUCCUUUUAUACAAGCAAGAAGAUAGUGUAAAAAAUUAUAAUGAUGUGGGUUACCAUCUUCACAAAGUGAAAAGAAGGAAAUAAUAUAGAGGCAUAAAAUAAGAACAUAAAUAGUAAUUGACGAACAUUUUCUAAGAGGGGGUAGCAAACGAGCGUAUUUUCCUCGCAACUUUAGUUACGGCGCGAUAUUAUGUUGGAAAUAUGCCUUAGAGGAAACAAUAAAUUGGUUAUUAUCAUAUUUUCCUAUUCAUGAUAAACAUUUAUUAUCCAUGCUAGAAUUGUAUUGACCGAAAACUUAGAUACAUGUGUGGAUAAAUAACAAUACAGUGUCCCUAGUGAGCCUCUACUAGACUAGCUCGUUCAUCAAACAUGGUUAAGGUUUCCUAACCAUAGACAUGAGUUUUCAUUUGAUAACGGGACCACGUCAUUAGGAGAAUGAUGUGACGAACAAGGCCCAACUGUACGCAUAACAUUUUAUCGUAUCACUUAGUUUCUUGCUACUGCUUCCUUGGUGUCAAGUAUAUGUUCGCGAGACCAUGAGAUCAUGCAACUCCCUGACACCGGAGGAAUGCCUUGUGCGCUAUCAAACAUCACUUCCUAGCUGGGUGAUCAUAUAGGUGCUCUAUGAGUAUCUUCGAGGGUGUCUGUUGUGUUGGUGUGGAUCGAGACUGAGAUUUAUCACUCCAUACGACAGAGAGGUAUCUAUGUGCCCUCUCGGUAAUACAUCAUCACAAGAAGCUUGCAAGCAAUUUGACUAAGGGGUAUGUCACAAGAUCUUGUAUUACGGAACAAGUAACGAGACUUGUCGGUACCGAGAUUGAACUAGGUAUGGAGAUACCGAUUAUUGAAUUCCGGGAAAGUAACAUACCGAUGGACAAAGGGAACUAAAUACGGGAUUGACUGGAUCCUUGACAUCGUGGUUUGACCAAUAAUGGUAUUCGUGGAAUAUAUAGGUACUAAUAUGGGCACCCAGGUUCCGCUAUUGGUUAUUGACCAGAGAGGUGUCUCGAUCAUGUCUACAAGAUUCUCAAACCCGUAGCAUUUGCACGCUUAAUGUUUCAUGACGCUAUAGACUAGUAUUGGAAUAUUUACGUUGGUAAAAUAAUUUUAUUUGGAGUCCUGGAUGAGAUCUCCAACGUCACGAGGAGCUCCUGGAUGGCCCGGAGGUAAAGAUUUAUAUAUGGGAAGUCAUAUUUUGGCUACCGGAAAAUUUUCAAGUUUUGCCAAUAUUGUACCGGAAAGCUUCCGGAAGGUUUUAGAGGGUUCCAAAGGAGUCCGGAAGGGUCCCUACAGCCCCUAGCGUGUACAUGGGCUGUAGGUGGGCACCCUGGCCUUAUUGAGCCAGGGGCACAUGACCCACAAGACCCAUGCACCUAGAGGGAAGGGAAACUCUAAGGGGAAGGGCCCUCCACUUGGCUUGGAGGGCACUCCUCCUCCCUAGGGCCGCUGCCACCUCCUUGGAGGACAGGAAAAGGGGGGUUGCGCCCCUCCCCCUUGAUACUAUAUAUAGAUUAGGGGUGGGGAGGGCGGUCUUGCACCAAUUCCUUCUCCCUCCCUUGGGCAGCCCCUAUUCCAUCUUCCCAAGUUCUUCCUUGUUCGCGGUUCUGGAGGCGCUUGGCGAAGCCCUGCUCGCAUUGCUUCGCCACCAUCUAUAACAUGUUGUCGUGUUGGUUGAGAUCCCAUCUACUUCUCCGCCCUCACUUGCUAGAUCAAAGAGACGGAGACGUCAUUGAGCCGCACGUGUGCUGAACGCGGAGUUGCCGUCCGUUCGGCGAUGGAUCGUGAUAGGAUCAUGAAGGGUACGAUUACAUCAACCACGUAAUAUAGGCCUACGCUUAACAGUCUACGAGGGUAUGUAGACAAACUCUCCUCUCUUGUUGCUAUGCAUCUCCAUAGAUAGAUAUUGGGUGUUCGUAGGAAUUUUUUUGUUUUCCAUGCUUCGUUCCGCCGCAGUGGCAUCAUGAGCUAGGUCUAUGUGUAGAUGAUAUGCACGAGUAGAACACAAAGAAGUUGUGGGCAUUGAUGUUCAGAUUGCUUACCUCCCAUAUCUUAUUUUGAUUCGACAGUAUUGUGGGAUGAAGCGGCUCACACCAACCUUACUUGUCCUCGCACAAGAGACCGGUUCCACCGAAAAAUAUGCAAGUUGUAUUGCACAAAGGUGGCUAGCGAGUGUCUAUCUCUCCCACUCUUGUUGAAUUGGAUUUGGCAAAGGCGGUCCUUGUAGAAGGUUAAAAGGCAACUUUAUUAUCACCAUUUUGGCUUUGCAUAGGUAAGAAUGGUUUUUCUAGUUGCCCAAAGCAGCGUCUAACUUGUUUUUGCUGAGUAUGUUAUGAUGUGAUGUGGUCAAGGUGUGAUUAUAUAUAUAUGUGAUGUAUGAAAUGAUUAUGUUUUGUAAUAAUUAUCACGACUUGCAUGUCAAUGAUAACGAGAACUGGCAGGAGCCAUAGGGUUUUCUUUAAUUUAUUUUAUGUGAUUGUUUUCCUUUAUUGCUAUGCGUUAGCAAUAGUUGUAGAAGCAAUAGUUGGCGAGACAACCACGCGACAACACGAUGAUGGAGAUCAUGGUGUCAUGCCGGUGACGAUGGAGAUCAUGCUAGUGCUUUGGAGAUGGAAAUCAAAAGCACAAGAUGAUGAUGGCCAUAUCAUGUCACUUAUUUAUUCGCAUGUGAUGUUUAUCUUUUAUGCAUCUUAUUUUUUGGAUGACUGUAGCAUUAUAAGAUGGUCCCUUCACUUAAUUUAAAGAACAAAUGUGUUUUUCCUAAGUAUGCGUCGUUGUGAAAGUUCUUCAUUUUGAAGCACCACAUGAUGAUCGGGGUGAUAGACUCUUCGUUCACAUACAACGGUGCACUCCAGAUUUGCACAUGCAGAAUACUUGGGUUGAACUUGAUGAGCCUAGCAUGUACAGACAUGGCCUCAGAAGAGAGGAUACCGAAAGGUCAAACAUGAGUCAUAUAGAAGGUAUGAUCAACAUGGAGAUGAUCGCCAUUGAAACAACCUCAUCUCAGGUGAUGAUUGGACUUGGGUUGGUGAAUUUGGAUCAUGUAACACUUAGAAAACCCAAGGGAUGUUGAUUGAAGUGGAAGUUCAUUAGUAAUUUUAUUAACUAAACUUAUUAUCAUGAAAUUAGUAAAAAUGCCUUUGCAAAUUAGGUUGUAGCAAUGUCUCGUGUUGUAGCUCCCCUGUAUUUUGAUACGUUCCUAUAGAAAACUAAGUUGAAAGAUGAUGGUAGGAAUUAUGCGGACUGGAUCCGUGAUUUGAGGAUUGUUCUCAUUGCUGCACACAAGGCUUAUGUCCUUGAUGGACCGAUGAUACGUCCCAAACGUAUCUAUAAUUUCUGCUUGUUCCAUGACCUUUUGGAUGACAUUGUUAUAUGUUUUGCUACACUUUUAUAUCAUUUUACACAUAUUUGGACUAACCUACUAACUUAGUGCACCCAGUGUCAGUUUCUGUCUGCUGAUGUCUAUUUUGCAGGGGCUUUUACCCAAUUUUCUGAAGCCUGGAAAAUUCCGGGAAAAAUAUAUAAAAAAUCAGCGAAACAGAAGCUUCCGGAUCACCGAAGAUGGGCCAGAAGGGGCCAGGGGCUGCCGAGGCGACCUGCUGGCGCGGCCUAUGGCCGCGCCAGGAGGCCGCCUGGGUGGCCCCCACCUCCUCCAGUGCCCUCCUUUGGCCUAUAUUUAGAGUCCCAAGAGGAAACACUUACACAACUUCCAGAAUCGCGAAUUUCUCCAUCGUUUCGCCGCCGCAGCGCUUCCGAGAUCGGGAGCGUGAGGAGACCUCUUCCCGGCACCGUGUCGAAGGGAGGAUUGACCUCCGGGAGCUUUUCCACCGCCAUGGAUGCUUCUCGGAUGUGUCGUGAGUAGUCCUCCUUGGACCAUGGGUCCAUGACCAGUAGCCAUGUGAUGCAUUCUGUCCAGUCUUGUGCUUCAAUGGUUAGUCCUUGUGAGCUGCCCUACAUGAUCAAGGCAUCUAUGUAAUUCUCUUGCGAUUGCUAUGCUCGGUUUGUUGGGAUCCGAUGGAUUAUGAGAUUAUGUUCAGAUUGUUAUGAGUUAUAUAUUUGAUUAUCCUUUUAUAUUAUGUUCCUUAGUGAUUCAUGCAUGUUCUCCGUUGCUAUUUAUUGCUUUGGCCGAGUAAUAGAUUGUAACUCGAAGAGGGAGCGUUGUGCAUGAUUGUGGGUUCAUGCCCCUCGAUGUCUAGCUUGAGUGACAUGAAGAUGAGACUAGGGGAUGUGUUGUUGCCACCAGGGAGAAAACAACGGUGCUUGUGACCACGGUUGCAAGGAUUGUUUACCUUACACAUAGUUCAUUAAUGCAGUUGUCCGUUGCUUUGAGUUUACACUUUGGGUGGGGCUCGCAACUUAAUACCGGAGAGAUGUUCUGGAUAGAUAUAUCAAGGUGGAUGAUUAGUAAGUAGAUGUUGAUGAAUAAACGGUCUACUUGUCUUGGCGUACUGCCCAUUACUAUUGAACCUCUAACUAUUAACUAGCAUAAUUAGCAUUGCGGUGCGUUCAUAAUUCUAUCAAUUGCCCAACUAUGAUUUGUUUACCCAAGCAUAGUUGUUUAUCGUAUUUUGGGAGAGAGACAUCACUAGUGAACAUCAUAUGAAUCUGGUCCAUAUCACCAUCAUUGUUUACACCUCCAUCAUUUGCCGCUUUCAUUUACUUUUUCGUUGCAAUCACUAUCACCUUUCCCGCUUGUGUUUUGAUCCUUUGCAAACUACAAGGACGGAGAGAUUGACAACCUCUCUGUACUCAUUGAGAGCAAAGUUAUUUGUUGUGUGCGUAGGUUCACGUCUUCUGCUGACCAGGACAGGAGACACCUACUUUUUGAUCCUAGGAGUCCUACUGGUUCGAUAAACCUUAGAGUUCCCGUGUGAGGGAAAACUUGCUGUUGACUACAUCUCAACCUUCCACUUGGGGUAACCAACGGGGUGCGAGAAGUAUAUACAUCAUCUCGUCAUCAACCGCUUAGUGUGCUACCUCCUCAAACAUCGUGUGUGGAUGUUGUGAAUGUCUGGGAGACACGGUCUCAUGACUACUUGAUAGUUCCGUGUGUCGUGCUUUAAAACUUAGAAUCGAGGCUCCAAAGAUGUUUUGAACGCCCACUAGUGGAGAAAUGGCUAGCCACAACUCUUGUUCGUGGCGCGCUGAUACGUCUAAAACGUAUCGAUAAUUUAUGAAGUAUUCAUGCCAUGUUUGCCUAUGUUUACAAUAAUUUUAUAUGAUUUAUUUAGAACUAACCUGGACUCGCACUGUUUUUGUCCAAAAAAUGAAACUUCUCGAAAUCACCCGAAACUUUUUUUUAUUUUUUUCUAGAGAAAAUAAGCAAUAUUAGAGUGAAGAACCACCGGAGGGGAGCCACCUGUGGGCCACAAGACAAAAGGGCGCCCCCCAGGCCUUGCCCUGAUGGCUUGUAUGGCCCACGUGGCUCCGUUUGGCGUGAUUCCAAUGCUAAAAAAUCCUAUAUAUACUAGAAACCCCAGAAAUAAAGAUAGAACUUCCACUCCACCGUCGAAACUCUUUGUAUCAACGAAAAACCCAUGUGGAACCAUUCCAGUACCCGUCGGAGAGGGGAAAUCAUCUCCAGGGCCAUCUUCAUCAUCCUGGCGGAGGCCAUGACGAGGAGGGAGUAGUUCACCCUCGGGGCAGAGGGCAUGCACCAGUAGCUAUGUGUUCAAUCUCUCUCUCUCUCUCUCUCUCGUGUUCUUGAGAUGACACGAUCUUGAUGUAUCACGGGCCUUGUUAAUCUAUUUGGAUCAUAUGAUGUUAUUCCAUUGCUACCUUGCUGUGAUGAAUUGAAUCUUUCCCUUUAAGACCUUGUUCUGUUGGAUUGAAUAUUUUGGUUUGAGAACACUUGAUGUAUGUCUUGCAUGCAGAUACCCAUAGUGACAUUGGUGUAUUCAAAUGAUUCACUUGAUAUAUGUUGUGGCAUCAACUUGGAAAUUUUGGUGACCUUGGGGAUCUAUGCAUAGGGGUUGAUUGCACAUUCUCAUACUAUGUUCUCCGAUAGAAAUCUUGGGGUACUCCUUGAAGUUCUUUGUGUUGGAUUGAAUAUGAUAGAUCUAAAAUUAUUUGAUGCAUGUCACUUAAUUUACCCAUGAAUACUUGAGGUGACAUUUAUCUAGGUGACAUUAGUGUUGUUUGCUAUGUAUCAUGGGUCUUAUUAUAGUACAAACUCGAGGGUUGUUUCUGACACUUAUAGGAAUAGCUCAAAAGAUUGACCAGAACGAGUAACUUUGAGGUGGUUCUACUACCUACGCCAAUUUCAACGCAUUAUUAUCUGCUAGAUAGAAACUUUGGAGUGAUUCUUUGUUGUGCGUUGAGGUAUGAUCGUAUCAUUCUAUUAUGUUAGCACUGUUGAGAGAUUGCACUAGUGAAAGUAUGAACCCUAGGCCUUAUUACCAAGCAUUUAUACAACAUUUUGCUCGUUGUUUUCCACUUUCUACCUUGUUGUUUUUAUAUUUUAAGAUUACAAUAACCUAUAUAUACUAUCCAUGCUACACUUGCAUCACCAUCUCUUCGCGAACUAGUGCACCUAUACAAUUUUCCAUUGUAUUGGUUGUGUUGGGGACAAAAGAGAUUUCAUGUAUUUGAUUAUAGGGUUGUUUGAGAGAGACCACCUUCAUCCUAAGCCUUCCACAGAUUGAUAAACCUUAGGCCAUCCACUUGAGGGAAAUUUGUUGUUGUCCUACAAAAUUCUGCACUUGAAGGCCCAACAACGUAUACAAGAAUAAAGUUGCAUAGUAGACAUCAAGCUAUUUUUUGGUGUCGUUGCCAGGGAGGUGAGUGCUUGAAGGUAUAUCUUUAUAUAUUGCAAUUAAAUCAUUUAGUUUCUUGCUUUUCACUAGUUUGGUUUUAUAAAAUAAAACUACAAAAAUGGAAUUUAGGUUGCCUCAUUUGCUUCGUCCCUAUAAUGUCUUUCGUGAAAAUGAUGGUUUGGAAAAUUAUGCUCAAUUGCUAGAGGAAGAAUUUAUGAAAAUGUUCAAUGUGAAAUCCUUGAAUGAUGAACAUGAUAUCAAUAUUGUUGUUAUGAAUUCACUGAAUAUCCAUGAUGCUAAUGAUACGCAAAGCCACAAGCUUGGGGAUGCUAUGUUUGAUGAAGAUGUUAUUUUUAGUCCCCCAAGUUUGAUGAGCAAAUUUAUUAUGAUGAAACCAUGCCUACUAUAUAUGAUGAUUAUUGUGAUGACAUUUAUGCUAUAAAUAAUAAGGAUAACUAUGAAACUUAUCAUCAUGAUUUUCAUUUUUACAUGGAUUAUAUCAGUCAAGUAUCUCAUGAUAGUUAUUUUGUGGAGUUUGCUCCCAAUACUACGAAUUAUAAUAUUUUUGCUUGUGUGGGUAGUAAUAAAAAUUAUAUGAUUGUGCAUAAUGAAAAGAAUGCUUUAUGUGAUAGUUAUAUUGUUUAAUUCCUUCAUGAUGCUAUUGAAAAAUAUUAUGAGGGAGUAACAUAUGCUUGUAGGAAUUGCAAUAAUAUCAAGUUUUCGCCCUAUGUGUUCAAAGUGUUGAAGUCAUACUUGUUUUGCCUUCCUAUGCAAGUUGAUUAUUGCUACGAUAAAUUGUUUUCUUGCAAAAUCCUAUGCAUAGGGAGUGGUUUAUACUUAAAUGUUCUUGUCAUGUGAUUCAUGAUGCUCUCUUGCAUGCCUCAGUUACUACUUUUUAUACGAGCAUCAUUGCAAUCAUCAUGCCUAGCUAAAAGGCAUUAAAGAAAAGCGCUAGUUGGGAGAUAACCCAACACUUUUACUUGAUGUUAUUAUGUGUUCACAUGAUUAAGCUCAUGUGGUAAUCAUGGUUCAUAGCUUUUCUUUCAAUAAAGUGCCAAGUAAAACCUUUGGGAUAGUGUGGAUACUUGUUUGUUUGAUUCUAUGCAAAAACAGAAACUUUUAGGUCCAAUAUAUGAAUUAUGUGAUUUUACUCAAGAGUCCAAAAUUCUGAAAUUUUAAAUUUCCAUGCAAAUUAUCUGCGUUUUCCUAAUGUUUGAGAAUUCUUAGAGUCGGGGAAGUAUGGCGUCCAUUCAGAUCUUCACAGACUAUUCUGUUUUUAACAGAUUCUAUUUUGCAUGUAUAGUUUGCUUAUUUUAAUGUUUCCAUAGGUUAUAUUUUGUGAUUUAAAUUAUGGAAUGAUAGAAUACAGUAGGUAUUAUGUGAGAACAAUUAUUAAUCUUGUAUUGACAGUACCUAAGUGAAUGAUCUAUCUUUAUUACACUAACCCAUCUUGUGAAGUUCCGUUGAAUUUUGCAUGAUUGGAGUUUUCAAGUUUUGGGUGAGAUACCGAUAUGAGGUUAAUAAGGAGGAGCAAUAACCUAAGCUUGGGUGUGUCCAAGGCACCCCCAAGGUAAUAAUCCAAGGAUUAUUCAAGCGUCUAAGCUUGGUGAUGCCAUGGAAGGCAUCCCCUCUUUCGUCUCCAACAUUAUCUGUAUAUCUUACUUGCAGCUAUAUUUUAUUCAUCACAUAAUAUGUGUUUUUCUUGGAGUGUCAUUUUAUUUUUAUUUUUCUCUGUUAUAUGUUAUUUAUAAUCUAGUUUUUCAACAAAAAAUUCCAAGAAUGCCCUUUAGAAUGCUUGAAUUGCAUGUGUGAUGUGUGUUGUACAAAAACACAAACUUUUGUUGUAGUAUUUGAAUUAUCAGAUUUUAGUGGAACAUAGAAAGUUUCUGAAACUUCUACACAAUACUUUCAUAUAAAUUUUGUAUGACGUCCUAAAUUUUCAUAAUUUUUGUAGUUACAUAAGUACAUGGUUUUAAUAGAUUCCUAGAGGUUGUUCUGUUUGGACAGAUUGGUGUCCUAGUUUUGUUAUCUACUUAUCCUAGAGUUUCCAUGGAUUAUAUUGGUAGAUAUAAAUUGUGGAAAUGAUAGUAUAUAGUACCUAAUGUUUGAAAAUUAUUAUUCAACUUGUCCUCUAAGUACAUGAAGUGUUGAUUUACUUUUAUGUGUACUAACCUAUAUCACGAGUUCCUUUCAAGUUUUGUGUGAAUAAAGUUUUUGAGACUUAGGUGAAACCGGGAUAUGAGAUGACUGAAUGGGAUAUAAAAUAUCAAUCUUGGGGAUGUCCAAGGCCCCACAAUUAAAUAUUACAAGAAGUCUCAAGCAUCCUAGCUUGGGGAUGCUACGCAUCCCACCUCUCUUCAUCAAAAACUAUCGGUUAGCCUAUGUUGAUCCUAAGCUCUUGUUUGUACACAUGAUAUGUGCUAUUCUUGGAGUGCAUUUAUAUUUAGUUUUAUGUUUGAAUAAAUACUAAGAUAUGAAAAUAUUUAUUGAGAUAGAGUCCUCAUAUAGCUACUUAAUUGUUUGACUACUCAUUGAUCUUCACUUAUAUCUUUUGAGACUAGUUUGAUUGUUUGCUCUUGUGCUUCACUUGUAUCCUAAGAGUAAAUUAUGAAUGAAUGAAAUAUCAUAAAUAUGAAAUUAUAAAUGUGCUUUAUGUCUUGUAUUAGUUUCACAUUUGGUUUAUAAAGUAAAAUCUAUUGAAGUUUGAUAAUCACUGUAUUGGUCAUAUGAGCAAUUCAUGAAUGAUUAGUAUAAGAAAGAAAAUUUUCACAUACAAAUAUAUUAUCUUGGACAUGUUUUACGAUUGUGAAUACCCAUGAAUUAUUUCCAAACUUGAUCAAAUAGUUGAAUUUGGAAAAGGAAGACAACAUAAUGGUUAUGUUCGGGUAUAUUUGCAUAGAAGUUAUAUUGUUUUGGAUCCUCCAACAUGUGGUGCUUGUUUAGAACCUUUUGCUAGCCAAAACUUCGUACUAAGUAGAGAUACUACAUGUGCAUCCAAAUCCUUGGACCAAGUUUCUUCCAUGGGAGUCCACCAUACCGACCUAUAUAUGGUAUUUAACUGACAUUCCAAGUAAAUUUGCAUGUGCCACCUCUAAACAUUCAAAUAAUCAUCUGUUUUGUGUGCUCGUACCGCUCAUGGAGCGACGGGGAGGUCAUUAUCUUCCAUGCUAAGAGAGUUAUUCUUGAGAUGAGUGUUUAUUCACUUGUCAUUGCAUGAGAGAGGCCGGUAAAAAGGAUGCCCAGUCCUGCAUAAUACAAAAAUAAAUAAACAAGAACUCCCCCUAGAAAGUUGAUUGUUUGGAGGGCAUCCCUCGAUACGGCUAGCCAUAGAAUGUGACCGAAUGGUUGAGGGGGAGUAAAAUUUCAGUUCUGUUGGGGAACCGCCGAUAAUGUGAUUAGCAUGGAAGAUAUUGAAAACUCUGUUGUGACAUUCACAUGAAAUGCACACCACCCAAACUUACAUAUUCAUAUCUAUUUGAAAAAUGAGUGCUUGCACCUCUACAAAUCCCUACUUCCCUCUAUGAAGGGACAAUUUGUUUACUUUCAUGUUACUUACUUUUCAUGUUGAGUCAACCUCUUAUGCCAACCUCGGUAUAUUAGUUGGCAAGCACCAUGUGAUGGGAAAAGAUCCAGGCAUAUAUAUCCACUCAAAUAUAUUUGAUCAUGGUUCAUUAUUGUUGACAAUUAUCUUUAUGUAAAUAUAUAUGUUGGGUGGUGAAACAUUAAGACCCUAUAUCUGUCUGUGUUCGAUGGAUGUUAUUGGUUCUAAAAAUAUGCUUUGAGUAGUAGCAAUCGUAGAAGACUAUAUGAUAAUUGAGUAUGUGGAGCUCUUACUUAGACAAGAUGAUGCAUUGAAAUUGUUUGCUGGCUAAGAACAUAUGAUGUUGAGUUUCAAGAGAAUGCAUUGUUUGAACCAUGACAUGUGAAUUGAUUGUUACUCUACCAUGAUGAGUUUUAUGAGAAAAAAAGUUGCUGUUAUGAUGCUAGAAAAGUGAAUGAAAUUAUCAUUGAUCAAACUUAUAUACUAUGCUAGCAUUCACACUUCAUAAAAUAUUUCUUUUAUCAUUUACCUAUUCGAUAAGGAGCAGGAAUUAAGCUUGGGGAUGCUGAUACGUAUCCGACGUAUCGAUAGUUUAUGAAGUAUUCAUGCCAUGUUUGCCUAUGUUUGCAAUAUUUUUAUAUGGUUUUGAUGCACUUUAUAUGAUUUAUUUAGAACUAACCCGGACUCACGUUGUUUUCAGCAGAAUUACCAUGGUCUUGUUUUUGUGGAGAAAAUGGAAGUUCUCGGAAUCGCCCGAAACUUUUUUAUAUUUUUUAUGGAGGAAAUAAGCAAUAUUGGAGCGAAGAACCACUGGAGGGGGGCACCUGUGGGACACAAGCCAAUAGGGCGCAUCCCCCCCCCCCCACUUAGGUCGCGCCCUGAUGGCUUGUGGGGCCCACGUGGCUUCGUUUGGUGUGAUUCCAAUGCUGAAAAUCAUAUAUAUACCAUAAACCCCAGAAAUAAAGAGAGAACUUCGGCUCCUCCGUCGCAACUCUCUGUAUCAAUGAAAAACCCAUCUGGAGCCUUUCCAGUACCCUGCCGGAGAGGGGAAAUCAUCUCCAAAGGGCAUCUUCAUCAUCCCGACGGAUGUCGUGACGAGGAAGGAGUAGUUCACCCUCGGGGCUGAGGGUAUGUACCAAUAGUAUAUGUUCAAUCUCGCUCUCUCAGGUUGUUCAGAUGACACAAUCUUGAUGUAUCACGGGCCUUGUUAAUCUAGUUGGAUCAUAUGAUGUUAUUCUCUUGCUACAUUGUUGUGAUGAAUUGAAUCUUUCCCUUUAAGAUCUCAUUAGUUGGAUUGGAUAUUUUGGUUUGAUAACACUUGAUGUAUGUCUUGCAUGCAGAUACCCGUAGUAACAUUGGGUAUUCAAGUGAUUCACUUGAUAUAUGUUAUGGCAUCAACUUGCGGAUUCCGAUGACCUUGGAGAUCUACGCAUAGGGGUUGAUUGCACGUUUCCAUACUAUGUUCUCCGAUAGAAAUCUUGGGGAGCUCCUUGAAGUUCUUUCUGAAGGAUUGAAUAUGAUAGAUCUGAUUUUUUUUAUGCAUUUCGCAUAAUUUACCCAGGGAUAUUUGAGGUGACUUUGGAGUAUCUAGGUGACAUUAGGGUUGAUUGAUAUGUAUCAUGGGUGUUAUUCUAGUAAUAAGAACUCUAGGGUUGUUUGUGACACUUAUAGGAAUAGCUCAAAAGAUUGAUCAGAAAGAAUAACUUUGAGGUGGUUCUACUACCUACACCAAUUUCAUCUUAUUGUUCUCUGCUAGAUAGGAACUUUGGAGUGAUUCUUUGUUGCACGUUGAGGGAUGAUCAUAUGAUUCUGUUAUGUUAGCGUUGUUGAGAGAUUGCACUAGUGAAAGUAUGAACCCUAGGCCUUAUUACCAAGCAUUUAUACAAUGUUUUGCUCGCUGUUUUGUACUUGGUACAUUGUUGUUUCUAUAUUUUCAUAUUACAAAAACCCAUAUCUACUAUACAUACUACACUUGGAUCACCAUCUCUUCAUCGAACUAGUGCACAUGUACAAUGUUUCAUUGUAUUGGUUGUGUUGGGGACACAAGAGAUUUCUUCUGUUUGAUUGUAGGGUUGUUUGAGAGUGACCAUCUUCAUCCUACGCCUACCAUAUAUUGAUAAACCUUAGGUCAUCCACUUGAGGGAAAUUUGUUGCUCUCCUACAAAACUUUGCAGUUGGAGGCCCAACAACGUCUACAAGAAUAAAGUUGCAUAGUAGACAUCACGCCCCAUUUCUCAACAACACCGCCACUAAUAUUUUCAAAUAGUGCUCGCGUUGCACAUUAGCCACGGCGUUGCACAUUAGGCCCAUUAGGCCCACGCCAGCACUAAUAUAUCUAAUCUCCGUUGCACGCCCUACUCUUCACACUCUCGAGGCACAACCCCCUCGUCCUCCUCUGGAUCCUCGCCGCUGCCCUGACCGAAACGUCGCCCCACCCGCGCGCCCCGCUCGAUGCCGCCCGUCGCCGCCCUGCCCAACGCCGCGCACGAUGCCACCUAACGCUGCCCCGCCUGACACCUCCCGUUGCCACCCCGUCCGACGCCUCCCGCCGCCGCCCGGCCCAACGCCUCACGCCAUCUAUGGCCGUGCGGAGACCCUCAUCAUCGUCGAGCACCUUCGCGUCCCCUUGACUGGUAACUCCGCUUCUUUUUGUUGUACAAACUUAGGUCAUGUUUGAUAGCAAAUUAUUUUCUAAGUACUUUAGGAAUACUGCAGUUUUAAACUGAGUAGCCAAGAAAUGUGAUUUGACUCAACGAAACAUACCAAAGUUAUGUUGGUUCCUGGUUCACUACACAAUUAAAAAUCAGCAUGGCAAGCUAUACGAAGAAGUAGCGACUCCGUUCUUUUUCGUUGUAGAAACUUAGUUCUUUUUUCUUGUAGAAAAUUAGUUCUUUUUUCUUGAAACUUAGUUCUUUUUCUUGAAACUUAGUUCUUUUUUGUUGUAGAAAAACUUAGUUCUUUUUUGUUGUAGAAACUUAGUUCUUUUUUGUUGUAGUAACUUAGUUCUUUUUUGUUGUAGAAACUUAGUUUUUGUUGUUGUAGAAACUUAGAUAUUUUUUUGUAGAAACUUAGUUCUUUUUUGUUGUACAAACUUAGUUCUUUUUUGUUGCAGAAACUUAGUUCUUUUUUGUUGUAGAAACUUAGUUCUCUUUUGUUGUAGAAACUUAGUUCUUGUUUGUAUAAAAUUAGUUCUUUUUUUUGUAGAAACUUAGUUCUUUUUUGUUGUAGAAACUAAGUUCUUUUUUGUUGUAGAAACUUAGUUCUUUUUUGUUGUAGAAAAUUAGUUCUUUUGUAGCUUUUAUUACAAGUUUUAAUUUUUAUGUGUACAUAAUUCGAAACAGCACAUAUGGACAAUUCAGCAAGCAACAAGGAAUCGGUGGGCGAUGUGGAGAAGUGGAAUCAAUGCACAUUAGAGGGGUUAGAGUGGAGCAUCAAGAAACUCAAAGAAUCCAAUGCCGUGGUGAAGAAGGAAACAGAUAGUUUGCUCACACAGAGUGCUAAUGCCUUCACUAAGUCAAAUAAACUUAGGAAACUGAGGGAUCGGUUGACGGAUGUGAUAGCCUAGCUUAUUAGGGAUGAUAGACUACUCAUAUCAAUAAGGAAUUCCUUCUUUUCUGGGAGCCCAUUCGAACAGAACUCCCAGGUUAAGCAUGCUUGGCUUGGAGUAGUUCUAGGAUGGGUGACUGUCGUGGUUUUGUCACGGCAGAUGUCCUCGUGAAAGGACUUAGUAUUGGAGCCAUCGCACUUUGGUGGCGACUCAAAGGGGUUGAAUGGGAGUGAGGCGGCGAUUUACCCAGGUUCGGCCCCUCGUGAGGAGGUAAAAGCCUACGUCCUGCUUUGUGUUGUAUUGAUGGAGUUUCGAUUACAAGGAGGGCGUAACUCGCCAGACCUAGUACUCGAUGAUUUUUAACCAUUUUUGGACGAAUACCACUGAUGCCUUGAAACACCGCUCCCUUAAGUAGCCAAAGUUUCAUAAGUCGCCCUGGCAACCUGACUCGGGCCUUCGUUGGCGGGUCAAAAAAUUUCCUCAGCCAGCGGGCAAAUUAUUUGGCGAGUCAAAUGAAAUUGUUUCACCUCUUUCAGUAGAUGUUUUGGCGUGUCAAUUCACCCGUAAUUUUAUCCCUUUGUAGCAUGGGCGCCGUUUUCAAAAGUGACUGGCUCCCCACCAAGGUUAAUGAUGCCAUACUAGAGGAUUAUGUGAAAACGGGAAAUUUGGACCCUCGGGAUGUUAUCGGUUGGCGCACCGGGUUAGGAGAAGAAAUCCCCAAUCCCAAAGAAGGGGAAAUAGUUGUUUUCGUUGAACACCUUGAGCGGGGUUUUAAGCCGCCUGGAUCGAAGUUCCUCAGAGACGCCAUGGCUUUUAUGAAUGUCCGCCUCCAAGAUCUAGGGCCCAACUCGAUAAGCAACCUAUGCCAGUUCCAGGUGUUUUGUGAGGCUUACUUGCGGAUGGAACCCUCAGUUCCCUUAUCCUGGUACUUCUUCCACUUAAAUCGCCAAACAGAAUUUCACAAUGGCCCCAGCCUGGAGCUUGGUGGUGUAAAUGUUCAGCGCCGCAGGGAUAGCCCAUUUCCGUCACUCGCCAUGCCAAGCCACCCCAAAGGCUGGGGCGAGUCUUGGUUCUAUUGUCAAGAGACCUCGCCUGAGGGCGAAAACAAACUUCUGGGUUAUAGGGAAGAUCGCCUUCCAACGAAUAUCAAACUCCCAGACAAGCUCACCGAAGAGGAGGAGUUAGAUUGUAUCCCAGUAUUGUCCGAGUUAAGAUCUUUGACAAACAACGGCCUUACUGGAGUUGACUUGAUCCGCUGUUGGGUCGAAUGGCGCAUCCUCCCUUUAAGUCGCCGGGACGGGUUAAUGUGUGAAUUCGACGACACCCUAGAUCAUCCUCAGUGCUACUUCCACACGGCUCUGACGGAAAGUGACAUUGUCGCCAUCAUCAAGAAGCUGACUGGCGAGCCCGCGGGAAAAUGUGGCCAAAUAGGUCUCAAACCUUUCUGCAAGAUUAACCCGGCACCUAAGGUAAACAACUUUAACCCGCCUUUUGUCUUUUACUUCUUAUGUCUCAUUCGAACUAUGACCUCUUAUAAAAUAUGCCAUUUCAGAAAGGUGAUAAAUUUUGGUCCAAGACGCCAAAAAAGUCAGCCAUGAAGCAAGCUAGGCCGCCUCCAAAGAAGAAAUCCAAGGGCAAGGGCAAAGCUGCUGUGACCGAACCAUGUGAGGCCGAUGAAUCCCAAGUCAGCGAUGCACCUUCGGAGGUAAAAAAACCUAUCCUCUUUUAACUCGCCAUCCAUUACCGAUAACUUUGUAUUUACACCUUUGCAUCUCUUGAGUAGAAUGAAGACAAUGAAAGCCAGGAGGAUUCCGUAGAGGUAAUUUCUGUUUCCUCCGAUUCAUCUCCUUCUCCACCUAAGCCGGCCAGGCGAAUUUGUGGGAAAGUUCCCCUCUCACACCCAAAUGCUUGUUUGGAUCCAAAUUUUCUUCUGCAGAAAGCACAACACACUUCAAAUCAGAAAACCCGAAGUCAUUCUCGCGAUCUGGUGUUCGGUUUACCAACAAGGAACAAGAAAAGGCCAAAUGAGGUAUCCUUUAACAACACUUCUUCAGGUCUUUUCGGAUCGCAUUUGUAACUUGCUUAUAUCUUCGAAGUACAACUUUUGCAGAGUUCUCCUCCUACAUCUGGCGACUCAGUAAUGUCGGCACUUCCGCCGAGGAUCCGUGUCCCUGGGUAAGUCUUUGAUAAUAUUUACUUUUAGUCUGAUGGUGAUAAAUUUUCAGUCCUUUAAACGCACCCCUUCUCCUUUCAGGGCACACGCGAAGAAAAGAAAAACUGGCGGGUCAACUCCCAUCACAAUUUCAGAGCCUAUCGAAAAGUCGGCGCCGAUCCAAGACAACCCGGACCAAGACAAACCUGAAGAUCAAGUGGAUCUCCCUAGCUCUCCCAAGGAAACCAUGGAUGCACCAAACCCGCCAAGUCCAUUGACAACAGCAGAAGACCUGGACGUUGUAAUUAUCACUGGUACUAGCUUCUCUAAACCGGCCAGAGCGGUUUUAUCGAAGCAUGUAUCAUCAUCAGCUCAAACUAUUCCUGAGCAUGAACUCUCCAAGGCUAAGCUCUCUCAAUAUGAACAUCUGGAAUUCAAAGAACUUUGCUCUGGCUUUGCAAGUCGCCUGGAGGCGAGUUAUGAGAUGGAGAAGAGCCUGCUUCGGAUGCUGAAAAACAAACAUGAAGUACGUUUUGUUGUACACUAUAUUAUCCCCAUUAACCCCCAAGGGCCGGGUCAUCAGUAAAAAGAUGAGCCGGGUGUUGAUGACUUGAAAAACUUUCGACCAGUAACCCCCAAGGGUCGGGUCAUCAGUAAAAAGAUGAGCCGGGUCUUGAUGAUUUGAAAAACUUUCGACCUGUAACCCCCAAGGGUCGGGUCAUCAGUAAAAAGAUGAGCCGGGUCUUGAUGACUUGCAAAACUUUCGACCUGUAACCUACCAAGGGCCAGGUCAUCAGUAAAAAGAUGAGCCGGGUCUUGAUGACUUGAAAAACUUUCGACCAGUAACCCCCAAGGGUCGGGUCAUCAGUAAAAAGAUGAGCCGGGUCUUGAUGCUAUAUAAUUUUGUCUGAAAAAAUUAUACAUUAGCCCCCAAGUGUCAGGGAUGUUGCUUGCAAUAAUUCUGAGACUUGCCCCUUAACUAUAUGCUUCAACAGGAAUCUCUUAUCGAAACUGAAUCAACACUUGGCGACUUGAAGAAAAGCUUAUCUGAUCAGCAGGAUGCCCGGGCCAAAUCAGAGGAGAAAUAUCAACUGGUCUUAGCUGAGAUGGAAAAGCUAAAAGCCGACUUAAAAAGGGCUCAAGCUGACCAAGAUGUUUUAACAAAGCGAGCAGAAAAGGCUGAAGCCAAGUUGGAUACUGUGCAACAGGAGAUGUCCGUCUUAAAGCGACAUAUCUCAAACAUGGCGCAAGCCAUCUUUGGUAAAAACCAAACCUUGACCUUUGUAAACAAAUAACUUUUAUCUAAGUCGCUGAUUAUCAUUACCUCCUAUACAGGUCCGAGAGCCACCAACCUUCAGGAUGAUUGCGUCCUGACACUGAAGGCGAUUUACACGCUGACGGAGCAGCUAUAUACCGGGAGUGUACUGAGUGUGAAAGCGGUGAUGGGUGCCAAGGAACCUAUAACAUCAAUAAAGAAGAUGCUUGGCUGCUUAUCCACUCUUCCUCCCCAAAUUGGCGAGUUAACUCGGUCAGCCGCCCGAAAAGGGGCGCUGUCUACACUGAGUCGGUGCUUAGCAUAUGCUCCAGAAAUAAACCCAGAAGAAGUAGCGUCGGGCUUUCCUCAACUCAAGGAUGAUGGAUCAGAAUUCGCCGAAAAGGACUAUCAGCGUGUUGUCAAGGACUCCCGUUUGGCGGUGACUCAGCUUGCUGCAAGCCUGGACUUAUCGAAAUACCAAGCCGCCUAUGACAACAAGAACAAGAAGGUUAACCCGCCAACCUUUGUGACGACCAGCUUAACUCCGCGUCGACCCAAGAAUCCUUUUGACUUGGACGCGGAUCUCUCAUCAGUCCUGACCGAUGAGGAUGAAUUUGCUGCAUUAUCCAAGUGUAACUGGGUACUGGGCGACUUGCAAAUUGAGGUCGGCCAAAGCUCGCAGCAGGCUGAUCCAAGGGCAUCAGCAGAAUAAAACUUCAUCGAUUUGGCCAUGAGAGCCAUGUAAUAGGUCUCUUUAGGAAUCAAAACUGCUUCUGCGACACCUUCAAAAAUCCUUAUGUCGCCCUUAAGGCGUUUUGAAAUGCUUGAUCCGUCGUUUGAGGCUUUUUAUCAUAAUACUUUACCCGCCAUUGAAGCCUUUCUAUGAUGCUUAAUCUGCCAUGGCUAGAGUGAUUUUGAUCAUCAACCUGCUCUAAGCUUGAAAACAUAUAUCAAACCAUCUUAGUGAGGCGAGUCAAAAAAAGACUGAUAUUUUGAGGCGAGUCAGAAGAAGUCUGAAAAAUCUUGUGGCAGUGCCAGGGAGGUAAAAAAUAGCAACUUCGUCGGCUCAUAAGGUCGCGACAGGAUAGGGCGAGUCAAACAAGCUCAAGCGCCACCCAAAAUAAUAAUUUCGUCGGCUCAUAAGGUCGCGACAGGAUAGGGCGAGUCAGACAAGCUCAAGCGCCACCCAAGAUAAUAAUUUCGUCGGCUCAUAAGGUCGUGACAGGAUAGGGUGAGUCAAAACAAGCUCAAGCGCCACCCAAGGGAGACUUUUGUAUCAAAAGCCCAAGCAUUUAGACCGGCCGAUCAGGCACAAGUCAAGCUUCAGUGAAGUUGGUUCAGUGAACCAAUGGUCUCUCUACUUUCCAUGUGAGGCGUUUGCCGGUACCAGACAUGUUUUAACCAAAGCAAGUUCAGGAUCCAUUAGAGGAAUAACUCGCCAAGAGUUCAUGGGUCCAUAUGGCGAUUCGGCAAACACCCAGUCCAGUAUAACCAUUUGUAAUGCAGUAACUUUUCGUAGGCCAAAAGAGUAAUAAAAUUGAUCUCAAUGAGAGGAAGCCCCCAAGUCGGGAGGCGUUUAAUUUUAUUUCUUUAUAAGAAAUGAAAAACUUACAAAAUGUAGAGCUUAAGAACUCAAGUGUAAUAAGGCCGCAAGUGGGCAAUAUUCCAGGGGCGAGUCGACUCAGCCUCCGUGGUUUGCCGGUUAGGCCGGAGAUCCACCAGAUAGUAAGACCCGUUGUGAAGAUUUUUGCUGACGACGAAUGGUCCUUCCCAUGGUGGUGAUAACUUAUGCAUGCCAGCGCGAUCUUGUAUCAGCUGAAGCACUAAGUCGCCUUCCUGAAAGGUUCGGCUCUUGACCCGGCGGCUGUGAUAACGUCGUAAGUCCUGCUGAUAAAUGACCGAUCGGGCUGCAGCGAAAUCACGCACCUCCUCUAAGGCGUCCAAAGAAUCCUGACGCGCCAACUCAUUGUCCUGUUCCACAUAAGCGGCGACUCUAGGCGAGUCAUGCCUUAUGUCAGUGGGAAGAACAGCUUCUGCUCCAUAGACCAGAAAGAAAGGGGUAAAACCCGUGGAUCGGUUCGGGGUUGUCCGGAUGCUCCAUAGCACUGAAGGCAACUCCUCAACCCAACAUCCCGGGGUUCUUUCCAAGGGAACCAUGAGUCGGGGCUUGAUUCCCCGUAAAACUUCCUGGUUCGCCCGCUCCGCCUGUCCAUUAGAUUGUAGGUGAGCAACCGCAGAAACAUCAAGCCGGAUAUGCUCUCGACGGCAAAACUCCUGCAUCGCCCCUUGAGAUAUAUUAGUGCCAUUGCCAGUAAUGAUACUGUGCGUAUAUCCAAACCGUAAAAUCAACUUUUUCAAGAAUUUGACCGCCGUCUCCGCAUCGCAAGCUCCAACAGGCUCUGCCUCAACCCACAUGGUGAAUUUAUCAAUCGCCACCAACAAAUGGGUUUUCUUGUUGGAUGACAUUUUAAAGGGGACAACCAUGUCCAACCCCCAGACCGCGAAAGGCCAAGUGAUGGGAAUCAUCCUUAGUUCUUGAGCCGGCACAUGAGCCUGUCGCCCAUAAUGCUGGCAUCCAUCGCAUCGACGAACUAUCUCCUCUGCAUCUGCAUGAGCCGUCAACCAAAAGAAACCAUGACAGAACGCCUUUGAAACCAAAGAACGUAACCCGGCGUGAUGCCCACAAUCUCUGGAAUGAAUGUCAUUUAGAAUUAUGCACCCUUCUUCGGAGGAAACACAUCGUUGAAAAACCCCGGAGGUACUUCGCUUAUAUAAUUCGCCAUUGAUGAUCACCAUGGAUUUGCUUCGCCGAAUGAUUUGGCGGGCCAAAACUUCAUCUGUUGGUAACUCGCCUCGGGCGAGAUAGGCCAGAUAGGGAAGAACCCAAUCCGGCGUAAUGUGGAGAGCCGCCACGAACUGAGACUCAGGAUCUGGUAUCGCCAACUCCUCCUCUGAUGGAAAACUCACGGAGGGAUUAUGCAAAGUAUCCAGAAAAACAUUGGGGGGAACCGGCUUUCGCUGGGAACCGAGGUGCGAAAGGGCAUCAGCCGCCUCGUUAAGGCGCCGGUCAAUGUGAUCAACCUGAUAGCCAUGGAAAUGACACGCCACAUCGGACACAGCCCUCCUGUAAGCCGCCAUCACGGGGUCUCGAGAAUCCCAAGUGCCUGAAACUUGCUGAGCCACCAGAUCAGAGUCACCAAAACAUCUGACCCGCGUAAGGUUCAUCUCCUUGGCGAGUCGCAGGCCGUGAAGUAAAGCUUCGUAUUCUGCAGCAUUGUUGGUGCAUGGAAACAUGAGUCGGAGGACAUAACAGAAUUUGUCUCCUUGAGGGGAUACCAGUACCACACCAGCCCCCGAGCCUUCCAACUGUCUGGAUCCGUCAAAAUAAAUAGUCCAGGAUGUAAGAUCAGCCUGUCUUACGGGCCCUGUAACUCGGUCCAAUCAUUGACGAAAUCAACCAAGGCUUGAGAUUUGAUGGCCGUGCGAGGGAUGUAUCGUACAUGAUGCUACCCAAGUUUAGUCGCCCACUUGGCAAUCCGCCCCGUUGCCUCCCGAUUCUGGAUGAUGUCCCUGAGGGGGGCGGAACCGUGACAGCCCGAUGCUGACGUUCCAGAAGAUUCCCCUUUUCUUUCCGUUUUCCUCGUGUGCGUAUUUUCUUUUGUCGCAUCAUCAUCGCAUCAUGUGCAUCAUCUGCAUUGCAUUGGCAUCUUCAUGCCGCCAGUUUUCAAAACUUGCAUCCGAUGUUAGUUGUCGUUUCUCGUCGUUGUCCGUUCUAAGCCCGACCGCACGCGCACGCGCCCGCGGCAUCGUCAAACCUUGUUUUUAAAAGUGUGCGUUAAACUUUCUCUGAUUGGGUUGAGAUUUGACGUGCGGUGUUAUUUUAAUAUAGGUAGGCCGCCUGUCGAAUUUCAUCACGAUAGGAGUUCGUCUGGUACCCGAACGGUCGUCCGUAGCGGCACCGUCUUCGGUCUACCGUCGGACGUUUGUCGGUGUUUUAAAAUUCGUUGCCGCGCCACCCGUUCUCCCUCUCGUCUCCGGUAAACCACCCUACACGGCCAAGUACCCGUUCCCGCGUGCGGAAUCGUUCGAAUCCGACCCCGCGGUUGGAUACGGAACGAAAUUCCGGCUACCCUAGCCCCCCAUAUGUCUAUAAGUAGACCCCCCGUGCCUAUUUUUAGACACCAGCCCCCUGCCUCGGGAUCCGUGCCCGAAACCCUAGCCCCACUCGCUCUCUUCUUCAGCCCCCCUCUCUCCCUCAGCCGCCGCCGAGGCCCGCUCGGGCCCGAGGCAGGCCCGGCAAGCCCAUCUGGCCGGCCGCCGCCNNNNNNNNNNNNNNNNNNNNNNNNNNNNNNNNNNNNNNNNNNNNNNNNNNNNNNNNNNNNNNNNNNNNNNNNNNNNNNNNNNNNNNNNNNNNNNNNNNNNACUGAAAAGUUCCCAGUGAAAUUCAUGGGCUCCGAAUAGAGCUGAAAUUCUCCUUAUUAGGGCCUGUUCGGCUAUGCACCAGCUCCGUGGAAUUACAGGAUCUGUGAAGCACCUGGUCUGGAGCAGAGCGGUCCCAAACAAGCCUUUAGUCGAAGCUCUGUGGUUGUGUUUGGAAUUUGGGAACUCUCUCUGUUCUCUACGAGAUGGAGCCAGCUGUCGUGAUUACCUUUGCGAGGUUCUGUAUGGAAUCCCAGUUUUUGUAACACGCCGAGCAAAACGGCAGAAACUGGGCCGUCGCGCCGGGAAAAGGAGAAGCCGCGACACGACCGCCCGCCGCGCCGCCACCGCUGCUCGCGUGCUCCUUCCCCUCCUCCCUCCACCCCCACCCCGACGCGACACAGCAGAUGGCCAAGUCUGGGUACACGCGCCCGCCGCCCAUGGCCGAGGACACCGCCGCGGUUCCCGCCCCCAGCGCCGUCCUGUACGUGGCCAACUGCGGGCCGGCGGUGGGGCUGGCCCACGACGACGUCGCCGCGGCCUUCGGCGCCUUCGGGGAGGUCGAGGCGGUCAGCGCCGCCGACGACAGCGNNNNNNNNNNNNNNNNNNNNNNNNNNNNNNNNNNNNNNNNNNNNNNNNNNNNNNNNNNNNNNNNNNNNNNNNNNNNNNNNNNNNNNNNNNNNNNNNNNNNUUGCUUCCAUGUGAAAGCAUGGGUUCCUUGUUAUAUCACCAUAUUAAAUGCUAUUUAAUUUAAUGCACCUAUAUACUUGGUAAAAGGUGGAAGGCUCGGCCUUUCUAGCCUGGUGUUUUGUUCCACCUUUGCCCCCUUAGUUUUCGGCUACCGGUGUUAUGUUCCAUAAAUGAGCGCUCCUAACACGAUCGUGGUUGUUAUGGGGACACCCUUGAUAAUUCGUUUUAGAUUAAGACUGGUCUGGCAAGGCCCAACUUUGGUACUACAUUUGCUAGRUWRYYRUAYMCUACAGUCGUCGACCCUGGUGAUAGGAAAAGGUUAGAUCCUGAAAUUCUUGCCAACCAAGAUCACAUCUGGCUUGAUUUUGACAAAAAUGUCAAAACAUCAAAUUUAGCCACCUAGAGCGUUGUAGCCAUCAUGUGCCCCGAUACCCAGAUAACUUCCAACAUGUUUGAAAAAUUUAGUGGUAUUCUUAGCUUCCCUUAGCAAGUCAUCUGGUGGUUGUCCCCUAUAAAUGAUUUAUUCAAAGGAGCCAAAAAAAAAACAAGNNNNNNNNNNNNNNNNNNNNNNNNNNNNNNNNNNNNNNNNNNNNNNNNNNNNNNNNNNNNNNNNNNNNNNNNNNNNNNNNNNNNNNNNNNNNNNNNNNNNUAAGAAAUUGGCAACGGUGAGUUUUCCUAAGAAAUAGCAAAUCUUUGGCUGGGUUGGCAGCCACUAAGCAACCAGAAUGCCUACCAACCAUGUCCCGAAUUCUCACCAGCAUCGCACCAGUUAUGACCAAUACUUGCCUAGAAAACAACCUAGCAGCAGCCAAUAAGCAAAACAAAAACACCUGUAACUGCAAAUGGUUUUAGCAAGAUUCCUUUUUGGUGUAGCCUGGGAUGUAAGCAUAGAAGGGUUUGUUGGUUAGUGGUUACUUCGGUCCCUUUUAUCCAGAAAAUAAAAAUCCAUUGUUUAGUUAACUCUCUACAGACUGAGCUCCCCUGAGAUAUCAAUUAACUGCCUUGUCAUGCAAAUGCGAUGGAACUAGCAGAGUCUUGCAAGCUCAAUUGCUCGGACUAUUCAAAAAAGGCUAAUAACCUCUGUCUUUAGGCAAUAACCUUUUGGGGUUGAAGAGUGGAUAUAACAAUUAACAAGAAACAACAUCCUCGUUAGCCUACAUUACUUGUCGACAUAAAAGCUCUGAAGUCUGAACUGCCAUUGCAGACGAUGGCCAGAUCCCACAUUUGCAACAUGAGGACUGCAGCACAAUCUAAAUCAAGAUUGUAAUAAGCAACGCGAUAAGCCCCCCUACUAUGACGAUUCUCACAUUCUCCCCAGAAUACCCACCUUAAGGCAACCCAGUCCAAGAAGCGACACAAUCGAGACAGUCCCUNNNNNNNNNNNNNNNNNNNNNNNNNNNNNNNNNNNNNNNNNNNNNNNNNNNNNNNNNNNNNNNNNNNNNNNNNNNNNNNNNNNNNNNNNNNNNNNNNNNNGGGGUGGCGCGACCUAGGUAGGAGGAGGCGAGCUGGCGUCGAGGAUGGAGGGAUGAUUCCCUUGGGAAAUUUCUUCCCCGCUCCGCCCGUGUUCCUCCGCCUCGCCUCGCCUCGGCCUCGGCUAUUUUCCUUGGCUUUUCCCUUUUCUCUUUCUUUUUUCGUUUUCGUUGCGUUCGCCCCUGUUUUCCUUUCCGUGUGGAGAAAGGGUACUGCGGCGGGCGGGCGAUGCUGA